ACCCUAUGAACGGUUCUAAUGGUCCUAAAUGAGCUCUAAGAACUUGGACAAGCUCUCUUUUGCUUGUUUUAUAGAUCGAAAUCGGAGUAUUGAGCAUAUGUCAUAUUAGGGCAUCCCAAAGAGGGGUUUUGCUCAUAUGGGGUUUUGAUCUAUUUUGACCGCUUGGAAACCUAAUUGGGGACCUAACGAACGCGUUGAAACGCUCGGUUCGACAAUCCGACGAGUGUACGCGAAGUUAUUGACGAAACGGUCGGUUUUGGUACAGAUAGCCGCAGCACGCGGAAUAAGUGUCUAAAAAUCGUGAGAUCGGAACCGGAGCAUCUUGGAGUCAAGGAAUAAGCACCGGAAAAGACGGAUCGCGAUUCGGAGGUCGUUCGUUAAGUCGCGCAAGAGUUCGGGCCCAAACGGGUGCCGAGUGCCGCGGGAGGCCGAUUGCAAGUGUCGACAAGCAAUCGGAACGCGAAUCAAGGUGGGUUGUGCUUACCGAAGCGACUAGGUCGCCCUUUAUGUCUUAGCAAUGUAAUCUCAUGUUGAUGCAUGUGCAUGUAGACAAGACUAAAUGGUGCAUUAAUAAAUAUGCAUAGAGUAAAUGCAAGUAAAGUAAAGAAUGCAUGAUGAGCAUGAUAAAUAAAUAAUGCAAGCAAGUAAUUGGAAUGCAUGAUGAUAAUAAUGCAUAGUGUAAAUGCAUGUUAAAUAAUGAUGCAUAGAGCCAUGCUAGUAAAUGUUAAGUAGAGAGCAUGAUUAAUAUAAGAUGCAAAUGCUAAAUGGAAAGCAUGCUAAGUAAUUAAUGCUAGUUGAUGUAAAGAAUGCAUGUACUAAUUAUGCAUAGAUGGAAAUGCUAAGUAGAGAGCAUAAUGAGCAUAGCAUGUAUAUAAUGCUAGUUAAAGUAGAGAAUGCAAAGUAGCAUCAUGAGAGCUAAGUAAGUGACAUGAUAACUCUAGUGUAAAUAGAGUUGAUUGGACAACUAGGUUGUCAGAUAGAUCGAGUGGCAUCUAACCUAGUGUUAAAGAACAUAGGUUGAUUAGUAAACCUAGAGUCGAACAAUCUAGGUGUGUGGCAUUUGACCUAGUGUUAGUAAACCUAGGUUGAACUAGUAAACCUAGAAGUGGACAUCUAGGCGAAGAUGACAAGAACCUAGCAAGUGUAUCUAGGUUAAGUGAUGUGGACAUAGAACCUAGAGUAUUGGAACCUAGGUUGAUGAGUAUAGUGGUAUAGCCACUAGGAUGAGCUAGGUCGACAGUAUAGGGUUGGCUAUGAACCCUCGACCUGUGGUAAGUGGAUUCCGGAAUCCCAGGACUUAUGAUGUCCCUGGUACAGGCUAGGGCGUUCGUGCGACGAUUUCGCCGCCGAGCUUGGUACCGUGGGUAGAUUGGGGGCGAUCACAUGGAGAUCACCGCCCGGGGCUUGAACCAUUGUGCUGGCGUUUGUGCGACGAUUUCGCCGCCAGAGUGGUUAAGCCAUUUGAGGAUCAGACCGCCAGAGUAGACUGAAUCCAUGCUGGGUAAGUACGAUGCGGGUGCCUCCAGGUGACUGAGUCUGACAUGAUCGUUGUUGGGUGUGGUGCGACCCGUUCGCCGCCAGACGGUAUGUCAUGUCUCGAGCUCACGCUGGGUAUGUGCAACGCGAUCGCCACCGAUGGUCAAGUCUUGUGACUCGAGCCGUGUUCAGCGUGUGCGACGAUUUCGCCGCUAGGAGGCUGAGUCAGAGAGAGUGCGGUAGGCUGUUGAGCAGCCAGUGCGCGGACUAUCCGCAGAUGAUUGACUCGAAGCCGAGUCGGGUGGUUAGCUAUGAUAGGGUAGAGGAACCCUUAUGAGCUAGAGAUAGAGGCUUGAGCUAAGGUAAUAGAAACCUUAGAAGCUAGUGGUUAGUGUUGUGGUCCUAAGGUAAUGGAAACCUUAGAGUAAAGUUAUGGGCUAAAGUAAAAGUAGAAUUCAAAUGAUCUACUAGCUGUUGCAUGAUUUUCAUAUCGCAUAUUAUGAGGCAUGGCAUGUAUUUUAAUUGAAUAUAUAUAUCUAUUGUAUAUUGUUGAACUAACAUGUUGCAGUGCCUCCUCGGACCUAUCGGUCGAGCUUUUCCCUUGGGUGGCCGUACCCACUGGGAACCAUGGAGUUGGUUCUCACCCCACGUGGUUUUGGGGUGUUUUCAGGUCGUUCGUGUGCGGCGCGACGGCGCGAGGCGAGGGCGUAGCUCAGUAGAUAGCGCCCCACCACAGAGACCGAGGUAGCAGUACCCUGAGACAGUCUAGCUUAGGGGUCUAGAAGAUAAGAAGAGAAAAUGUAUCAAACUUGUAAACUCUGAUGUAAUAAUAAUAUUGUAAUUUGGAAGCAAAAAUGUAAACUGAAACUGUGAUGUAAAGAGUGGUUGUAAAAUAAAUGCUUGUAAUAGCAAGUAGAUUAUGUAUUUGAUACUUCCUUAUGCAAUCUGGAUUGAUAUCCGUUCCUUGUUGGAACAUUCGUUGAUUGUUUGGAUUGCGACGCCUUGGACGUACUGGGGAGACUCUGUCCGCGUACAAGGGAAUUUUCGGUCCGUUCGGCGGUCUGUCGUCGGCGCCGCGACCCGGUCCAAAUAGGCGGUUGGUCGCGGGGCGUGACAACAUGUGCAAGUAGAUUUAGUAACACUAGGCUCGAAUUCAGAUUUUUGUAAAAGAAACACCAAAUCCAUGAAUCGAGCAAAUAGAAUAUGCAAAAACAACUACAACGACACAUGCCGACUAUCUCUAUAUACUUAGAAGACAAACCGACGAUUAACCCACCUGAAAAACCGGCACGACGUCGAGAACGGCGAAAAUGCACCCUCGCCCGGCCUCCCCGCAGCUCUACGAUGACGAAAACACGCUCGAACGGCACCGCGGCGCGACGUCGACGACACCCGAACUUCACCCGAGCUCCUCCACCACGCACGGUCAAGCACAAGGGGAAGAGAGAGAGAGCGCACUAAUCCUCUCCUCUCUGAUCUCUCUAUCCUAUAUAGGGAGGGAGAAGGGGUGGUAAUACAAUCAAGGCAAGAGAAUUACCAAAAAGCCCCUUGCCUACCCUGGUGUACCGGUACACGGGCAUUUGUACCGGUACAAAUGGCAACCCGAGAGCAGUCUGCGCGGGGACAUGCGCUGUGUACUGGUACACCUCUGAUGUUGUACCGGUACAGCAAGAUGUACCGGUAUGCCUUGAUGGUUGUACCUGUACAGCAAGCAGAAAAUCUGCAUUUUGCAGAUUCCAGCGCUAACUCAUGCCCUCGCAUCUCCACUGAGUCCGUUCGGCCUCCAUAUCGCGCUAACGCGACUCGGACUUGUCCCGACACUCUCCCGACGUGUCGACAAACCUCACCUGCUGUACUCCAGGGAUAACACAGAUUAAUUGGGCCAUAUUUAUGGAAAUACUAACAAUCUCCCACAUGUCUCAAAUUAAUCAUACUCCAUGAACGGAUUUUCUACACUCCAAAUUUUAUUGCGCAUUAUUGAAAACUUUAUGGUCAAAUAUCUUAGAACUCACUUUGGCACACCCCGAGACCCGCCUAUUUGGUUGGAUUCGGGCCCGCCGACAGAUUGCCGAACGGACAGAGUUUUUCCUAUACGUCCUAGGCGUCACAAUUCAUAUAAUACACGAGGUUCUGACCAGGAACAGUAUUCAAGCACAGAUUGCAUAAGGAAGUAUCAAAAACAUAAAACAACUAAGUUAUUACAAGCAUUCACAUCAUAUGCUUUAUAUUACAUUCUCUUUUACAUUUGACUUCCAAAUACAAUCAACAAUCACAAGGUUAUUACAAGUUGUUUCCUUCAUCUCUACACCCCUAAGCUAGACCACCUUGGGGUAUCGCUAUCUCUGGUCAGAAUGGUAAGGCUCUAUCUACGGAGCUACGCCAUUUCCUCACGCCACCACGCGGCUCGCGUGUGAACCUGAAACCCCCAAAAUAACGUGGGGUGAGAACUAUUGUCCAUAGUUCUCAAUGGGUAUGGCCAUUCAAGGGAAGAGCUUGACUUACCAGGUCCAAGGAGGCACUGCAACAUGUUAGUCGAACAGAUAUCCACAGAUAUAUAUAUAUAUAUAUAUAAUUGAGCUCCUAUGCUUUUAAAAGUACCAAGUUAUUGGUGCUUGUAGAUUUUUAGCCAUUGGAUUAAAAUAUAUGCGGUUAAGACGAUGCGGGCCCCCUAGGGUUUAGUGGGUGGUUGGUUGAAUAGUAUAAUCUAAUGGUUGAAAAUGAUCCGAGGAGUAGAUCUAACAGUAAAAAAUUUACAAGCACCAAGUGCUUGGUGCUUUUACAAGCACCAUAGCUGGACUCUAUAUAUAUAUAUAUAUAUAUAUAUAUAUAUAGAGUGCGGCUAGGAUGCUUAUGGAAGCACGGAGGGCUCCGUGCUUCUACUUUGUUUUCGAUGUUCGGACUUUCGAAUCGACGAUCGGCUUCGUUAGACUUGAUCUAGAAUAUUUGAAGUAUAUAGAAAAUAAAUUUAGCGAUUUUNAUAUAUAUAUAUAUAUAUAUAUAUAUAUAUAUAUAUAUAUAUAUAUAUAUAUAUAUAUAUAUAUAUAUAUAUAUAUAUAUAUAUAUAUAUAUAUAUAUAUAUAUAUAUAUAUAUAUAUAUAUAUAUAUAUAUAUAUAUAUAUAUAUAUAUAUAUAUAUAUAUAUAUAUAUAUAUAUAUAUAUAUAUAUAUAUAUAUAGUAGUACAAGUAUAGAGCGUUAUACGUUAUACUUUAAAUACGUUGAUACGUUGGUUGAUCAUCUAGUUAACUAUGAUGUAAGUUAAGACGAUAGGUAUCGAGUAUAGUAGAUCGGAGAUUCCAAAGAUGAUGGAAUCAAGGUACGGUAUAUGGUGAACGAGAAUUCCAAAGUAGAUGGAAUUGGUUCGAUAGGUGGGCUGAGCCGGAGCUCAGUUAGUAGACGUCUUAUGGCGAGUAUCGAUCCGAGCUCCACUUCCUGCAGAGUGUUUGCGGAGUCGGUAUUCAGAUGAGUUGACAUAUAGUUGGUGUCGGUGUAGCGUGCUGCCCAGCGUUUUUUGACGCGUGUGGGCGCCAGUCCCUAGAGGACCACCCUCUCCUUGUGCGGCGUAUGUGAGCGUCGGCUCUAGGGGUUAUCCCUCUCCUUGUACGGUGUAUGUGGGAUCUCAAACUUCUAAGAAGGCCACCCUCUCCUUGUACAGCGUAUGUGGGCGCCGGUUCUUAGAAGGCGUAGUGUUAGGAGCUUCAAGAAGGCCACCCUCUCCUUGUACAAUGUAUGUGGGCGCCGGUUCUUGAUAACUCAUGAUGUUCAGAACCCUAAGGCCUUAGAUGAAAAGUUCAGAAUUUCCAGGCGAACGUUAGGAUAUUACAGCUGGAUAGAUCCAAGCUGGAUACGUAUAGGAUCACCGAUGGUGGUGAUAUUAGGUGAUUGGAUCCAAGUUGGUGCGAUCUAAGUACAGUAGAUGUGGAUCUAGAGUUGAAGAUCCAAUUGAACAAGUUGGAUACAAGAUGCUGUAAUCCAAGUACAGGUUGGAUACAAGUCCUGUGAUCCAAGUUACGGUGAGCUAGAUGAACUGUAGGAUGAACAGGUGUAGCUGAUAGGUAUUUAAAGUAUAAGAACAAAAGGUUACAGCUCAAGAGAUUAGUUGGAUCUCAAUAGCUGGUAUAUAUAUAUAUAUAUAUAUAUAUAUAUAUAUAUAUAUAUAUAUAUAUAUAUAUAUAUCAUCAUGUUCAUAUCUCGCAAUAUGCAAUAUGAAAUUUAUGCAACUAUGCAACCAACUAGUAGAUCAAUUGAUACUACAUUCAAUUCUGCUAUCCAUAGCUCAUAUCAUCUAGCCUCUAAGGUUUCUACUACCUUAGUUCCAUGCCAUAUACCACUUGCUCUUAAGGUUUCAUCUACCUUAACCAAGCUAUCCACCCGACUCGGCCUCGAGUCAAUCAUCUGCAGAAUACCGCUCAUAGCUAGGCUCGAGGUGAAGGACGUCUCACAAACGCCUCAGCCAUAAGUCUACUCAACUGUAUAUCAACCACAGCCACAUCGCACGACGGGUCGCAAAAAACUGCGCACACCCGCGGUCAGGGAUCUCCUGGUGGGAGAGGAACACGCCGCAUACACUCGCAGCCGAGAUCCCCAAUAGGGAGAGGAACAUGCCACAUACACCCUAGAGUUUGAAGAUUCUUCCGGUGGGAGAGGAACAUGUCGCAUACACCCGCGGCCAAGAAUCUUCCGCAUCACAAUCCUCGAAGUUCUUCCGGUGGGAGAGGAACAUGUUACAUACACCCGCGGCCAAGAACUAUUGAGUACUACAAGUCUUGGGAUUCCGGAAUCUACUUUUCAAGUCUUAAAGGUCCGCUUGCAAUCCUAUAAUGUCGACCUAUCUAGGUUCGACCUAUGCAUAUCCUAGUGGCUACCACCACUAUAAUCCACUAACCUAGGUUCAACCACGCUAGAUUCAUGUCAUCUACACCUAGAUCUCAACUUCUAGGUUAACUUGUUCAACCUAUGUUCUACGACAUUAGGUUCAUGUCCAACCUAUGUUCAGGACACUAGGUUCAAUGCCACUCGAUCUACUUGACAUCCUACUUGUCCACAUCGACUAUCCAUAAAUUUCAUAUUCUUGUUUUCCAAUGUCGAGUUCUCUAAUCAACCUAGAGUUAUCGACCCAAAUUCACGUCUUCAUGAAUCUAGCACAUUCUACAACCUGUCAACAUGUAUAUAUAGUCUAGUAUGAUCCACAACAUGUCAACAUGCAUUUCAUCUAACAUUUCUACAAUAUGUCAUUAUGCAUAGCAUCUAGCAUAUUCUAUAAUAUGUAAACAUGUAUAUCUCAAUGGUAGAUAACAUCAACUAACAUAAUAUGAUUCCUGUAUUCAUAUUAUAAUCCACAACCUACCACUAUACAUAUAUGCAUCAACAUUUACCAUAAAUCAUCAUUAUCAUCCAAUGGUAGUUCAACCUAUGUAACACACUGGACCUUUGCAAAUUGCAAGGUUCAAGUGUUUGGUUGGGUUUCGAGCUUUUCCACACUUGGUGGAGGGUCGUAGAUGGUAUUUCGACCUAAAAGUUCGAUUUCUGAAUUUUGGUUAAGUCCUGAGAAUUUUCACUCUCAGGGACCAGUCCCUGGUGGGAGAGAUCGGUCCCCCCCAGAAAAGUGCUGCGGUAGACUUGAGGCAACCGGUCCCUGGCGGGUAAGACCGGUCCCCGAGUAGGAUUUCGGGGGAGAGACCGGUCCCAUGCGGGGAGAGACCGGUUCCCGAACGUUGAUUUUGCGGGACGAACCGAGAGACCGGUCCCAAGCAGGGAGAGACCAGUCCCUUUCGACGAAAACUGCCCAGAACCGGGCAGUGUGCAGAUUGGAUUGUUGAGGGGCUUAUCAGGAUUUUGUUACAUUAAAAGGCUUUUAGAGCCUUUCUCUUCUCUCUUUCCCUCAUUUCUCUCCCUCACACUCUCUCUACACUCUCUAGAAAGAGAAGAAGAAGGAGAAGAAGAAGGAGGAGUAAAAGGAGAGCUAGCUUGGAGGCCUUGGAGCAUCUUCCUCAACAUCAUUUCUCACCUUUGGAGGCUUAGAGCUUGUGGUUGGAGCUUUGAGGAGAAUCAAUCUUCAACCCUUGAGGAUUUUGAGCUUGGUUGGGAGCAUCCUAGAGGUAAGUGGCUAGUUUUCUUCCUCUAGAUCCUAGUUUUGAAGUUUUAAACUAGAUGAAACCCUAGAUUUUGCGAUUUAGGGUUUAUUUUGAGAAAUUUCGAUUUGAGGGCUUUGAAACCUAAUUGAUGGGUUUAGAACCUUUAUUUAGGUUAGAUUUAAAGAACUCUAACUCCCAUUUGGAGCUUGAGAGAGGAUUUCUUCACUUGAGGUGAGUUUCUCCACCUUAGCCUAUGUUGCUUAUUGAUUGAGCUUAGAGUUGAUCGUAAGAUUCGUUUAACUCUUGUUCCUACAUCUUUAGGGUGCUAGGAGACUAGUGGACACCUUCAUUGGAGCAAACGAAGGAGCGCAAGAGUUGUGUCGGUUUGGCUUCAUGGAAACGGGGCGAAAUGGCCCCCAUACUUUCUAUACUCGUCGUAACGUUAUUUUAAAUGCAAAUCUAUGCUAAAUGAAAUUUAUGUGAAUUUUAAAACACUUAAAAUACAUGUGUUAUGUGUAAGAUAAUUUUCACUCUAUAUAGUAGAGCAUUCUGGGUAUUGUUACAUGCAUUUGAGUAGUGUUCGCACUAGCCGUUUGGAAACAUGCCUUAUAUGUUUAAAGUGGCUCAACUAUGCAUUUAUGAACAUUUGGUUUAAGUUUGGACUUAGUAAAUGAAAGUGUCAUAAAGGGGCACUUGGACUAGCAAAAUAUGAGACUAUUAUUUGAGACUUAGUGAUAGGCCUUGGACAUCUACGACAUUUCAUGUUUUAGACAUGAUUACAUAGAGAUAGGCCUACGAGAGAGUUGUGACGUAUUCCAUAUUGUUAGACAUGAGAACUUGGUACUUGAGACGGAUCUUUUGGUUACUUGCCAUUGUGCUCAUUCGCACUUGCUUGUGAGGGUCGCUCCCUACAAGCCGGCACUCCGGAGAUGGCCAUCGCGAUACAUAAUCGCCGUGCGGGAUUGGGCGCCGACGUGGAUUGCCAUGGGAAAGGCUCAUUCCUAGAGUGGGGAUGUUCACUACCACGGGGCCAUUAGGCUCGGCACCGGCCAGACAGUCUACGGGUAGGUCUCAGGGCCAGACAGCCUUCGGGCAGGUCUCUUCAGAUUUGAUUUUGAGCAUUAAUCAUGCCAUGUGGACAUUGAUUAGAAUAGUAAACAAUGAUAUCUUUGCUAUUUGACUUAUGGACAUCAUACUAGCGAUGUUUGGGUACAUUCAUACGAGAAUAGCUUUUCUUACUUAUGUUAAAUCAUGCUAAGUAGAGAUAUCAUGUGGUAGCAAAUAUUCAUGCUUAAUUACUUGUCGUACAUAUCGCUUUUGCUUAUAUCUGCUUACUGACCCCUUUUUAGUUUGGGCCUAGUGGUGCAUUUCACUGAAGCCAGUAAUUACCCACUGGGAAUUAUUAUUCAAUAGUUUCUCACGCCCCCUGUUUCAUGGUUUUAUUUCAGAGCCUUCGACAUCGGCGGAGGCACGGGAUCGCGGCAAGGGAGUCGCAUAGCUAGUUAGUGGGGAGCUACUUUUGAGCGUAGGUGGUUUACUCUUCCUUUUAUUGUAUUAGAGAGAGAGAGAUUUUGCACCAUGUAUAGAGAGACCACCUAUGUACCUUUCUAGCACUUAUUUUGGGACUCAGUUGUACUACUUUAUGCUUUUUUCUAGUGGACUUUCGGCUUUAUGUUCAUUUCUUUAUUGUAGCUCAUAGAUACAUUUUGCUCUGAUACAGCUAGAUGUUUUUCUCUCUUCUUGCCUUAUUUAUCGUUUUUUUUAGACGCCUUAUAUGUUUUAGACAUAUGGUGGGUCUGGGCACGCGCCGGGCAGGCUUCCUCUGGGUCCCAGGACGUGACAGAUUAGUUUAGUAUCAGAACCUAGGGUUGAGUCUUAGUGGACCUAGCAAAUCUUAGACCGGUUGGACUAUAGGAAAUAGGCUCGUGAGAGACGAGAUCUAUUUGACUUGUGAGCGAAAGUAUCGUGAUUGGGUAUUUUGGAUAACUCUAGAAAGUGGAGUUAAAUCGAAGUGUAUAGCUCCUAACUUCGCGGAGGGUUACGUUGGCGGCCGACAACGUAACAUCGGGAGUUAGUAAUGAAGCACACUUCAUUACUUUCGCAUGAUUUGGGUCAUUACCUUCUUGAGUGGGGAUUCGAUAGCGUGGGUUACUUACUUACGCUUUUAUGAUGUUGUAGUGUGAUGCCGAUUACGCACUCCCAAUCUGCCGGAGCGGAUAACGCGGCAAAUCUGGAAGAGGUCGAGACCUCCGCUACCUCCGGAUCCGGCGAGGUCCGAGGGUUGAGGGGCCAGCUUGCGGCCCUCACUGAUAUGGUGACACAACAGACGGAGGCAGCGCGCCAACAGGAGGCGCGGAUGAAGCGCUUGGAGGACCUCCUACUUCAGCAGGCUACUGCUCGAGAGACUCAGGCCCUUACACCACCAGCACCAGUUGUGGACGUGGCAUCGAGGGCACCGUCACCCGCGCUCGGUUCUUCGCGGGCAGCACCCGUGGUUGUACCCCGGGAGAAGGACAUAGUGGCACCACCAGCUCAGGCGUCACCGACGGGGGCAGUUUUUCCUGUGACGAUUUCUGCAGAGGAAAGGGAAAGGCUGAUGGAGUGCCUCAACGAGUUCAGGAGGUGCAGUCCCCGAAUCUUUGACGGAGAGAAAGUCGACCACUGGAUCGUGGAGAAGUGGUUGAUGCAUAUGGAGAAGCUCUUCCGCGAUACCUUCGUGGAGGAGAGAGAUCGAGUUUGGCUCGCCACACACCACUUGGACGGCGAGGCCUACCGCUGGUGGUUAGAUCUUCAGGAGAACCCCAGCACUGACUUGGUAGCUAUAUCUUGGAAGAGGUUCAAGGAGCUUCUAUUGGCGCACUACUUCCCGACCAGCGUCAAGAGGAAGAUGGAGCAGGACCUGCGCAACUUGCGCCAAGGAGACCGGAGUGUAGCCGAGUACGAGCGGGAGUUUUCUCGGCUUCUUCACUGCGUGCCUUUCGUCGUGCGGGACGACGAGGACAAGGCUCGCAUUUUCAAGCGAGGGUUGCGACCGUCGAUUUUCCGGUUCGUGCAAUCCUCUAACCUCCAAACCUACCGGGAGGUGGUGGAUCGCGCGCUCAUUGUAGAGAGCGGUGCGGCGCAUGUCCAGGAGCGGCGAGAGGCCAUGGACAAGGGUAAGGCUAAGAGGCCUGUGGUUGAGGGUGCGAGCCAGAUGCACUCUAGGAGACCGCCGAAGCAUCCUAGGAGCCAGCAGCGUGGACGCGGCUCAGCAGCGCAGCGAGAAAGUUUUGACCGUCGCCGGCCUUCCCCGUGUGUGAUCUGCGGUGGUCCUCAUUACCCACCGCACUGUCCACAGCGGGCGGGCAGGUGUUUCCAGUGUGGCCAAGAGGGCCACGUUCGGACUGAGUGUCCAAAAGGUUCGUCACCGGCACCGUCGACUGCAUCGACACUGGCUCUACCAGCCCCUAGUCAUGGGACUCCGUCGACACAGUACCAGCCUGGGCGUGCACCCGUCCAGCGCCAGAGCGAGGGAUCUCGACAGGCCCCGAGUGGGCGCUUGUACGCCGCUCAGACCGAGGAGGUGGCAGCAGCCGAGGAUGUGGUUCUAGGUAUCAUUUUACUUGAUGGCAAUAGAGUUCGUACUUUAUUUGAUACUGGUGCAUCGCAUUCAUUUAUAGAUCGGCUGUUGCUGAGUUGCAUGGUAGCCCUUUGGUUUCUUUGUUACAUCCGGGACAUGUUGUAGUACCCGACCACACUCUGGAUAUUAGAGAGUAUUGCCCUAGUUGCCCUGUUCGGAUAGGAGAUUGGAUCAUGCCCGUGGAUUUGCUUGCUUUGCCCAAGCUAGGGGAUUUCGAUGUGGUCUUGGGUAUGGAUUGGCUAACUAAGUACUAUGCCAUGAUUGAUUGCAAGAAUCGCACGGUUACUUUUAGAGAACCGGGGCAGAAUGAGGUUGUGUUUAGAGGAUGCCGGAGUUCACCUUUUGCGAUGUCGAUCAGCUCGUCUCAAGCUAGGCAGCUAAUCAGCCGAGGAUGUGUAGCCUACUUGGCUAGUGUUGUGUUGAGGGGCGUGGAUGACACCCCUAGGAUGGAGGAUAUCCUGGUGGUACGGGAGUUUCAAGAUGUGUUUCCAGCUGAGCUACCGGGUAUGCCACCCGAUAGGGAGAUCGAGUUUGUGGUAGACCUCGUCCCUGGGACUACUCCAAUCUCGAAGCCACCCUAUAGGAUGGCACCGAUGGAGCUAAAGGAGCUGAGGGCACAGCUACAGGAUUUGUUGGACAAGGGCUUCAUUCGACCGAGCGUCUCGCCGUGGGGAGCUCCAGUUUUGUUCGUCAAGAAAAAUGACGGAUCACUUCGCCUAUGUGUGGACUAUCAUGAACUUAAUAAAGUCACGAUCAAGAAUAAGUAUCCGUUGCCAAGGAUCGACGACUUGUUUAAUCAGCUUCAAGGAUCGUGUGUGUAUUCCAAGAUUGACUUGCAUUCGGGAUACCACCAGAUAAAGAUCAAACCCGAGGAUGUAUCGAAGACGGCUUUUAGAAUACGGUAUGGACACUAUGAGUUCACAGUUAUGUCGUUCGGGCUUACUAAUGUCCCGGCAGCUUUUAUGGAUCUGAUGAACCGUGUUUUAAGCCUUACCUGGACAGGUUCGUCAUGGUGUUUAUCGACGACAUUUUGGUUUAUUCCCGAAGUGAUACAGAUCACGAGGAGCAUUUGAGGCUUGUACUUCAAACACUUCGGGAAAAGUAGCUUUAUGCCAAGCUGAGAAAGUGUGAAUUUUGGCUUCGAGAGGUAGCCUUCCUUAGCAUUUAAUAUCGCGAUCGGGUAUAGCCAUGGAUCCUAAGAAAAUCGAGGCAAUCAAGGAUUGGCCAAGACCGACGAGCGUCACGGAGAUUCGGAGUUUCCUUUGGACUGGCCAGUUACUACCGGAGAUUUGUUGAGGGGUUUGCUAAGCUAUCUACUCCCCUCACGAGGCUCACGCAUAAAGGUGUUAAGUUCAUCUGGAAUGAUGCGUGCGAGAGAAGCUUCCAAGAGUUGAAGCACCGAUUGACGACCGCCCCGAUCCUAACCCUGCCGAUGGCUAGAGCAAGGUAUGUGGUUUAUUGUUAUGCAUCACUUAACAGAUUGGGCUGUGUUUUGAUGCAGGACGGUAAGGUGAUCGCGUAUACUUCUCGCCAGCUGAAGGAAUAUGAAAAGAACUACCCUACGCAUGAUUUGCAAUUGGCGGCCGUAGUCUUCGCAUUGAAGUUAUGGCGCCACUACUUAUAUGGCGAGCGGUGUAAAGUGUACACGGAUCACAAGAGCUUGAAAUACAUGUUCACUCAGAAGGAGUUAAACUUGAGACAGCGCAGAUGAUUGGAGCUGCUCAAGGAUUAUGAUCUGACGAUCCUAUACCACCCGGGCAAGGCUAACGUGGUGGCGGAUGCGCUAAGUAGGAAAUCAAAGAAAAACUUAGCAAUGCAUGUUGUUACUCAACCACAGUUGAUCGAGUAGAUGAAGCGGUUGGAGUUGGAGGUGGUGACUCCUGACACGCCUUUGAGAUUGAUGACAUUGGUAGUGCAACCUACACUUGUGGAUAGAAUUAAAGAAAAGCAAGCUUCCGAUGUGGAGUUGCAAAAGAUUAGAGAUAUAAUGGUUGAUGGUUGCACCGGCAAUUUCCUUGUGGAUGACCAAGAAUUGAUCCGUUUUCGUGGACAGAUUUGUGUACCGGCGGAUUUCGGAAUUAAAGAGGAUAUUCUUCAGGAAGCACACCGAGCGCCCUAUGCUAUACAUCUGGGAGGCACCAAGAUGUACAAGAAUUUAAAGUUGCUCUAUUGGUGGCCCGGGAUGAAAAAGGAUGUUGGCGAGUUCGUAGCUCGAUGUCUAACUUGCCAACAGGUGAAGGCUGAACACCGAUUACCCGCGGGGAAACUUCAGAGUUUACCGAUUUUCGUGUGGAAGUGGGAGAAGAUCACCAUGGAUUUUGUGACAGGUUUGCCCCGGUCUCAGGCCGGGCAUGACGCUAUUUGGGUGAUCGUGGAUAGGUUGACGAAGUCGGCGCACUUCAUACCUAUUCAUACUACUUGGACCGGAGAGAAGCUCGCACAAGUGUACCUCGAUGAGAUUGUGCGACUUCAUGGAGUGCCUACAUCGAUAGUAUCGGAUCGAGACACUUAGUUUGUGUCCCACUUUUAGAGGAGUCUACAGGACGCCCUAGGCACUCGAUUGGACUUUAGUACUGCUUUCCACUCUCAGAGUGAUGGGCAGUCGGAGCGCACCAUACAGACUUUAGAGGAUAUGCUCCGAGCAUGAGUGAUAGACUUCCAGGGAGGAUGGUCGCAGCAUCUACCUAUGGCAGAGUUUGCUUAUAACAACAGUUAUCAAGCAAGCAUCAAGAUGGCACCGUUUGAAGCAUUCUAUGGACGGAAGUGUAGAUCGCCACUUCAUUGGAGCGAAGUUGGCGAGAGAUUAGUUUUAGGCCCUGAUGUGCUCCAGGAAGCUGAGGACAAGGUUCGAAUUGCUCGAGAGUGACUUUUGACGGCACAGAGUAGACAGAGGAGCUACACCGAUCGACGAUGGUGAGACUUGGAGUUCCAAGUUGGAGACCAUGUUUUCUUGAAGGUCUCGCCGACUAGAGGGAUCAAGAGAUUCAGGAUUCGGGGUAAGUUGAGCCCCCGUUUCAUUGGACCGUAUGAGAUUUUGGAACGUGUGGGUCCGGUAGCGUAUCGACUUGCUCUACGAUCGAACCUAUCGGGCGUGCACAACAUCUUUCAUGUAUCGGUCCUCCGGAAGUAUGUCUUCGACCCAACUCAUGUGUUGGAUGCUACACCGUUGGAGUUGCGGGACGACUUGAGCUUCGAGAGCAACCCAUAAAGAUCUUGGCUCGCGAGGUGAAGAAACUACGGAAUCAGGACAUUCCGUAUGUAAAGAUUUUUUGGAGCAACCGCAGGGAGCGGCAGGCCAUGUGGGAGCUAGAGAGCGCGCUGUAGGAGUGCUAUCCCCAUCUUUUUCAGAUAGAGUCUUGAGGUAUGUUGUUGCUUUAUGUUUCACGGACGAAACUCCUUUUAAGGAGGGGUGAAUGUAACACACUGGACCUUUGCAAAUUGCAUGGUUCGAGUGUUUGGUUGGGUUUCGAGCUUUUCCACACUUGGUGGAGGGUCGUAGAUAGUAUUCCGACCUAAAAGUUCGAUUUUUGGAUUUUGGCUAAGUCCUGAGAGUUUUCACUCUCGGAGACCGGUCCCUGGUGGGAGAGACUGGUCCCCCCCGUAACAGUGUUGCGGUAGGACUUGAGGCAACCGGUCCCUCGCGGGUGAGACCGGUCCCCGAGUAUGUUUUCGCGGAGAGAGACCGAUCCCAUGCGGGGAGAGACCGGUUCCCGAACGUUGGUUUUGCGGGACGAACCGAGAAAUCGGUCCCAGGCAGGGAGAGACCGGUCCCUCUCGACGAAAACUGCCCAGACCGGGGCAGUGUCCAGAUUGGAUUGUUGAGGGGCUUAUGAGGAUUUUGUUACAUUAGAAGGCUUUUAGAGCCUUUCUCUUCUCUCUUUCCCUCAUUUCUCUCCCUCACACUCUCUCUACAUUCUCUAGAAAGAGAAGAAGAAGGAGAAGAAGAAGGAGGAGUAGAAGGAGAGCUAGCUUGGAGGCUUUGGAGCAUCUUCCUCAACCUCAUUUCUCACCUUUGGAGGCUUAGAGCUUGUGGCUGGAGCUUUGAGGAGGAUCAAUUUUCAACCCUUGAGGAUUUUGAGCUUGGUUGGGAGCAUCCUAGAGGUAAGUGGCUAGUUUUCUUCCUCUAGAUCCUAGUUUUGAAGCUUUAAACUAGAUGAAACCCUAGAUUUUGAGAUUUAGGGUUUAUUUUGGGGAUUUUCGAUUUGAGGGCUUUGAAGCCUAAUUGAUGGGUUUAAAACCUUUAUUUAGGUUGGAUUUGAAGAACUCUAAUUCCCAUUUGGAGCUUGAGAGAGGAUUUCUUCACUUGAGGUGAGUUUCUCCACAUUACCCUAUGUUGCUUAUUGAUUAAACUUAGGGUUGAUUGUAAGGUUCGUUUAACUCUUGUUCCUACAUCUUUAGGGUGCUAGGAGACUAGUGGACACCUUCAUUGGAGCAAAUGAAGGAGCGCAAGAGUUGUAUGGGUUUGGCUUCAUGGAAACGGGGCGAAAUGGCCCCCAUGCUUUCUAUACUUAUCGUAACGUCAUUUUAAAUGCAAAUCUAUGUUAAAUGGAAUUUAUAUGAAUUUUAGAACACUUAAAAUGCAUGUGUUAUGUGUAAGAUAAUUUUCACUCUAUAUAGUAGAGCAUUCUGGAUAUUGUUACAUGCAUUUGAGUAGUGUUCGCGCUAGUCGUUUGGAAACAUGUCUCAUAUGUUUAAAGUGGCUCAACUAUGUAUUUAUGAACAUUUGGUUUAAGCUUGGACUUAGUAAAUGAAAGUGUCAUAAAGGGGCACUUGGACUAGCAAACUAUGAGACUAUUGUAUUGAGACUUAGUGAUAGGCCUUGGACAUCUACUACUUUCCAUGUUUUAGACAUGAUGACAUAGAGAUAGGCCUAUGAGAGAGUUGUGACGUAUUCCAUGUUGUUAGACAUGAGGACUUGGUACUUGAGACGGAUCUUUUGGUUACUUGCCAUUGUGCUCAUUCGCACUUGCUUGUGAGGGUCGCUCCCUACAAGCCGGCACUCCGGAGAUGGCCAUCGCGAUACAUAAUCGUCGUGCGGGAUUGGGCGCCGAAGUGGAUUGCCGUGGGAAAGGCUCAUUCCUAGAGUAGGGAUGUUGACUACCACGGGGCCAUUAGGCUCGGCACCGGCCAGACAGCCUACGGGUGGGUCUCAGGGCCAGACAGCCUUCGGGCGGAUCUCUUCAGAUUUGAUUUUGAGCAUUAAUCAUGCCAUGUGGAUAUUGAUUAGAAUAGUAAACAAUAAUAUCUUUGCUAUUUGACUUAUGGACAUCAUACUAGCGAUGCUUGGGUACAUUCAUACGAGAAUAGCUUUUUUUACUUAUGUUAAAUCAUGCUAAGUAGAGAUAUCAUGUGGUAGCAAAUAUUCAUACUUAAUUACUUGUCGUACAUAUCGCUUUUGCUUAUAUCUACUUACUGACCCCUUUUUAGUUUGGGCCUAGUGGUGCAUUUCACUGAAGCCAGUGAUUGCCCACUGGGAACUAGUUCUCACGCCCCAUGUUUUAUGGUUUUAUUUCAGAGCCUUCGGCAUCGGCGGAUGCACGGGAUCGCGGCAAGAGAGUCGCAUACCUAGUUAGUGGGGAGCUACUUUUGAGCGUAGGUGGUUUACUCUUCCUUUUAUUGUAUUAGAGAGAGAGAGAUUUUGCACCAUGUAUAGAGAGACCACCUAUGUACCUUUCUAGCACUUAUUUUGGGACUCGGUUGUACUACUUUAUGCUUUUAUUUAGUGGACUUUCGGCUUUAUGUUCAUUUCUUUAUUGUAGCUCAUAGAUACAUUUUGCUCUGAUACAGCUAGAUGUUUUUCUCUCUUCUUGCCUUAUUUAUCGUUUUGUAUAGACGCCUUAUAUGUUUUAGAUAUAUGGCGGGUCUGGGCACGCGCCGGGCAGGCUUCCGCUGGGCCCCGGGGCGUGACAACCUAGCAUUCAUCUUAUGCAUUCAUAUGUUUGCAACUAACUACCAUGUAUGCAUCAAUGAUAAAUAACACCUCACUUCGACAUGGAAGUGAGCUAAUAUCCUCGGUGAGCACAACCCACCUCGUAUCGCUCUACGAUUGCUUGUCGACACUUGCAAUAGGCCUUCCGCGGCACUCGUUAUCCAGUUCGGUUCAAACUUGCAAACGAUCACCAACCACACGUCAAUCCGCGUCCUAGGGUUGUCAGGGACCCUUCUUUAACCUCCAAUCAGAGAAACAUUGGGUUUAAUUAGAUUAAAACCCACCAAAUCCCAAAACUCUCAGCUGUAACUCUAGCAUGAUAUAAUCUCCAAUGAACCCGAAAUCUCAUGGGGAAAACAUGCUAGAAUUACUUUAGAGACUACUAGAAUACCAAGCAUAAAGGAUUUAACCAAAUCCUAAACACUUACCAAAAUGAGAACGCCGAGUCGGAAGCAUGCCGCUCCACCGGGUGCACGAAGACUCGAUCCGUCGCCCCACACGUGUUCCCAAGCACGCUCUCCGCCAACUCUCCGAAUUUGGGAGUGAGAUCUAGAGAGAGAAGGGAGAUAUCUAGAGAGAGGAGAGAGCUUCUCUCUUUAGGUUGUGUGUGUGUGUGGGUUAAAAUGGCUGAGGGAGGGAGGAAGGAGAUGAUCCCCCCUUUUUAAGUCAACCCCCACCACUCAAUUACAAGUAUGCCACUGUUACUGUGCAUUUUUCCAGCUCGGGGUCGGGACCUUGGACCUUGGCUAGAGGGUCCGGACCCCGUAGGUCCAGAAAUUCUGCAAAUUUCAGAGUUAGCCAAAAUUUCAGCCUUUUGCCAAUAUUGGUCCGUUUUCGCUCGUUUUCGCUCCGUGGGUCUCCGAUUCAAUUCUAAUCAUACCGAGACCCCCAAAACACAUUUUCGAGCGUGUCUAAAUUAUCUUUUCAUCCACGCCUUGCCGGAUUUUGGUCAAGGUCCAAUCUAGCUAUUCGAGUUCCGUUUUCACGCCCGACGCAUACCGAAAACACUCGAAUGCUCCCGAACUUCACCGGAACCGUUCCAAUAGCUUUCCAAACUAACAUACCCCGUAACGUCAUAAAUAUAGAAGUUCGGUAUGCUACACACUUGAUUUUUAGCUCAAACUAAAAGACUAUAAUAAUAGGAAACAUGGUGGUCCACCUCUACAUAUUAAAAAUUUCCUUCCAUAAUUAUCAUAUCAUAUUCAUCUCCUAGCCGAGUACUUUAUAUGGUACAACUUUAUGAAUGAACUUAAAACUGUAUGUCUAUUCAUUAAUAGACAAAAUUUUAUACCUAUUAAAUGGUCCAAUACAGCUGUAUUAAAUUUUAACUUUAUUGAAAAGAUAGAAUGUUAUAAUCUUAUACAUCAAAAGAACUAAUCAAACUCAUAUUUCUAACAUGAUCUGUAUAUGACCCAAAUGCCAGCCCUUUGGUCAUUGGGUCUGCAAUGAUACACUUGAUACUGAUGUAUUCAAUUGUAACAUAACCUUCCUCUAUCUUCUCUCUCAUGACAAGAUAUUUGGUGUCCAAGUGUUUACACCGUGCUCUCCACGUCGACCGCCGCCGCCUCCCGCAGCCGACCGGUGCGAGCCCUGGCCUCCCCACGUCGACCUCCCCUGUCGAACGCCGGCGCACCCGCCACUGAGUCGCUGCCGGCCAUGCCCUAGCUCCCACUGCCGAUAAGCCUUUGCAGUGCUUUCUUUUGGUUGUUGUUUUGGUUUGUACACACUUUUCCGGCGAUCCGAGGCUGUCCCGAUGCCUCUGGAGGUGAGCUGUGAGGACUGAGAUUUUGGUUAUGUAGCUAAACUCCUUGUUGAUGAUGUUUUUGUGUGUAAUUUAAUUACAUAAACACUCGUCAAGUUUCAGGAGAAAACGAGUUAGGAUAGAAAAGUUACACGACCUUUACUAAUCACUUAAAGUGAAGAGUAACUCCGGUUUUCCAGAGAAGCCAAUGAGUAGAUAUGGUUUCUGGUGCAUAUUGAACUCCGUUUAUAGUGAUCCAAUAGCUCGUUUUCGACAGUUCUACUAUCCUGGACCCAAUGGCACUGACAGAUUUGGGUUUUGAUGCACAAUUUUCCAGAAAAAUGGGUUUUAUCGAAAAGAGGGUUUUCGUUCUUUGCUGUUCUUGCAUUAUAAAACUCCUCAUGCUUUGUGCAUGUGACCUGGAGUAGGGUGAAGGAUGUUUCAGGUACCUACUAGUGGUAGGGAAUUCAAAUUCGAAUUUGAAUUUAAAGUUUAUUGGAUUUACAAAUAUGUCUAUGUGUGGUGUUUGGAAAAUUGGAGAGGGGAUAGGUUUCGUCGCAAAUCGCUGAUCAAAUCGGAUAAAACAAAAUAGUAGAUUUGAUGCCCCAGUCGUGCUGAACGCGCUGGCACAAUCCGAUCGAAAAUCUGACGGACGGAUCUCCGGUAAUCGCAUAAAGUUCGCUGAGGGGUCGAAAUUGGCAAAAAUGGAAAAUCUACGAAAAUCCCAAUAUUUUAUGUACCAUUUUGCACAAUUUUGAACGUCGAGGUGCGUAUGCGUGAAAUACACGCGCCGUGAAGGACUGGGCUAAAAAUAAGGAGCUUAGAAGGGCUAUGUUGCAUAAUGACCAACCUAUAGAUAUUGCGCAACAUUAGGAUUCAUGCAAGGAAACCCUAACCCUAAUCUUCCAGCCCUCAUGUUGAGCCCUAGCAUCACUAGCAACCCUCUGCCCCAGCCGCGACGCACCUGGGCUGCCGAUGAACGACUACGAUCGCCGGAAAAGCCAUUUGUUUUACCUCUCCUCUCCCAUCAUCUCCCGUGCGCGUUGUAGGCGUUGCCUAUGCGACUGCGGCCAACCCCGGUCAACUGGGGCCGAGCUCAGCAUAGCUCGUGGGCCCCCCGCCACCGUUGCCCUAGACCUGCUGCGCCGCCUUCCUGGACCUCCGGUGACCUCCCGCAUGCCACCCCCGUCGCCCCGGAGCGCCGCCGGCCGCCGCCCUGGCUUCCUGCGGCCGCCCAGCCUCAAAUCCGGUUGAGCUUGGGCCCGCACUGCCUCUGCGCACUGCCGUCGCCCUCAGUCGGCUGCGCCGCCCUCCCUCGACCUCUAGCGACCCAUCGCCGUCCCCCCGGAGCUCCCCCGGCCGCCGCCCGACCGCAACUACACCCUGAGCCCGAGCUUCGCCUGUGCGGUCUUGGCUUGCUCCACUGCCGCUGCCAACGCCUUCCGCCAUCGGCCGGCGUAAGCACCGACUCUGCCUGGCCGGCCGCACUCAUCCGACGCCGGCUCCCCACAGCCGGAGCUUCCUGUCGGCCGGACUUGGGCCGUGCUCUCCUCGGCUUGGUGCGGCUAGGGCAUCAUUGCCCGCUGCAGCCGCCGCCUUCCGUCGCCGGCUUACGCUCGUCCCGGCCUCCCUCCGUCGCUCGCACCUGCCUGCAGCCGGCAUUCCCGCCUCCCGGCCGCCGCCGGCCGUGCCCGAGCUCCCCAUGGUUCGGUGAGUUCUAUUUCACUGUUUUGUGCAUAUUCUCGGGUUCAGAUCGCUGUUCCGGCAAUCCGAGGACACCCCGACACUCCUGAAAGUGAGCACGAUGAUCCUUGAUCCGUGCUGAACAUCGUGCUCACCUCCGUUAGGAUCAACGAUGCCCCAGUUUGCGUGUUAGACGCGAUUUAGGUGCUGUGCGUGCUGUUUUGUUGUACUUCGCGUCGCUCGCACGCUCGCCACAGUGGCCGGCUGUGCUCCAAAGUGUGAGCAUGCCCUCCGGCACAUCGGGACCUGUCAGCGGGUGUCUCUGCCAGGCUUGAGGGCCCUCGAUUUGCACUGUCGGGUUAUAAAACCCCGAAAAUCACAUGAAAUGAUGUGAUUUUAUGUAGUCGCAGCGGUUUUUAUGCAAGUUUACGCUAUGUGGUUGCUGUUGGAAGCGUGUACGGGCAGUGGGUGACCUCUAGACUGGUUGUCCAAGGCCCCAGGCCUUUUCGGAAAUCAAAUGUUGAUUUUCGGUGCAUUUUUCGGCGAAAUCCACCGACAGAACUCGAUUUCGGUUCGGAUAUCUUCCGAUGGUGCCUCACGGUAAAUUGUAUAGUCGCUGAGCCUUGUUGGCCAGUCACUCGGGUCAUUUCGAGGGUUCUGAAACGACGGGUGAGUGACGGUGGGUUCCGGUGUCGAAUUAGACACUUCCGGAAACCCGGAUCGGAACAAUUAUCUGACGAUAAUCGUUUCGAUGUGAGGAAGGUGUGUUUGCUGCCAAGUCACAUGAAUAGUUGUGUUUAGUGGCAGCGGGUGACUCGUAGCACGAGUCGGUGAGUUUCGAGACAGUUUCUGGGUCCCGGCGGAGUCCCGAUGAGAUUUUCGGGACUUCCGGCGUGUUACGGCAGUUGGUUUGGGAAACCGAUUCCCAUGGGUUUACAUGUGGGGAUGGUGAGUUAGUGGUUCGUGUUGGAUUCUAACCCGGUGGACCCUUCGUAGGUCCGGUUGAUACUUCCUCUGCAGUCGGAAGACCAGUACCAUAUACGUACUAUUGGGAACUUCGACCCGAAGUCGGUAUAGUGGUGCACGUUCGGUGACAUUCCCUUCACUCUUUCCUUGUUGUUUAUCUUGCAUAUUAUAUGUUGAGCCUAGCACCUAUUCCCUUCUUCUUUAUUGCUCUACUUAGUUGUUUUGCAUACCCAGUAUCAUGUUUUAAAAGUAGAGCAGUUUCGUGAUUAUUGGUGAGAUCUAUGACCUAGUCGGUCAGUGUGUUGUAUCUGGUAUUAUGACCUAAUUGGUCGGUCUUGUAUCUCGUAUCUGCGACCUAUUCGGUCGGCUUACUGCAUUGUUAUCGUGGCCUAUUUAGUCGGUUAGACUAUUUGAUGACCUUUACGGUCAGUAUACCCUGAGGGAUAGGAUUGUCGGCUAGUGGCCGACGGCUAGUUCUGGAUUAUACCGAUGCAUGACGUGACAUCCCUGUGACCUAUUGUCGGUCCUUGUGCAUAUUUGUUAGUUGGCAGUCAGUGGUCGAUACUUGCAUACCUUUGGACGGAUGUUGAGUUGUUCCAUCCUAGUUGACCUGAGUGGUCGGUACUUGUGUUCCUUACGGUUUGAUGACCUAUUGGUCGGUGCGCCCCGAGGGGCAGUGAUUGUCGGCUAGUUGCCGACGGUUGGCUAUUGAGUAUAUUAGCAUUGAUCGCCCGAUACUCGUAUGCAUUUUACGAACGCCAGCGGUCUGAUCCACCGCAAGUGAGUGUUCUUUUCCGAAAAAGUGGUUGGAGGUACCAACCAGUGAGCCCAUACACCUUGGGUUAUUUGCAGGUAGAGUGACAGCUUGAGGUCUGCGGUGCGGACCAACAGGGCAUAGCUUGAGGUCUGCGGUGCGGACUAACAGAGCACAGAUUUCAGAUUGGGUAUUUUUGGACUUAUCGUCCGGUUGAUGCAUACAUACAGUAGCGGUAGUUAUGCAUUUAUAUAUCUCGCUCGUUUAUUUAUCAUUGCUACUGUAGUACCAUACAGGCCUGAGGUGUGCGGACCAAUAUGGCAGUUUCAGAUUGGGUAUUUUGGACUUGUCGUCCGGUUGCAUUCAUACAAUAGUGGUAGUUAUUCAUUUAUACCUCUCAUUCAUAUAUUUAUUGUUGCUACUGUAUUACACUUAUCCAUACCUUUGUUUGUUCUCCUUGACUGGUAAGUACCCCUCGCCCUCUUCGGCUUACGGUACCCACUGGGAGGGAAGACAUAUGUAUAUGUUCUCACCCCCACCCCUCUUUCAGGUGACGUCGCAGGUCCGAGUCGGGACGAUUCGUGAAGUGCGCAGUUUAGCAUUCGAUAGAUCCAUCAGCUCGUCGCUUUGGUUAAAUUCUCAAACUCGUCCUUUAAUAAUUGAUUCAGUAUUUAUGGUUCAGUGGUUUGCUUAAAUUGGACAAAAAUGAUUUUGUGGUUGUAAUAAAGGAUUUAUGGCUUUCUUGCAAAAAUGAAAAUGGUUUUCUACCCCUCGUGGUAGCGAAUUUUAAAAGGAAAAAGGUUUUCGUGUGGAAAACGGUUUUAAAAAGGAUUUUCUGGUUUUCCUGAUUAUUAGUAUUUCAAAACGAGUUUCCGGGUAGGAAACAUUUUAAACUGGUAGAUGUGAAUUUAUGAAUAUUGGUGAUGAAAUAAAUGUGGUUGUGAAUGGUAUAUGGAUAUAUAUAUAUAUGUUCAUAUAUGAUGGUUGUAUCUUGAAUUGUAUAUCUUGUACUUGUGCGACGCCAUACAAAUACAGGGGACUCUGUCCGGGUGAACAGUGGACUCCCUAUACUUAUGGCGGAUCUGGCAUACCUUCGGGGUCAGAAUUUUCAAAAAAAAAAAAAUUGGGCACUUCUGCAAUGACUUUUAAACCAAAAAGGGACCCCAGGGCGUGACAUGAGCCCGGUGAUCGUUGGUCAGUGCCGAUCACAGUACUCACCUCAUUUUAGAUCAGCUGCUUUCGAAGUUGCGUUUUCGGCGCAGUUUUACCCGAGUGCGCUGUUCGCAGAAUUUUCGGGUCACUCCCGCGCCUUCCACAGUGAGUCGUUGUGCUCCGAAUCGUGAGCACGUCCUCCGGCGUGUCGAGUCCUAUCAGUACAUGUCACGGCAGACCUCGAAAGCCUUCAAGUUUCGUUAACGAGCCACAAUGUCGCCUUAUUUAUCUAAAAUAGUGGGAUUUUAUGUAAAUAGAGGGACUUUUAUGCAAUUUUACAUCUUGUGGUUUCUAUGGGCAGUACGUACGUGUGGUAAGUGACCUCUGGAUUGAUCGUCCAAGGUCCGAUAGCCUUCGCGGAAAUCGAACGUCGAUUUCGAUGCGUUUUUCGGUGAAAUUCGCCGGUGGAAUGUGGUUUCGAUUCGGAUUUCUUCCGACGUUGUUUGUUUGCCCUGAGAGUUGUCGCUGAGCUUUAUUGGCUGGUCACCAUCAUCAUAUCAUGGGUUCGGAGAUGACGGGUGAGCGACGGUGGGUUCCGGUGUCGAAAUUGACACUUCCGGGAAUCCGGAUCCGAACAAUUAUCAGGAUUAUUUAGUUGUGAACUCUUGUGUUUGCUGCCAAGACAUCAAAAUCGAUGUGUUUUGUGGUACUGGGUGACUCGUGGCACGAGUCGAUGAGUUUCAGAAUACUUAGUGGGUCCCGACGGAGUCCCGGUGUGAUUUUUGGGACUUCCGACGAGUUACGGUGAUCUGAUUUAGGAAACCAAUCACAGGGAUUUGUGUGCGGUUUGUGAGUCGUGUAUUCUAGUUGUGUGGGUUGGAUACUGACUCGGUGGACCUUCAUAGGUCCGGUUGACUAUAGUGUACUUUGGAGAUAGACGCGACAUUAGUGCAGGUGGGUGCUUCGAGCUCGUACUCGGUGAGAUUGUUUUACCUUCUUCUAUUCUUCUAUUUCAGCAUUGUAGUCUCUACAUGUCGGUUGCUUUGUUAUUGUUUGUUUAUCUAUACCUUAUUGAUUGCAUGAUGAUUAUUGUUGAUAGACAUGUAGAGCAAGCUUGUAUAUAUAUUGUAUCUCUGUGGGCCUUUGGUCCAGGCAACACUUCGAUUCCUUUGUCGUGUGUUUCGAUCUGGUUGAUCGUGGUUCGGCGUUGUACGCCCUUGUAUCUCACUUCGGCCAAGGCACCAGUUUCAGUCGGCUUUCGUAUUGAGCAUAUCAGCAUAACUUAGUCACAGCACUUGGGUGUAUUCAUGACACCAGGUCGGUUUGGCUACCGACCGGAUGUGUACUUAUCCGGAUGGGUCGUCCAGUGGACGGAUGAAUCAGGUCGGUGCAAGUAGUGUGACAGGCAACGCUUGAGGUCUGCGAACCUAUAUAGUAGGCACCAGAUUGGGUACAGUUUUGGUUUGAUUACCUUGAGGCAUACUCAGCAUUGUAUUCUUUACAGUAGCAAUUUUUAUUACUUGCUUCUUAUCAUAUCUAUUAUAGCUACUGUAGUUCACUUUUUUAUCACAGCAUCAGCACUUGUUUACUUUACCUCCUUUGGUUUCCGAUGCUUACGACUUGCCUUCGUGACUCUGUCGUACCCACUGAAAAACCUUGAUUGUGGUUUCUCACCCCCCAUUUCCCUAGGUGGUUCGAGUAAGGAGUUGGCUUUUGGGCUCGACGGGAGGACGCACUAGCUAGACGGCAGUAGCGACCGUCACCCUGAUUAUCUUUUAUUUCCACAUUUAGUAGUUUAAUAAUUAAAUGGUUUAGUUAGAUGAUCACUAUUACUGUUGAGUAUUUGUGAAACUGUUUGACUUGAUGUUUUCAUAUGAUGCUAGCAAUUGGAUUUGUGGUUUUGAUUUUAUGGAUAAUUGGUUCUCGGACUUUUGUGCUUACGCAUUGUGGUUUUCUGCCCCUCGAGAUAGUCGAUUUUCAAAAGUGAAGUUUCCGAGUGGGAAACAGUUUUAAAAAGGUUUUCGAUUGGUUUUUAUGAAUGAUUAAAUAGAGUUUAAAAUCAAAGCUUCCGAGUGGGGAGCACUUUUAAAUAGGAUGCUUGUUGUACUGUACAUUGCAUCAUCCAGCGCCUAGGAGUGUUUAGAGGCAUGCAUCAUCUCUAAGGAUCGCUAGCUGUAUGUAAAUACAUGGCAUGAGUUAAUUGUUGAUUGGUGAAUGUAGGUUGUAGUUGAAAUCCUGAUGUAUUGUUGGUACGCCGUGCAAAUACAAAGGAGACUCUAUCCGAGUGGAUAGAGGAACUUUGUAUUUGUAGCGGGUCUGUACGUCACGUGGACCAUGUUGAAUAAAAAAAAAAUUGGCCGUUUUUUUCGCAACUCUGAUUUUAAAAAUUGUAUCCAUUACAAAAAGGCUUUUAAAAUCGGCCCCAAGGCGUGACAGUUUGCCAGUAAAUAAAAGCUUUGAAUGGUGUACCUGCUGACAGAUUGCAAAAUCUUCCAACUCCUGAAUAGAAAUGGGAUGGAAUCACUAUGGAUUUUGUAAUUGGUUUAUCAAGAUAACAAGGUGGACAUGAUGUGAUUUGGGUAAUCUUAAGCAGAUACACUAAAUUUACUCACUUCCUACCAAUACAAGUGACAUUGUCUAGGGAGAAACUUGCUCAGAUAUAUCUGGAUGAGAUCGUAAGAUUGCAUGGAAUUCCUACCUCUAUAGUGUCGGAUCGAGACCCGAGGUUUAUAGUACACUUUUGGAAAGUUUUAUAGAUAGCUUUGGGGACUCAGUUAUAGUUCAGUACUGGUUUUCACCUGCAGACUGAUGGACAAUCCGAGAGGACGAUUCAGAUAUUAGAGGAUGUGUUGAGAGCUUGUGUCCUCAAGUAUGAUGGUGGCUGGUAUCGACAUUUGGCAAUGGCUGAGUUUGCAUAUAAUAAUAGUUAUUGAGCAAGUAUAAAAAUGGCUCCAUUUGAGGCAUUGUAUGGAAGAAAAUGUCGAUCACCAUUACAUUGGAGUGAAGUAGGUGAGAGAAUAACUCUUAGUCCAGAUAUUUUAGUAGAAACAGAAGAAAAUGUUAGAAUUACUCGAUAACAUUUGCAGACCGUCCAGAGUCAACUGAAAAGCUACGCUGACACACGGCGUCAAGACUUAGAGUUUCAGGUUGGAGAUCAUGUAUUUUUUCAAAGUCUCACCAUCUAAGGGGAUAAAGAGGUUUGGAAAUAUGUGGAAAGUUUAGUCCACGAUUCAUUGGACCUUUUGAGAUACUCGAGCUAGUUGGACCUGUUGCAUAUCAGUCAGUUUUACUACCGAGUUUAGCAAGUGUACAGGAUGUGUUUCAUGUCUCAACCUUAAGGAAGUAUAUCUUUGAUCCAUCACAUGUUAUAGAUUAUGUUCCAUUGGAGGUGACUGAUGAGAUGAGCUAUACUGAGCGUCCGGUUUGAAUUUUUGCACGAAAGGUAAAAAAAUAGCGAAAUCGAAUUAUUCCUUCUAUGAAGGUAUUAUGGAGUUACCAAGAAGAGUGAGAGGCGACAUGGGAGCCUGAGGAUGCGAUGCGAGAAUUUUAUCCCUAUUAAUUUGAGCAGUAGACUUGAGGUACAUUUCAAGUUUUGAAAACGAAACUUUUUUAAGGAAGGGAGAAUGUGAUAUACUGGACCUUAGCAAAUAGGCAAGAUUGCAGUAUAAAUUUUUAGUCAGUAUUUUGUUCUACAAUGCUUGACUGAAUUAGAGACGUUUUGGCGCGAAAUAGACGCUAAAACGGACUUUGACACUCUAGAUUUGACUAUAGAGGACUAAAAUUGAAAUAUCUAAAUUUUGAGGGACCUAUUAGCAUUUUUUCACUUUAAUUAGUGAAGCCCACGUGGGCCUUAGGUUUUCUCCAUGCUUAUCCAUUUCUUUUCUCCAUCAAGAAGCUUUAAGGUAGAGAGAGAGAGAGAGAGAGAGAGAUUGAGCACAAAAAAAAGAAGAAGCUUGGUUCCUUUGUAGCGAGUGAGCGAGUCGAGAGCGCACGCACGUGGAUUUUUCAUUGUUUCGACGUCACGGUUAGUAUCACAAUAUUGUUAUUUAUUCCGUUUAGACUCCUUUGAUGAAUUUCUUAUAGGAAUUAAGUGUUAGAAACUGAUUUUUAUAUAUUUUAGGAGCAGAUUUCGUGGCUGCCAUUCAGGCUAGGAGAGCCGUAGCGGAUCAUUUCCUUAUCCCAACUAUCGUUCCUUUCUUUGGAUUUACGAUAUAGGUGGCUUCCGUGUUGUCAAAACUGGCGGACUAAUUUUUAUGUCCAUGUCAUAUUAUUUAGCCGAUAAGAUGAACUGUUGAUAUAGUUGAGAUAACAGUAAUAUUUUAACACCUAUCAGUAGAGUAAACUGAAACAUAUAUAUAUGUGAUAUUUUUCUAAAAGUCAAUAAACGACUACAGAUAGUGUGAGACUAUAAUUGUAUUUUGGGCACUAUGAUGGUAUUAACAUGAUAUGUUUGAUCAUCGCAUUUUACCACAGUCUGUAUGCUAUGUUGAGUUUGACAGUGAUACUAUACUCGGUUGGGGUAGCGUUCCGCGAGUGCCACUCCGAAGGUUGGGAUAUGAGAUAUUAUUAUGGCAUGAUAGUAGUCUGCGUGGUAGCGGACCACUAUAAGUGGGUGCUGGACAUGAGGCGGCACAGGUUAGACUGACUGUUGAGUCGAUCACUAUGAUUGGAUUUUAUUACAAUAUUUUAUUUAGUACUAAUUGAUACAUGAUAUUUAUGAUUUGUCGAUUUCAGUUAUAUUGUAGAGAUAUGAUAGUAGUAGUUACUCUCAACAAUUAUUCAUAUUAGUACUUGUUUAUUUACACUGCUCAGUCAUUUACUAUUUUUGCCUCUUAUGGACCAAGUGGUGUAGAUUGUCAGCAUUGAUGACCUUACUCACUGGAAACUAUUAAUAAUAGUUCUCAUACCCUCUUCAUUAAUAUUUUAUUUCAGAACCUUCAGCACUAGCGACUGAUCGAAACAAGGGGAUCAUAGAUAGUUAGUAUCUUCUACCUUCUUUGUGUGUGUAGCUAGACCAUCUAUCAGUAUAUAUAGCAGCAUGUAUAGCGGUUUGAGGUUUAGGAUAGUCAGAGUAGUUAUAGCAUUUCGAGGAUUGUUGUGCUGACAAUUAUAUAUCUUUACCUUGUUGUUAUGAUAUAUAGUUUUUAUUUUACUCUAAUACUUAUUGUUGUUAGAUUUUUGUUAAUUUUGUUGGUCAAAGUUUUUUGUCGCUUCGUAUGUAUAACAUGUAUCCUUGCGCAUGCGAUGAGUCUGUUGAUGUAAUCCGAGCUUCCAUUGUAAUCCAAGGCGUGACACAAACUUGUGAGGGUCGCUCCCUACAAAUCAGUACUCAGGAGUUAGCUUUUGCGACAACAUGCUCACCCGUGCAGGAUUGGACGAGGCUCAUUUCUAAAGGGAGAAUGUUGACUAUACCACAGGGCCAUUAGGCAUGGCACAAGUCGAAACGUUACUUUAUGUAAGUCCCGGUUGAUUAGAUAAAAGUUAAUUAAACUUGACAUUGUACGUCACAAUUAGUUGAUAUAUACAUAGUAUAUGGACAUUUUUGUUGGGCACUACACAUUUGUAUAUUUGAUAGUAGUAGAGCUACAUACAUGUUGAUUGACAUAGUCAUUUAGUGAUAUUGUGGUAUUUGAACUUUUACUUCAAUUAUUACAUCCAUGCUUUAUCCUUAGCUACAUAUUAUCUUUGCCUCAAUUGACCUAGUGAUGUAAUACGUUUUUCUCGACGGUUUACCCACUGGAAACUAUUAUUUAAUAAUUUUCAUCUUUAUUGGUUGUUUGUUUUGUUUCAAGACCUUACACUAGAAGAGAGCCUAGGAAUCGCGGUAAGAGAUUAGCGACUAGUUAGAGUCUUUUUGGUGUUGCUAUAAGUGGACCCAAAACACUUUUCUUUUGUUUUUAUUGUGAAAGAUGUACUAACUCAUUUUGUAUAAAGACAAUCUUCUUUUCAUGAAAUAUACCCUUUUCUAUGUACUCUUUUUGUAUAAAAUUAUUAUAUAUCUUGUGAAAGGUUUAUAUUAAUCGUAGUAAAUUGGUUGAAUUAUUUCAUAAUAGUACACAUACUCUUAUUACCUUGUACUGCGCAUGGAGAAUUUGUGCACGUACCGGAUAGACUUUUGCUGAAAUUCGAACGAGACUUUUGUAUUCAAAUUCAAAUUUAAAUUCAUUUUUUUUUUAAAAAAAGGCUAAUCAUCAUCUAUAUAAAGCAACAACAUUAAACAGCCACCACCAUCAUCAUCAUCAUCAUCAUCAUCAUCAUCAUCAUCAUCAUCAUCGCCGCCAACAUCAUCACCACCACCCCCGCUGCAUUGCCGCAUCUCGGCCGGCACCACCACCACCACCACGGCCGGAUCGCCCUCACAGCUCCAUGAUUGAUGAAGCUCCCCUCUGCCUUCGUCGUUAUUCAAGAACUAACUAAUUUCGAACCAUAUAAGAUCAUAAUAGACAGAGAGGAUGCAACUCGAUCGCGCGAGCAGCAGAGUAAAAUCAAAACGGUGCACUUAAUUAAUUAAGGGAACUAUAUAUAUUCGUUCGCUCGUUCGUGAUGGGUAACUAAUUAACGAGUAACUAAAGGUCGUGCAUCUAUCUACUGAUGUUCUCUCUCUCUCUCUCGAUCGAUCGAUCGAUCGAUGGGCCCGGUCGAGCGGCAGAAACUAGCUAGCUAGCUAGGAGCUAAAUAGCUAGCUCGUGGUUCUUAUACAAGUAAAAUAAAUAAAUAAAUGUUUUACUGGUCGAGGGCGUUGGGGCCGGAGCAGUAGUUGAGGAUGGGGUUCCAGAUCCACUGGACCAAGAACCUCCGGCCCCCGACCCCGUUGGCGUUGUAGGCGGCGCCGGUGCGGCGGUCGAGGAGCAGCUGUCCGGUGUAGGCUCCGCCGCCGCCGGUGCCGUAGAUGCCCUCGCAGAGGUCGGCGAUCUCGGUGGGGAAGCAGGGGUCGGCGCCGGCGUACCAGGCGUUGACGAGCGGGUUGGACGCCAUCUCCGCCAGCUCGUGCGCCACCACGCUCACCAUGCCGUCCACCCCGACGUCCCCGUUCGGGGCCCGCUCCGCCCGCGCCCCGGGCACGUAGCUGGGCACCGCGAACGGGUAGGCGCACACCUCCGGGCAGCGCCCCGCCGAGUUGCCCGCCCACGCGUACGGCAGCGCGUAGCCCACGAUGGACGGGAAGGUGAAGUAGUGGAACCCGCACACCUGCCCGCAGAAGUCCUCCACGGCGACGUCGGGGGAGGUGAGCACGAGGUAGAGGCCCCCCCUCGCGUUCACGGGGAGGGGCCGGGUCUUCGCCGUCACGGCGUCGCGGAUGACCCCCUGGAUGUCCAGCCGGGACAGGGAGGCGCCGCGCGACAGCCGCCGGUCGCUCUUCUCCGCGCCCAGCGCCACGGCGGCCGAGAUGUUGGCCCCCGUCUGGUCGGUGUACAGCCGGACCGUGCGCCACCACGCCGCCACGGAGGGCCGCCGGGGGGGGACGCCCGAGGACGAGGGGGAGAUGGAGCGGAGGAAGGACCGGAUGAUGCGCUUCUGCGCCCGGGACCACUGCCGCCCGUACCAGAUCGGGUGGACGGUGAUGUUGGCCGUCAGCACCGGGCCCAUGUGGUAGCGCAGCUGCACGAACUCCGACGAUCCCUCGAACUUCUUGCUCGCGCCCAAGUCCAAGUCCGAGUCCGUCGCUCUCGCUCCGAAUCCCAAGCCACCGACGGUCGCGCUGGUGGUGUUGAGAUACAGGUGAGGCCACGGCCGCCACGCUGCGACUGCCGGAGCAUGCUGCGUGACAUUCAGGACGAUGACGACGACGACGCGUGCUACUAGCAGUAAAAUUUUAGCGAGCACAUUCGGCACACGAGCGGCGGUAGAAUCGCCGGCACGUGCGACGGAGCCCAUCGUGCUUGCAGGAGAUCGGGGGAGAGUGCCGACUGCCGAGUGAAGAAGGAAGAUUUAUUAGUCUGGGAGUGGCAGCGUUGGGUGUGCGUUUUGUGUGUGUGUGUGUAUAUAUAUAUAUAUAGAUAGCUAGCAAUCAACACUGCAGCACAGUGGAGGAGAGUGGGAACUGGGCUUCUGGGGUUUUGGGGACUGGGAUUUUUUUUUUUCUUUUUGCUUUUUGGUUUUUGGUCUUUGUGAUACGUUAUAGUUUAAUUUUGAUUUCAUCUAUUAUAAUAAUAAUAAUAAUAAUAAUAAUAAUAAAGAAAUGGUAAAAAGAAAGGGAGAGAAGGAAAAGUAAAAGGGGCAGGGCAAACGGGAACUAAUGUCAUAUAAUAUCUAGCCUGAAAAAGAAAACUCCCAAACUAGUCAGCUUCUCAAAAAAAAUUCCUAAUGUAACCUUUCUUUUGAUGGAUUAAAAAAUAAAAGUAACAUAAGAACAUUUAUACGUUAAUUAGGACUUAGGAGAGAGAAUUUUUCUCUCUCUCUCUCCUCUCAACCUACUAAUAUUUAAAAAUAAUUAAAAAUUAAUAUUUAAUAAUAGUGAUAUUAUUAUUACUUAUUAUUAUUAGUAUUUAUUUAACUAUAUAUAUGUCAAAUUUGAUCAUAUUGAUUUGUAUAGUUAAAUUAAAUACUAGUAAUAAUAAUAAUAAUUAUAAUAAUUAUUAUUUAGUAACUAAAUGUUUCUAGUGUAAGUGGUAAAGGAUUUGAUGAUUGAUACUUGAGGUUCUAAAGUUUGAAUUAUAGUUGAUUCACAUUUCCGUUGAUUCAUGUUUCUGUUGAUUCAUAUUUCCAUUUAAAUUUAUUUCUAAAAGAAAUAAACGAAGAUGGUAAUAUAUUAUUAUAUUUUUCUGUAAAAAAAAAGUUAAGUAAUAAUAAUAUUUAUUUUUAAAUAAUAUUAUUAUAAUAAAAAUUAUUUAUUUUUAAAUAUUAGUAGGUUUGGAGGAGAGAGAGAGAAAAAAUUCUCUCUUCUAAUUAGCAUUAAAGUCAUCUUUUGUUUUCUAAUUCAUCAAAAGAAGAGUAGAUCACAAAAUUUUUUUGAAAAGAAGGGUAGAUGGGAAUUUUUUUUUUCUAAUUAUUAGACAUGGCAUUCGCUCGCGAACGGGGGAGAUGAUCGAGAGAGCGAAGGGAAAAGCGCGCCGUUGAAAUGCGGAACGGAGGGGGCCAAAGGUGAUUGGCAGUAAUGGAUGACAGAUAGCAUCACUAAUGACCAGCUGUCAGAACAGGUCCCACUUUCCGGAACGGCAUAUACCUCCGCGGCACUUUCCGCUAGCACCCUCCACUCAACCUGCCAUAAAUUUUAACUGUCUAAACCUGGUGUAUUAUUGUUAGAUUUCAUAGGCAGCAAGUUACAUAAUUUUUCUAAUAUUUAAUGAUUAUAUAAUUAAAUUUAAUUUUGACAAAUAUAUGAAAGCGCAAGCUUUUUUGUACUAGAAUAAGGUCACAUGCUAUUUGUCACGGCCUAGAGUUUCACAUGCUACUUGUCACGGCCUAGAGGUUUUUGCUCGCAAAGUUCGUGCGACGCCAUCUUUUUCUAAAAAUAUUGAUAAAUCUUACUUCUUGUUAUUAAUCGGGACCUAUGUGUUCUAUGACUAUGUUUGCAAAAGAGAGAAAACAGGAAAAUAAAGAUUAUUUAAAAAAACUAAAUACUCUUAAUUAUUUAGAAAAAUAGGAUUAGAAAACACUACCUCUUGUGGAUUUGGACUUAACAAUUCCCAUAAUUUAUAGGCAUAUGAUUUAAUAAAUAUUGCCCAUCAUAUCUCACCCACUAACUAAACCUACAUUAACUCAACCAUUAUAAAUGCCAGGUGAAAUCAAGGGUUGCCCAUGACCUUUGAAUUUUUUUUAGAAGUUUUGGAGGCUUGAUGGCAGUAAUUUCAUAUCUCUUUUUCUCCCACAAAAGGAUUGGAAUUGGGCAUCCUUGACGGCCUGUUUUAGCUUGCGGAGUUAGGCCAGGAACUGGACUGCGCAGAAAUUUUUCUAAGUCUCUGACACUCUCCCCUACCUAAUGCGCAGGCGUCCUCAUCACGCGCUACUUCUGGAACUCGUUGAUGAAUGCUUGGUAUUGCCAAAGUGUGUCAAGCCUUCUCCCAACUAGCCUCGCUGUAGGGGAGAUUCGUUCACUUCACCAAGUACUCAGAACUCCGUGGAACUCCACGAUGUCGAAUGAGCCAAGUGCCUAGGAUAGACUCUGCUUGUUUGUCAAACGAAGUGAUUAUGGUUGACGGAGUGUGAUAUGACACGCCAUGGCUUGGAUCCUCCACAUCUUCAUGGUAUAAUUUCAGUCUGCUAACAUAGAAGAUGGGAUGGAUUUUGAGGUUCGCGGGCAGCUGUAGCUUGUAGGAGCCUUUGUCCACAUGCUUGACGAUGGUAAAUAAGCCUUCAUACUUUCGCAAUAGUCCCUUGUGCACCUUGCGCAGGACCUUAAACUGCUGCGACUGAAAUUUGACUAUCACGUGGUCUCUCUCGGUGAACUCCGGAGGUUGCCACUUCUUAUCUACCCACUUUUUCACCCGUCGGGCUAUUUUCACCAAACUCGCACUUGCAAUUUCAUCUUUUUCCUGAGGUGAAUUGGAGAGCAACAGGGCUGCAUAACUGCUCUCCCAUAGCGGCUGUGUAUGAAGCAAGUGGCUGUCGCACAGUCGCCAGCUCGAAGGGACUACAUUUCGUAGAGUUGCUACGUGGCAAGUUGUAGGAAAACUGUGGGACAUCAAGAUGAUGCACCCAAUCCUUUGGUUGGCACUUACAUAGUGUCGUAGGUACUUCUGUUACACAGCAUUCAGCCGCUUCAUUUCCCCAUUCGUCUAUGGUUGAGAAUUGGUGGAGAAGAGCAAAUCGGACCCCAAGAUUUCAAACACUUUUGGUCUGAAACAUGCUAGUGAACUUGGGGUCGCGGUCGCUCAUGAUGCACUCGGGGAUCCCCCAAAGCGUGACAAUGUGAUUGACGAAGAGACUGUUAGAUGUAUGCCCUAAAAAUCAACCGGGCUGACACAUGUAAUUUUUUUAGGAUAUAAAUUUGUAUUUGAUUUUAAAAUAUUAUGAAUGAAUUUGGAUCAUUAUUUUCAUUCAUGUUGUGUAUGUAUUCAUAAAUCGUCCAAGAAAUUAAUAAGAUGAUAAGACGCAUUCUCAAGAGUUGAGAAUUUGAGACAUGUGUUGUCACGCCCGGGCCCCAGCAGAAGCACGUCCGAUGCGUGCACAGACCCGCCGUGUACAGUAAGCACCUCUGAUGCACACAAGACGUCUACAACAACAAGAAAAGAAGUUGGAAUAGAUCCCUAACGUGGCUAUCAUAGCAAGUACAUAAAUCUACUAAAAACAGGAGUCUAGAACAACAACACCCACAUAAGAUAUACAAUAGGUACAUCAUGAAAACUAGUAGAUCUCUAAACAAAAUACAUUAUACAUCUUUCACCUAAAUCGAAAGAAAGAUGUCGAUGGGUCUGAUUAUAAUAACACCGAGAAGGCUCUAACUAGUCGAAAAUCUCUUGCCACGAUCCCUACCCUCUCCCGCAGUAGAAGGCUCUAAAACAGAAACAAACAACAACCAAUAAGGGUGAGAAUUAUUAAACAAUAAUUCCCAAUAGGUAAGCCGUCGAGAGUGGCGAAAUACACCACUAGGUCAACUUAGAGAUGAUAAUAUGCAAUAAGUAUUAAGCAUACAGUUAAUAAUAAAAUGAACAUUCAAUUAUAGUCAUGCCUCUACAUGAUAAUGCCAUUUAACAUGUAUGUAAUUUUCUACUGUCACAUGCAUAAGUAAUUGUACAUGUGAGUCUAUAUGCAAAUUUAAAUGCACAGAUUAGAUAUUUCACUUCAUUUUCAUCAUGUAACUAUACUUCUGUACUAAUUAACAUGUGUGUAUAGAUUUACUUUUAUCCAAUUAAUGAGGGACUUACACAUGAUAACGUCCCGAUUUGUGUCGUGCUUAAUGGCCCCAUGGUAGUCAACAUUCUCCUGCUAGAAAUGAGCCUUUUCCACGGUAAUCCACUUCGGCGCCCAAUCCCGCACGGGCGAUCUGUCGUUGCAAAGGCUAACUCCGGAGUACCGGCUUGUAGGGAGCAAUCCUCACAAGCUUAUGCGAAUGAGCACAAUGGCAAGCAAGCGUGAUCAUAAGCAUGAGGUCCAAAGACCACAUAUCCCAAUCGUUGAUCAUGUCUAAAAUAUAGAAUCACAAUCUUCGACUCAAAAGUCGGGUACUAUAUCAAAUAUGUCAUGUUUCAUUCUCAAUUAACUUGGUGGUAUGUUAUUUAUCUAACGAUACAUAACAUACCUUAAACAUGUAUUGAUUUACAUCUCAUUUAUCCUAUCAUGGACGGAUCUCUACUUUAUUCAUGACCCAACAGGGGUUUCAUAAUAAGUAUACUAUUUCCACUAUGGUGUAAGGUGAACAAUUUACCAAUGUCAUAUUCGAUGAACUACGAGAAUGUCAACUAGAUCAUGAUUCAGGUCAUGCACAUGCCUUGGUACACAAGCGUCCACUACAUUGAGUAUGGUGGUCAUCAUGCAAGUAACUUCAUUCAACUAAGUAAUUAUAUGUAAUUACCUCUUUUUAUUUGCCCAAAGGCGCAUAAAUUUUUUUCGUCAUGUCUAAAAUAUGGAAUGCAACUGACGACCUAGAGGUCAAGUACAAUGUCAUAAUGUCCACUUAGUUGUUCAACUAAGUUAAGUGCAACAUGCUUAACUUCACAAUUUAUCUCUACCAUGAAAUAGGUCAUGUUUGCCCUUGUCUAAAACAAGUAUAUUAGUUGGCAUAUAUGCAAGUUGAAUUCAAUAACUCUACUAACCAUGUAAGGUUCCAUAGGGCAUUCAUUUACUCAUCUCUAUCAUGCAUUCUAAUAUUGCAUAAGAGGAAAUACAGUUACAUUAUAUUUAGUAUACAAAUCUACAUUUUAAGCCUUUAUUACAUAGAGUAUGAAAACUUCUAUAUAUAAUAUGAGUGUAUCAUGUAUUCGAAAAUUCUACCAUGUCAUAACUAGCAUGACUAUGCAUCAACUUAUGUCUUAUAGCAUUAUAGAGGACAUAGAGGGAGUUCACCAAUUUCGGUGAGGUCAAACUCACCGGAUAGCUUCCGAAACCUUAUUUAUUUCUCCAACAGAAUUGUCUCCAAGACUUCUAGCAUCCUAAGAAAAAUUUCAAGGGGGUUAUAAGCUUCUAACAAGCUCACCAUGAAAUUCACCAAAAAUUCAAAGAAAAAUAGGUGAAAAUUUCUUUUGAUCAAGUAGAAUUUAUCCAAGGUCCAAAUCAAAGUUAAGAAGCUUCAAAUCCAACCUACAAGAGUGUUCUAUACUCAUCAAUUCCAUACAAAAAGCUCUCAAAAGAAAAACCCCAAAACAAAUCCUAAUUUCUAUAAAACUAAAUUUUCCAUCAAAAUUUUUUUGCAAAUAUCUCAAAUAAAGAGUACAAGAAGUUACUCAUCUCAAAAUAAGCUCCAACUCAAGCCAUGAAGUGUUAGGGUUGAAGGUUGAUCCUCCAACAAGCUCUUCUCUUUAAUCCCGAGCUCCUCUCCAAGACCAAAAUGCUUGCAUCCAAAGAGGAAAGGAAGAAAAGAGAUCAAACCCUAAGGAUUAAAGGGUUAGAAAAAGGAAUCCUAGAGAGAGAGUGCAAGAACUCACCUCUCCUCCCCUCUUUGCCUCAGCCAACAAAAGAGGAAAUGACGGGGUGAGGGACAUACUAUAUAAGUUGUAAUAAUACCCCAAAAGCCCCUCCAAAAUAAAGAAAUUGCAUUCUGCUCAAAACAGAUUCUGUGGCAUUGAGUACCGGUACACAGCAUUGAGCACCGGUACUUGGCAGUUAGUAUCGGUACCCGAAGGUCAAUCCCGUAGAACCCGAAUGUUGAAAAUUCAGGUUUAUAACUGUGUUUCAGUACCAGCCCAAUGCAGUACCAGUACGUAGCUUAGUAUCGGUACUCACAACCCAGUUCCGCACAACCCGAGAGCUGCCCAUUUCGGCACUUUAUAGGGUUCCGGUACCUGAACCCAGUGCCGGUACUCAACACUAAAUUUUGCACCUUGCAAAUUUUAAUGUUGGGAACCCGUUCUCACGCCUAACAAGCUCUAGAAACAGGUCGACGCACAACCAACAAACCUCAAAACUUUCAGAAUAGCACAAAAGAUUAUUCUUACACUAGAACCUUGCAAUUUGCUAAAGUUCAGUGUGUUACACUCUUGGUGUGCAAAAGAAACAGCCUGCCAUAUCUCGUUCUAGUGCGGAGGCUGAAUAUUGCUUUCUCACCCACACUACUGCCGAGCUUUCUUGGGUAUUAUUGCUUUCUAAAGAUCUUCAUAUAUUUCUACAUUCUAAACCGGUUAUUUAUUAUGACAAUAUGUCACGCCCCGGGGUCCCUUUUGAUUUUAAAAUCGAUGCGGAAGUGCCCGAAUUUUUUUUUUUUAAGCCUUGACUCAGAGAACGUCAGAUCCGCAACAAAUACAGAGAAUCCACUUUUCACACAGACAAAGCCUCCCCUAUAUUUGUACGGCGUCACACAAGUACAAGAUACAACCACAUUGUAUACAAAUCUAAAUACAAUCACCACAUCACAUAAUUCACCUUCACAUUUAGUCAUUCACAAUGAUACAAUAUUUUAUUUUUAUUUUUUUUUUGAGUGAUAGGUAGCAUGCUACCUGCUUCGUUUAUUUCAUUUCGAAAUAAACUUAGCUGGAAAUGUGAAUCAACUAGGAUUCGAACUUGGGUCUCGGGUACCAACCACCAAGCCUUUUGCCACUUAUACAAUAUGUUAUUCAUAAAUCCAUAUCUAUGAGUUUAAAACGUUUCCCACCCGAAAACUCAUUUUGAAACACUAAAAAUCAUGAAAACUGUAAAAUCCUUUUUAAAACUGUUUCCUACACGAAAACCUUUUUCUUUUAAAAGCAAGCUACCACGAGGGGUGUAAGGAUUGAGAUUUUUACAGUGCAACUAAACUCUCUGUUGAUGAUGUUUAUGUGUGUAAUUUAAUUACAUAAGCACUCAUCAAGUUUCAGGAGGAAAUGAGCUAAAAUGGAGAAGUUACGCGAUUAUUAGUUUUCACUUAAGUGAAUAGUAACUCCGGUUUUCCGGAGAAGCCACGGAGUAGGGUUGGCUUUCGGCGCGUAUCGGACUCCGUUCAUAGCGAUCCAAUAGCUCGUUUUGAACGGUUCAGCUAUUCUGGAACCAAUGGCACUGACGGAUUUUAGAUCUGAUGCACGGUUUUCGAGAAAAUCUGAAAAUACAUGUUUCUUGUGUAAUUGUGCAUCAUUUUGGCCUUUUGGAGAGAGAUUGGAUUUCGUGCGUGAACCGGAGAUCAAAAUCGGACGAAACGAAAUGCUAGAUUCGAUGCCCUCGUCGUGCUUGAACGCGAUGGUGCAAUCCGUUCUGAAAUCGACGAUGAACAGAUUGUCGAUAUUGCAUGAAGUUCGCUAAGGGUCGGAGAGUGGAAAAUCGGGAAAUACAACAAAUGUAAUAUUUUAUGUACCGAAUCGCAUGAGAUCAAACGUGGAGGUGCGUGCCAGUGAUUUUACUCGCGCUGUGAAGGACUGGGUUAGAAAUAACCAGUUCCGGAGACUUUGGUGCAAAGUGCAUAAUGGUAUAUAAUAUGGCCUUUAGGGUUUCUAUGCACGAAACCCUAGUUUCUGCCGACCUAGUCCCAGCUAUGCCUAAGGUAGCUUCAGCAGGUCUCGCCUUAGCCAUGCGCAUGCCCCGGCCCCGGCAAGCUGCUCCGGCCACGCGAAAACCACCCUUUCCACCUUCAUCUCCACUAUCUUCAUCCUUCCUGGCGUGGAUCACCCAGGGUCAUCCACUCGCGUCGGCCCUCUCCUUUGGCCGCGCCGACCUCCGCAGCCUCCCCGCCGGUCGCCGCCCCGCCGCGCGCAAAGGCAUUGCAGUCUUGGCAGCCACGGCCAGCCUGUGCAGGCUCGGGCCGAGCCAGGCUGGCUUCCCUCUCGUGCACUGCACGCUGCCUAGAUCGAGCUGCGCCGCCUUCCGGAGCCCGCGACCUCCGCCGCGGCCCUACGUCAGCGUACGCCGCCGGAGCUGCCCAAGCUCCUCGCGCCACCUGCAAUCACCAGGCGAGCCUGGGCAGACACUUUGCAUCCGCGCGCCGCAUCCGCCUCGAGGCGGGCCGCCCCGCCUCCCUCUUCUGUCGGCGACCUCACGCGCAUGUUUCCCGGCGUCCCCGACCACCGCCAGCCGCCGCCCGAAGCGCCUGCAGCCGCCGCCCGAGAGCAAGUCGAGGAAUUGAUCUCCUCCGCCGCGUCACCGGCCGCCUCCCGCCGUCGGCCAGCACCUUUCCCUGACCCCUUCGACCUGCCGCACUCUUCCCCGGCCGACGCGCACGCCGUCCGAUAGCCGCCGGCCGUGCCCUAGCUCCACCAUGUCCGGUACGCUGUUUUCAGCCUGUCUGCGCACUAGUUUCCUGUUUGGAUCAUUGUUCCGGCGACCCGGGGCUAUUCCGAUGCUCCCGGAGGUGAGCACGGUGAUCAUCUGUCAGUUCUGAUCACAAUGCUCACCUCACUUAGGGUGAGAGAGCUCCGGAUGAGUUAAUUAGAUGUGUUGUAGUUUCAGUGCGCGCUGUUUUGUUGAACUUCGUGCCGCUCGUGCGCGUCCCACAGUGGCCGAAAUUGCUCCGAAAGGUGAGCACGGCCUCCGGCACGUCAAAAGCUGUAAGUGGGUAUCUUGUCUCGGCUGUUUGACCUCUAGUUUGCGUAGACGGACCAUAAAAGCCCGGAAAACACAUGAAAUAAUGUGAUUUCUUGGAAUCAGAAGGGCUUUUAUGCAACUUUGUCCGUCGUGGCUGCUGUUGGCAGCAAGUAUGGGCCGAGGAUAACCUCCGGACUGAUUGUCCAAGGCCCCGGACCUUUGCGAAGACCGAAAAUGCAUUUCCGGAGCAUUUUUCGGCGAAAUCCGCCGAUAGAACGCGUUUUCGAUUCGGAAUUCUUCCAACGGUACUUGGGAAUCAUUUGUUUCAUCGCGGAGCCUUGUUGGCUGGUCACCCGCAUCGUUUCGUGGGUUUGGAAACGACGGGUGAGCGACGGUGAAGUUCCGGUGCGGUUUCGGGACUUUCGGUUUGUUCGGUAAUCGGUUUUGGGAAAUCAAUUCUCGUGGGUUUAUUUGUGGGGUUAUGCUUUUAGGGUUUCUUAGUUGUGGGUUAGACACUAACCCAGUGGACCCCCCUUAGGUCCUGUUGACGUUCUUUUGCAGUCAGGAGACAGGCGCGACAGUUGUACAGGUGGGUACUUCGAUCCGACGUUGGUACAGUGGUGCACGCUCGGUGACGUUUCCUUUACCCUUGUUGUUUAUAUCUUUUACCAUAUAUAUGUUGAGCCUUGCACCCAUGCUGUUUCCUUAUUACUCUAUUUAGUUGUUGCCAGGUGUAGUAUCAUGUGUAGGAGUAGAGUAGACUUUAUCUGUAUAUGAUAUUUAUGAUUUGGUUGGUCUGAUCUCCUAUGUGAUCUCCAUGACCUGGUUGGUCGACGUUGCAUCUCCUACACUUGUGACCUGGUUGGUGGUUUCUUGUACCUCGUAUCAGUGACCUGGUUGGUCGGUCCUUUGACUUCUGUUGUCCGAUGACCGUUGAGGUCGGUGUACCCUGAGGGGUCGGAUUGUCGGCUAGUGGCCGACGGUAGUUCUAGAUUAUAUACUUGUGACAUGAUUGGUCGAGUUCAUAUCCUAUACUUGUGACAUGAUUGGUCGAGUUCAUAUCCUAUACUUGUGACAUGAUUGGUCGAGUUUCAUACGCUAUACUUGUGACCUGGUUGGUCGAUUUGGUUACAUGAUGACCCAUGCGGUCGAUGGUUCCAUGUUGAUAUCAUGCUUAGGAGUAGAGUCGACUUAUCUGUUCACUAUAUCUGUGAUUUGGUUGGGCGGUUCCCCUAUUUUGAUAUCUAUGACCUAUUCGGUCGAGUUGUUACAGUUCUAUCUUGACAUACGUAGCCGACUAGUUGUUGAUGGCCUAUACGGUCGGUGUGCCCUGAGGGGCUGGAUUGUCGGCUAGUUGCCGAUGGAAGAUCUUUGAGCAUACUACAUUGAUCGCCACUGCAGGUACGCAUUUCACGAACACCAGCGGUCUGAUCCACCGCAAGAGGGUGUUCUUUUCCGGAAAAGUGGUUGGAUUGCCAACCCGUGAGCCCAGGGGCUUUAUUGCGAGGGUAUAUGCUUCUGACCCAGGGGCUUCAUUGCGAGGGUCAGGUACUGUGCUUCUGACCCAGGGGCUUCAUUGCGAGGGUCAGGUACAGGUUGAGCAGUGUGGCAUGGGCCUGAGGUCUUCGGACCAAUAGGGCAGCGAGAUUGGGUACUUUUGAGCUUAUCGUCAGUUGACGCAUGCAUACAGUAGCUGUAGUGUUUAUUUUCAGUACAUCCUUAUCUGUUUAUUGUAGCUACUGUUUUAUUUACCUGCAUCUAUACUUGUCAGCUCCUUACUUAUCAGCAUCUUUACUUACCAGCACUUAUGUCUAUCUAGUUCUCCGUGUUGUUGUAUAGCUCUCUUCCUGAUCCGGUGAGUACUCCUCGCCUUCUUCGGCUUGCGGUACCCACUGGGAGGGGAGACAUGUUUACAUGUUCUCACCUCCCCCACCAUUUUUCAGGUAUCGCGGGCGAUGAGUAGUGGGACGAGACGUGAGGUACGUGUGUAGCGGUCGAUAGAGCUUCCGACCCAGGUUAUUUCGAUUUAGUUAUUAUCCUUGGUAUUUCUGUUGUUAUAUAGUUUAGUUGGUUUAUGUGGUUCAGUAUUUAUUUACAUUUGAAAAUGUGGAUUUCUGGAUUUUGUAAAAUAAAAGGAUUUCUACCUCUCGUGGUAGCGUUUUUAAAGAAUAAAGGUUCCUGUGUAGGGAACAGUUUUCAAAAGAUUUUUUAUGGAUUUAUGUUUAGACAUUGAAUGUAAAACUGUGAUGUGAAUGGUGAAUGUAUGAAUGUAUAGUUAUCUUUAUACUCAUCUAGUUGUGGUUGUAUCCUGGUUGUACUCUUGUACUUGUGCGACGCCGUGCAAAUACAGGGGAGACUCUGUCCGUGUGAACAGUGGAUCUCCUGUAUUUGUGGCGGAUCUGGCAUACUCUGGGGUCAGAUAUAUAUAUAUAUAAAAAAAAAAAUUCAGACGCUUUUCCGCUUCGUUUUAAACUGAAAAGGGACCCCGGGGCGUGACAGAUUAAAGUGGUAUCAGAGCGAGGUUACAACCACAACACCAUUCACAGGUUGUUUUGAAAAGUAAAAGAAACUGAACCAUUGCUUAGGUUGACCCUUAGGAAGACCUACGGUGUAUAGGCACGUGAGUGCGGGGUUUGGGCUUGUAUCCCGGUGUGCAUUCGAGUUGGGUAAAUUCAGAGUGCAUGGUGUUUUUGUAUGUGUUACGGUUCGCACAAGCUGGUGUCUAAGUUGGGAGUAGUGGCGGUGUACUUUUUCGGACAUCAAGUGGUGGGACGAUAUUCCCCAGGUGUUACCACUCCUGUCAGGUGAGGCCUUGAAGGGCCAAGUGAGAUUUUUUUCGGGCCUAGGCGAGUGUUAUAACUGCCGACGCCCAUGCCACUCUCUCUACUUAGGACACGAGUGCUACUGCGAGUGUCUCUACGGAGACGGUGCUUAGACCAGUUACGGUCGCGACUUCAGUAGGGCUACUAGGGUGUAGCCCAGGGUUUGGAUAGCGGUCGUUCAGCGACUGCAUUGUUAGUGUUGCUUCCACAGACCUUUGGGUAGGGUUGUGAUGCCUACCUAUCCUCCUUGAUUGCUAAUUGGAAUCAGCGGUUCGGGUCUUUUGACCUUUUUCUCGUUCUUCCUUCCUACUAGAGUCGGAUUGACACAAUUUUGGUGUCAAGUUUUCUUUGAGGCAUACAUCGUAUGCGGUUAUUCUAACACCUAAAUUGGUGUGUUGUGGGUUAAUUUGUGGUUGGUGAUAGGUUUCGUCUUGAUUCGAGGGACUCCAGGUUAUUGUCGGAAUUCUCAGAGCUUUGAUUAUAGCUCGGUUGUGGUGCGGAAAUCUGUUAGAGAAACCGUUUCCUAAAGCCUCAGUUAGUACGGUUCGCGGCUUAGUGUAGCUAGCAGCUUUCGGAUGUUGAAAGUUAUAGGACUCCCUGUGAGUCGGUUCAGGGUCGUUCCGAUUUCGAAUGUCGACUUGUAAAGUUGAUGUUUCGAUAGUAAUGGUUGUGAACUCGUGGUUCAGUGAUGAGGAAUCAAGUGGCUUGAUUCUUCAAAGUGUCACACUUCCAACUCGUUGUUGGUAGUGAAUCUUCGGAUAUUUCGCUUUUCUUUUGAUAAGUACAUUGGCUGCAGACAAUAUACUGUCGAAAGUUACGAUGAAAUACCUAUCUUGUCGUUUGGGACUUAUGGAUUGGGUCGAUGUAUUCUCUAGACUGUUUUGUGGGAAAAGCUAGAGUGAUGUCAUCUUUGACCACGUAGCGAGCCUUGGGUUAUUCCUUGGCAGGUUUUGCACAGUUGACUUAUCGUCACUGAUAAAGGGGUUUUGACUCUAGUUCGAGUCUGGGUGUUUGUAGCUCUUUAGUUGUGCUUCCCACAAUUAAAAAGUUUGUUUGGUUAGUAGUAUCGGUCUAUUGUCGAGUGGUUCAGAAUCACAAGUGUGGAGUGACUUGAGCAUGGUUGUUGGCUUUGAUUGUCACCGUAUGUGAUAGCGUAAAAGGUUUGCGACUUGGCUUAACGUGCAAACCUUGAAAUGGCUUGCUUGUCCGGUUAUUUGGUGACAGGUGCCCUUGGGUCUCAAUGAGACAAGUUAUCGGGUGUUGCUGGGAACAUCGAUCGCUAGGGUCCCUUGUAGGACGGCAGCGACAGGGUCUUGUGGAGACCAGUGCUGAGCAUCACCGAUGGUUAGUAUCGCAGUUGCGAUUAGCGACCUGUGCAUCAAGUGGUGGACUUGCAAGAGCAUUCGGUGGUCUGUUGGUACCGGAUUAAGUUUGAGGGGACAAAAUUGUCUAGCUCAAUUGGUAUUGUCAGUUGGAUCUUUUGGGCAGAUGUAAAGUGAGGUCUUGAACCUAGGGCUAUAGAUUGUGGCAGGUGACCUUUCGUUGAUGAGAUUUUGGCAGUUUGUGUGGUUACUGCUGGAGACUGUGGUCUCUAAGGUGAGAGUUUUGACUCAGGUCUUAGAACAACGUUUCAUUUUCACUCAUGGUGAGCAGGUUGACGCUGUUGGAUAGUCGGAGUUUUUCGUUUCAGUCUACGUAAAUAGACUCUAGAUUAAAAUAGUUGUCUCGUGACUUUUCUACGUGAACUUCCAAGGUAGAACGGACCUAAAUUUCUGAAUGUUGAUUAAUUAUCUCAGAAUUGGCAAAUUGGGAUCGAAUAAUCCUAGUCGUGGGACUGUCUUUGUCCGCAGGUUAUAGGAUAGUGUUAAUCCUGGUGAGUUUUGGUCCGUAGAUUUUGGGUUAGUACAUUUUCCCUCGAUUCGUCCAGGUGGAACCGCAGUCCUAUUUUUCCCCUUUCUACGGAAGUUGAUAUAUCCAAAUGUAAUUGACCAGUACUCAAGGGUGAUAUUGCAGAGGUGGAGUAAUAUCCGAAUUCAAUUUCGGUGGGUAUGUGGUCAAGUUUCGGGGACGAAACUUCUUUUAAGGGGGGGAUAAUGUAAGGACUGAGAUUUUUACAGUGCAACUAAACUGUCUGUUGAUGAUGUUUAUGUGUGUAAUUUAAUUACAUAAGCACUCGUCAAGUUUCAGGAGGAAAUGAGCUAAAAUGGAGAAGUUACGCGAUUAUUAGUUUUCACUUAAGUGAAUAGUAACUCCGGUUUUCCGGAGAAGCCACGGAGUAGGGUUGGCUUUCGGCGCGUAUCGGACUCCGUUCUUAGCGAUCCAAUAGCUCGUUUUGAACGGUUCAGCUAUUCUGGAACCAAUGGCAGUGACGGAUUUUAGAUCUGAUGCACGGUUUUCGCGAAAAUCUGAAAAUACAUGUUUCUUGUGUAAUUGUGCAUCAUUUUGGCCUUUUGGAGAGAGAUUGGAUUUCGUCAUGAACCGGAGAUCAAAUCGGAAGAAACGAAAUGCUAGAUUCGAUGCCCUCGUCGUGCUGAACGCGAUGGUGCAAUCCGUUCUGAAAUCCGAUGAACAGAUUGUCGGAUAUUGCAUGAAGUUCGCUAAGGGGUCGAGAGUGGAAAAUCGGGAAAUACGCAAAAGUCGUAAUAUUUUAUGUACCGAAUCGCAUGAGAUCAAACGUGGAGGUGCGUGCACGCGAUUUACUCGCGCUGUGAAGGACUGGGUUGGAAAUAACUAGUUCCGGAGGACUUUGGUGCAAAGUGGCAUAUGGUAUAUAAUAUGCCUUUAGGGUUUCUAUGCACGAAACCCUAGUUUCUGCCGACCUAGUCUCCCAGCUAUGCCCUAGGUAGCUUCAGCAGGUCUCAGCCUUAGCCAUGCGCAUGCCCCGGCCGCCGGCAAGCUGCUCCGGCCACCUGAAAACCACCCUUUCCACCUUCAUCUCCACUAUUCUUCAUCCUUCCUGGCCGUGGAUCACCCAGGGGUCAUCCACUCGCGUCGGGCCCUCUCCUUUGGCCGCGCCCGACCUCCGUCAGCCUCCCCCGCCGGUCGCCGCCGCCCGCGCGCGCCGGCAUUGCUAGUCUGGGCAGCCGCGGCCAGCCUGUGCAGGCUCAGGCCGAGCCCAGGCUGGCUCCCCUCUCGUGCACUGCCGCUGCCUAGAUCGAGCUGCGCCGCCCUUCCCUGGAGNAUAAAAGUUCCCGUGUAGGGAACAGUUUUCAAAGGGUUUUCUGUGAUUUUGUAUCUUAGUAUUUCAAAACCUGUUUCUGUGGUUGGAAAUAUUUUAACUGAUAGAUGUGGAUUUAUGUUUAAAUAUUGAAUGUAAAAAUGUGAAUCUUUGGUGAAUGGUGUAUGAAUAUAUAGCUGUGGUUAUUUGUAUAUUCAUCUGGUUGUGGUUGUAUCAUGUUUGAACUCUUGUACUUAUGCGACGCCGUGCAAAUACAGGGGAGACUCUGUCCGUGUGAACAGUGGAUCUCCUGUAUUUGUGGCGGAUCUGGCAUACCCUAGGGUCAGGUUUUCAAAAAAAAAAAAUUUCAGACGCUUUUCCGCUAUGCUUUAAACUAAAAAGGGACCCCGGGGCGUGACACCGAGACUCUCCACACAUGUCCAGCUGGUGAACCGGCUCUGAUACCAAAUGUAACGACCCAGCCAACUAGCAAUAAUAACUCGUUGGGCCUGGCCAACAACCCAAAAUGCUUAAACCCAGUUAUUAUUACUAGUGUCUAAGUCCCUUAUAAAUCCAAUGACAACCCCUUUCCCAUCCGAUGUGGGACUAUUGGGGUGUCAUAGACUCCCCCAGUUAAGGCCAUGACGUCCUCGUCAGUCCAAUCACACACACAGCCCAAGAUCACCAGGCGAUGUGAGACAGUGGCCGUAAUCGUACCGAGACUCUGCCGGGACCCACGGACUGUCCCGGAACUCUGCCUGGCGGGUUCCCUGGGCAAGCUCGGUCCGAGUCAGCGUAUUACGGCGAUCGGUUUGGGAAACCGAUUCUCGUGGGUUUAUUUGUGGAGUUAUGCCUUUAGGGUUUCUUAGUUGUGGGUUAGACACUAACCCAGUGGACUCUCCUUAGGUCCGGUUGACGUUCUUUUGCAGUUAGGAGACAAGCAUGACAGUUGUACAGGUGGGUACUUCGAUCCGACGUCGGUACAGUGGUGCACGUUCGGUAAUGGUUUCUUACCCUUGCCCUCUUACUAUUACCUAUGUUGAUAUCAUAUUGAGCCUUGCACCUGCUUUUAUAUCUGCAUUCCUCUACUCAGUUAGUUCCAUGUUGAUAUCAUGCUUAGAGUAGAGUUGACUUAUCUGUUCACUAUAUCUGUGAUUUGGUUGGGCGGUUCCCCUACAUUGAUAUCAUAUUGAGCCUUGCACCUGCUUUUAUAUCUGCAUUCCUCUACUCAGUUAGUUCCAUGUUGAUAUCAUGCUUAGUAGUAGAGUUGACUUAUCUGUUCACUAUAUCUGUGAUUUGGUUGGGCGGUUCCCUUAUUUUGAUAUCUAUGACUUGUUCGGUCGAGUUGCUACAGUUCUAUCUUGACAUACGUAGCCGACUAGUUGCUGAUGGCCUAUACGGUCGGUGUGCCCUGAGGGGCUGGAUUGUCGGCUAAUUGCCGAUGGAAGAUCUUUGAGCAUACUACAUUGAUCGCCACUCCAGGUACGCAUUUCACGAACACCAGCGGUCUGAUCCACUGCAAGAGGGUGUUCUUUUCCGGAAAAGUGGUUGGAUUGCCAACUCGUGAGCCCAGGGGUUUUAUUGCGAGGGUAUAUGCUUCUGACCCAGGAGCUUCAUUGCGAGGGUCAUGUACUAUGCUUCUGACCCAGGGGCUUCAUUGCGAGGGUCAGGUACAGGUUGAGCAGUGUGGCAUGGGCCUGAGGUCUUCGGACCAAUAGGGCGGCGAGAUUGGGUACUUUUGAGGUUAUUGUCAGUUGACGCAUGCAUACAGUAACUGUAGUGUUUAUUUUCAGUACAUCCUUAUCUGUUUAUUGUAGCUACUGUUUUAUUUACCUGCAUCUAUACUUGUCAGCUCCUUACAUAUCUCUUUCGUUUAUUAUUGUUGCUACUAUAUUUCCCCUGACCCGUGUUGUUGUAUAACUCUUCCUGAUCCGGUGAGUACUCUUCGCCUUCUUCGGCUUGCGGUACCCACUGGGAGGGGAGAUAUGUUUACAUGUUCUCACCUCCCCCACUAUUUUUUUUAGGUAUCGUGGGCGGUGAGGGUUGAGACGAGACGUGAGAUACGUAGCGGUCGAUAGAGCUUCCGACCCAGAUUAUUUCGAUUUAGUUAUUACCCAUAUUAUUUCUGUUGAUGUAUAGUUUAGUUGGUUUAUGUGGUUCAGUAUUUCAUUACGUUAAAAUAAAAGGAUUUCUGAAUUUUAUAAAAUAAAAGAUUUUCUACCCCUCGUGGUAGCGUGUUUUAAAAAGAAAAGGUUUCCGUGUGGGAAACAGCUUUCAAAAGAGUUUUCUCGUGGCUUCUAUGUUUAAACAUUGAAUGGUAAAUAUCUGGUGAAUGGUGACUGAAUGUUGAGUAUUGUAUAUUCAUGUAUUGUGGUUGUAUCCUGGUUAUACUCUGUUUGUACUUUUGUACUUGUGCGACGCUGUGCAAAUACAGGGGAGACUCUGUCCAUGUGAACAGUGAAUUUUCUGUAUUUGUGGCGGAUCUGGCAUACCCUGGGGUUAGGCUAAAAAAAAAAAAAAAAAAAAAAUCUCAUGGAGCACUUGUUUAUUGAUAAUAUUACUGAAGUAGGAUCUUUGUUUUUUAGUUUUUCUUGUGCUUUNGUCAAAUUUUGUUUCGCCUUUUCGCAGACUUAAAAAAAAAUAUAUAUAUAUAUAUAUAGACUGGGGUCUCAUACGGUCUAGGCGGUGUUUAUGUCCUCUAGGUGACAAGUGUGCCUGUCUCAGAGGGGACAUAAACGUGCCGCANCGUGUUCAUGUUCUCAUGUUGGUCCUAUGUUGGUGUUGAUCUACUCAUAUUUCUAUUGAUAUGUAAGUAUGUAAGUGGUAAGUGUAGUGUCAAAAUGUAAGUUACAGAUUUCUAUUUAGGUAUCUUUUAGAAAACUUUUGACACGGGAUGUGUACUUGGAAAUAAGAAAUUUUUGCGAUGGUGCUCUCCAUCUUUAGGAAAAUAAAAUGUUUUAGGUCUUUAGGUGUAAAAGUUUACAUUUAUUUAUGACUUGGUGUAUUUGGUUGAUUUGAUAUGUAGCUGGCUUUACUCUUCCCAUUCUUUGAUUUGGCUUGUUGGACCCAGCCUUCGAAAUAGCUGGUGAUGCUUGCAUAGAGCGCAGAGCAGGGUUAUGUGUGGCGGACGCUAUGGACUUUUUACCACCCCCUCCACUCAAAAGGGACCCCGGGGCGUGACAAGGGGUAGAAAAUCAUUUUCAUAAUCUCACAAGAAAACCUUAAGUACUUUAUUAUUUUCACAAAACCACAUGUAUCCCGAUAAAGUAAAACCAACUGAAACAUAAUGUCUAAGUCAUUUAUUUUGAGAAAGCAAAGUUAGGAAUUAAACCAAAUCCAUAAGGUUGGGAGCUCUAUCGACUGCUAGAUACAUGCCUCACGCACCGUCCCGACUUGGAUCCGCAACGUCACCUAAAAGGGGGUAUGGGGUGAGAACAUAUACACAUGUCUCCCCUCCCAGAGGGUACUACUAGCCGACGAGGGCGAGGGGUACUCAUCAGUCAAGGAGGAUAACUAGAAAAUUAAAUAACAGUAAUACAAUAGCAAAGAUAAGUAAGAAAACAACAUAUGCAUAAAUAACUAUCGUUACUGUAUGCAUGCAUUAACCGGACUAUAAGUCCAAAAGUACUCAAUCAGAAAUCUGCCAUAUCGGUCUGCUUACCUCAUGCCUGUGCCACUGCCACUCUACCUACAUAUAACCCAGACUAAGCCGCCGGGCUUACAGGUUGGCACGUCCAACCACUUUUCCGGAAAAGAACACUCCCUUGUAGUGGAUCAGACCGCUGGUGUUCGUGAAAUGCAUACAAAUAGUGGUGAUCGAUACUGAUAUGCUGAAUAGCCAACCGUCGGCAAUUAGCCGACAAUCCUACCCCUUAGGGUAUACCGACCGUGUAGGUCACCAAGUAGUCGAAUCGACGAAAUAGGUCACAGUAUCAGAUAUAAAGAACAGAUCGAAUAGGUCACAGAUCUCACGUAUAAUCACAAAUCCGCUCUGCUUCUAAAUCCUGAUACUGGAUAUGCAACUAACCAAGUAGAGCAAUAAAGAGAAAUAGUAAGGGUGCUAGGCUCAACACAUAAUAUGCAAGGUAAUAGUAAGAAGAGGGUGGAGAAAAUGUCACCGAGCAUGCACCACUGUACCGACUUCGGGUCGAAGUACCAACCUGUACGAAUGUAGCACCUGUCUCCCGACUAUGCAAGAACGUCAACCGGGCCUACGGAGGGUUCACCAGGUUAGAAUCCAACCCACAUAUAUGAAACUAAACUUACAAUUCCACCAUUAAACCCACGGGCAUCGAUUUUUCAAAAACCGAUGACCGUAACUUGUCGGAAGUCCCGAAAAUCGCAUCGGGACUACGUUGGGACCCACGAAGUGUCCCGCGACUCACCGACUUGCGCCACGAGUGACCCGCUACCACACUACACCAUAAUAAAGGUGUCCUGGCAGCAAAUACAAGGCUGACAUCGAAACGAUUAUCGUCGGAUAACCGUUCCAAUCCGGGUUUUUGAAAAUGUCAAUUUCGACACCGGAACCCACGGUCGCUCACUCAUCGUCUCCGAAUUCUUGGAACAACAUAAGUGACCAACCAAUAAGGCUCAGAGACGAACAAAUCUACAAUGAGGCACCGUCGAAAGAAAUCCUAACCGAAAUCGCGUUUCGUCGGCGGAUUUCGCCGAAAAACGCACCGAAAAUCGAUAUUCGAUUUCUUCAAAGGCCUCGGACCUUGGACAAUCAAUCCAGAGAUCACCCGCUGCCCGCACACACUACCCACAGAAGCCACGAGGUGGCCAAUUGCACAAAAGUCCCUACAAUCAUCUAAAAUCAUGUUUAUUUUAUGUGAUUUUUCGGGUUUUACUGCUCGAUAGCACAAACCGAGGAUUUUCGAGGCUUGCCGAGACACACGCUGAUAGGUUUCGACGUGUCAGAGACCAUGAUCAUGAUUCGGAGCAUGGCCGCCCACUGUGGAGAGCAUGGGAGCGACCCCAAAAUCGGCAAACUGCGCACGCUGAACCUAAACCACGCUUAACUCACAAACCGAGGCCUCGCUGGCCCCAAAGGUGGGGAGCACGAUGAUCAGCACUGGUCAGGGAUUGUCGUGCUCACUUCCAAAAAGUGUUGGGGUACCCUUGGAUCUCUGAAAUAGUGACCCAAAUCCAAGAGUGUGCACAAAAAUAGUUAAAUAAACUCACCGGACCAAGGGGGAGCUCGAGUUGGCCGGCGGCGGCUGGAUGGUGGGUGCGCCGGCAACAGGUGGGUACGGCCGGUCGGUGGGGGCCGGGGCUCGUGCUGGCUGGCGGCAGGAGGCAGCCGAAGGUGCGGCUGAGUAGCUCGAGCCCACACGGCUAGGGCACGGUCCAGGGUGCAGCGGAGGCCAUGACAACUGUCGAGAUGCUCAGGGGCGGCGGCGACGUGUCACCGGAGGCCGAAGGGAAGCGGCGCAGCCGAUCCUAGGCGGCAGCGGUGCGAGGGAGAAGAAAAGGCAACCCCUCAGCUUGAACUACUCCAGGCUGGUCGCAGGUUGCCAGGAGCGGCAGCGGAAGUGCGCGGGCCAGGAGCUCGGAAGAGCUCGGCCCGAGUUGACCUGGCUUGGCCGCGAGUUGCCAAGCCAGCGACAGCGGCGUGCGAGGAUGACGGAGAUCGGAAGGGGAGUCACUGGAGGUCGGGGUCACGGCCGGGGGAGGGAGCCCGAGAGUGUGGGUCGUUCUACGUGGUCCACAGGCCGAGGUGGUGAGGAUGGUGGAGAGGGAAGGCAAUGCAGCUUUUUCGGUGGAUGAAAGUGCACGGUGGCGACCGGGGUGCUGACGGCGAGGGUAGGGGAAGGUGCAGUGGCGGCUGGGGAGGUCAGCUGAGGGAGAUGAGCUACUAAGGUUAGGGUUUCAUGCAUGAAACCUUAAUGCCUAUUUAUACACAAAGUGUAAUUUUGCAGGAAAGUCCUCCCAAGAUGAAUAUUUUCAGCAAAGUCCCUCACAGCACGUGUAUUUCGCGUAUAUGCACCUCAACGUUCGAAAUUGUGCAAAACGGUGCAUAAAAUAUAGAGCAUUUCGCGAAUUUUUUAUUUUGCCACUUCGACCCCUUAGCGAACAUUAUGUGAUUCUCGAAGAUCCGUCCGUUGGAUUUUCGAUCGGACUGUGCCAGCGCGUUCACCAUGACAGGGCAUCGAAACUACUAUUUUGUUUCACCAGAUUUGGUCACCAAUUUAUGACGAAAUUCAUCCCCUCCAAAGUCCACCAUAUAACCCUACACACACACACACACACACACACACACACACACACACACACACAUAUAUAUAUAUAUAUAUAUAUAUAUAUAUAUAUAUAUAUAUAUAUACACACACACACACACCAAAUUCAAAUUCAAAUUUCGAAUUCCCUUGUUCUCACACCCCAAUAAUCCCACAUCGGAUAGGAAUGUGGAUGUGAUUGGGUAUAUAAGAGACUUAGACAUUAGUAAUAAUAACUGGGCUUAAGUAUUUUGGGCCGGUGGUUGGGUCCAGCGAGUUAUUAUUGCUAGUGUGCUGGGUCGUUACAUUUGGCAUUAGAGCCAAUCACCAACCAGAAAUGUGUGGCGAGUCUCGGCUGAGCCAGGGUCUGAAAGACAAGGUGAUAGGCUAUGCCGGAAUCUGUAUGACAAGGUGACCUGCUAUACCAGGGUCUGGAUGACAAGGCUAGUGAGACGAGUCUCACAUCGCCUGGUGAUCUUGGGCUGUGUGUAUGAUUGGACUGAUGAGGACGUUAGGGCCUUAACGGGAGGAGUCUGUCACACCCCAAUAAUCCCACAUCGGAUAGGAAUGGGGAUGUGAUUGGGUAUAUAAGAGAUUUAGACACUAGUAAUAAUAACUGGACUUAAGCAUUUUGGGCCGGUGGUUAGGCUCAACGAGUUAUUAUUGCUAGUGGGCUGGGUCGUUACACUUGUAUUCAAAUCUCAGAUAUUACACAAUAUUAGUGCUAUCCGACUUGCCUAUAAUCCUAUCUUUCAUGCUCGAACUAAACACAUAGAAGUUAAUUAUCAUUUUGUGCGAGAAAAAGUUGUUCAACAAGAUCUCGACGUUCACUAUGUAGCCUCACAAGAUCAAAUUGCUAAUAUCUUUACAAAAGGGCUAUCUUCUCAUCGAUUCAAUUUUCUCAAGGACAAGCUAAUAGUGCGUGCCCAUAAACUUGAGGGGGCGUAAUGGAGGAUCAACUGAUGAUACAAUUAAGCAAUUAAUUAUGGAUGAAUCAAAUUCCCAAAAUCAGGAAUUUAUAAACUAUGACAAGUAUUCAAAUCAUAAGCAAUCGUGGAAACUCAAGAAUGACAAUCUCUCAAGUAUGGCAACCACUCCAAAUAGAAAAUAUUUGAAUUCAAAUAUUGUACAUUUCUAGAAUGUAAUUAUGUAAAUAUUAUAAUCCAAAGAAUAAUGAGAUUAUAUUUUGUAUUCAAUGAUUCUAUAUAUUGUGAGUUGGUUUUGUGUGUUUUCUAUUGAGAACAACAACCAUUUUCCACCAAUUAUAAUUUCCUUUAUUUAGAUCAUCCUUUUUCUUUACUAUGAAAUUUAUAUCGUUGUUCUUUUUGAAUUUAUGGAUACUAUUUCUCACCUCAUUAAAUAUAGUAUGCUUCUAAUAAUACUAUUCUUUUUUUAAUGAAUCUAUUGACAUUAAUUAAGAUUAAAAAGUGAGAACUUGAUCUGAAUCUGUUUCUUGACCUAAAUUUAUAACAGUAAAUGACUAUUAGCUAUCAAAACUAUUAAUAUUAACAUAUAAUUCAACUUAUUUAAACAAAAUAACUCAUCCAAAAUAAUUAGUAGUUAAGAAAUCAUUAAAAAAAUAAUUAGAAGUUGCGGGACUUAUUUUAAAAUGCCUUAUAAAUAAAAGGUUAUUAGUACAUUAUCAUCUAUAAAAUAAAUUAGCAGAGAGAGGGUCUUUGUUUGCACCAAGGACUUUUUUCAGAAAAUAGUCAUGCAUAUUUGAGAUCUAGACUUGUUAAAAUUUAUUUUGAAAUUAAAUAAUUUUGAAAUUCUUUGUUAUCUAUAGACUGCUAAGAAAAUGUUGAAAUGUUGAGAGUGACCCGUUUAAAUUUUAUGCAUAUUUUGAACCUAAGUAGCUUUAUGGUAGAUAAUAAAGACAUUUUUAUGUGGAUGCUAAAUAUUCCUUUUUAACUUUUUUGUCUUUUUACUUUAUCAUUCGUGAUAAAUUUUGCUUUACCGCCCAGUAGCUCAUACAGUUUGACGCUCUUUUGACGUGCUAUAAUUGCUAUACCAUUUCUUUUUGAUGAUUGUGCUAUGCAAGCUAUUGUAAUAACAGAGUUUUGCAUAAUAUGCGAUUUUUUUUCAACACGGUUGAUUAGCUCUAAUUGAUAAAUUCUUUUUCUUAUCAUAAUAUAUAUAGCUAAAGUUUAGAAAAAAGAAUAUUUUAUUUAUACUAUGAUAUUUAUAUGUUAUUUCUGUAUUUUGUCGAUACUUUAUUCUAUAUACAAAUCUUUACUUCAACCUAUCUAUCCGCCAUACGAUGCGGUAGCUAAACUAGUAAAUAUAGUACAGUACAAGGGCCAAAAAACAGUUCUCUCUAGGGAGAAGCUUUUCCCCCACAAUCACUUUCGUCCCGUGCUCCCAUAAUUUGCUCCGUGAUUCAGGCCUCCACAUAAUUCCCUCGUAUCCCCUCUGCAUGCAAGAAUUAGCGUAUCCGUCAAUCUAAUUUUUUAUAAUUAGAAAAUUUUCGUUAAGAAUUAAAGAUUUCAUUAAAUUUAUGAAUGAUUUUAUCUACUUAAUGAUGGUGAUCGCUUUCCAUCUAAUAAAAUUAAAACAACUAACAAAUAAUAAAGUUCUUAAAUUCAAAAAAAAAGUAUAUUAAUAAUUAACUAUCAAUACAUAUAUUAAAAGCCCAGUUCUUCUGUGGCCUAUGUGGCGCAUCCUCGGCGCUCGAGAGAAAGAGAGAAAGAGAGAAAGAGAGAGAGAGCGAGGCGUGGGGGGGCUGCGCGUGGGCGACCCGCGCCCGUCGGGCGCGCGAGAGAGAAGGAGGGGGAGAGAGAGAGAGAGAGAGAGCAGAGGGAGAGAGAGAGAGAGCAGACAGAGGGGGAGGGGGCUGCGGGCCCCUAUGUGCCCCCCCCCCCAAAGCUGGUUCUCUCUCUUACUCUCUCUCCCCCUCUCUCUCUCUCUCUCUCUAUCCCUCGCGGGCCCCCAUGUGCUCCCCCCCCGCUGCGUUCUUUUCCACUCUCUCUCCCCCCUCUCUCUCUCUCCACGCCCGCCACCCGCUCCCCACUUCUCUCUCUCUCCCCUUUGUUCUCCCACCCCCUCCGCGGCUUCUCUCUUUCCCCACGUGCGCACGACCUGUGGCCCCCACGCGCGCGGGGGAGAGAGAGAGAGAGAGAGGAAGAGAGAGAGAGACACGGGGGGUCCCAUGGGGCCGCGCGUGCGAUCCCCCUCCUCUUUACCUCUCCAUCCCCCCCCGGCUCUCUCCCUAACCUCCCCCCUCUCCCUCUCAUUUUUCCCGCCGGUUCUCUCUUUCUCUCCCCUCUUCCCCAGCGCGGGAGGCGCAGCGGGGAGACGGACAGGCGCGGGUGGGCGGCAGCGGGCGGCGCUGCCGCGGUGCGUACACGGGCGAGGGUGAGCGCCGUGCAAGCAGGCACAAGCCGAGGCCGACGGGCCGGCACGGGGCCUACACGCUGGCGCGGCGCGCGGGCGCGGGCACGGCGCGAGCACGAGGGGGGGGGGGGGAGAGGGCGAGAGAGAGGAAGAGAGAGAGAGAGCCACGGGGGGCUGGCAUGUAUGCGGGGAGAGAGAGAGAGAGAGGAAGAGAGAGGAAGAGAGAAAAGGAGCCAGGGGGAGAAAGAGAGAGAGAAAGAGAGAGAGGGAGAGAGAGUGAAUUUUAAAAUUUUAAAUUUCAAAUUUUAUAUUUUAUAUUUAGUUUUUAAAUUUUAAUGUUAACUUAUAAUAUUUAUUUCAAUUUUAAAGCUUAAAAGUUUAAAACUUUAAAUCUCUAAACUCUAUAAAAUUAAUUAAUUAAUUAAAUUUAUCAAUAAUUAUUUAUAUAUAAUGUAAUUAGUUAAUUUAUUAAUAAUACAUAUAAUAAAUCAUGCUUCAAUCUUCAAAUUUUUUUAUUCCUCUCUAUUUAAAUAAUUUUUUUACUUUUUCUCUCUCUUCAAUUUUUUGAAGUUUAAAAUUUAAAAUUAGAUUUGAAAAUUAAAAAAUUUAGAUUAGUUUGUUAAAAAUAUUUUAGAAAUUGCGUAAAUUUCCGGCAGCAAAGCGCGGGCCUUCACUAGUAUAUAUAAAACUCAAGUUAUAAAUAUCAAAAGUUAAGGAAAUAUCAACUGAAAAUAAAAAUUGUGAGGUUUUUAUUUUUUAAUGGUCUAACGCGCGAAGCUCUUUAUAUAUUUUGAGCAACACUAUUCGUGCACCCCAUUUUGAGUGUAUGAUUAACAUCCAUCCAUAUUAUGGAUGGAAUUCUUUUGCCAAAAUUAUAUUGUUUUCGUACAACUUAUGCAAUACAUUCAAAAUUUAAAAAUUUAUGAGUUAAUAUUUUUAAAUUAUAUAAUUUGAUAGAUUCGAUUGACGAUAACCAAAUAAUUUAUGCCAUCUUGUAUAAAAAAUUCACUGGGUUUAGGAUUUUGCACUCAGUCCACUUGUUUGGAUUUUGUUGAUUCAGUCAAUUCUUUAAAUCUGACAAAAUUACCUCUCAGUCCAAAAUACAUGCAAGUUAUACAUAUUAAACCCUUCGCUACAUAGACCCUCUGUGACAAAUGACUGUCAACAAAAGUGACAGACUACCGGGGAUGAAAAUUGCCGAAUACAGUUAGAUAUUUAACGAAACUGCUAGGGCCAAUAAUAAAAUGCCAUGUGGCUGUUGGUGCACGAUUCAGCCGGGAGUCAGGAUUAAAUAGCAUUUGGUGCACCGGGAGUAGAAAAGAAAAAAGGAAUAAUAGCAUAACCGCAAGGCAUAACCGCAAGCGGUUUCGAGCGGUUUAUAGAUCGGCUGCCUUAAAUGCCGGCCAACAAACAAAAAUAGCAUGGGGAUUGCCUCCUCCGCCACCACUAGCGACAUAUCAGCCCCUAAUACUAUGUAGGCAGCGAACCCUGCAGUAUAAAAUCACGGACUUCCUCCAGGAACAAACCAGGUUCAAGUGCAAGCUCCUAUUCCCGUACAACGGAAUAAAUGAGCUUUAUGCUCAAAUAGAAGAAGCUAUCCGGAAUACAUUUGGAGUUGGGGCAAGGCCGGUAAUGCGGCCUAUAUUUAGAUCCCUUUACCCAGCAAAUAUAGAUGCGGAACAUCCAUAUCCGGCAAACUGAAAAAUACUGAAAUUUGACAAGUUUUCAGGCGAUGAAGCCGAGAACACGGUUGAACAUGUCACAUGAUUUACGGCCCAAUGUAGAUAGUCCGCUGCGGAUCCUUUUCUGAAACUCAGGUUAUUUAAUACCUCAUUAACCAAGACUGCAUUUACUUGGUAUACGAGUUUGCCGGCCAAUUCCGUCCGAGAUUGGGACGAAUAAGAGAGAAAAUUUAAUAAGCAGUUUUAUAGAUCAGAGCCGGAAUUUUCGGUAGCUGAUGUAGCUCAGUUUCGACAAAGAUCUGGAGAAUCGGUUGAAAAAUAUUUGAACUGGUUUAAAAUGGCAAGAAGUCGCUGCUUUGUGAGAAUGCCAGAAUCAGAGUUUGCUAAAAUGGUAUUCAAUGGUCUACAUUUCAAAAUCAGAGACAAUUUUGAAAAUAAGUACUUUCCAAAUCUAUUUGAUUUGGUAGUCGAAGAUCAGCCUAGAUAGAGUCGAAAUAAAGAUUGGAGUCAAGGAAUGGAGAAAAAGAUUUCCUUCGUCGAAGAAUCUUCGGCUCAAGAUGAGCCGAAUAUGUCAGAUGAAGUAGAGGAUUCGGCUGAUGAAGCCGAAAUAUAUGCUGCUGAGAUGGUAAUAAACCGCCAGCCAUAUAAAUGCGCUUUACUUAAACCCACUAAAUCUAGCAAAGCGAAAGCACGAGUAGCAGCAUAUACUUAUUCUUUUGAUAUAUCAAAAAUCGAUUUGAUUUUCGAUCGAUUGCUAAAGGAUGGACGAAUUCAACUCUAAGAGGGCCAAACGAUACUGUAACAUACCGAAUCUCCAAUAGGUUAUACCGGACUUCCGUCAAAUUGACCGGAGGGUGGUGGCGGACGAUUUGGAGAGUAGGUUGGAUGAAAUUCCGAAAUUUUUGGUGUUAUGGUGCUCUCGGGGUUCGGACCCUGUUUGUAGGGUUCGGACCCCGAACACGUGCAGAGGUGGGUUGAGCUGAGUCCUGUUGUUUGGAGGGGCUUAGUGCAAUUGUGUGUGUGGAAGUGUUUAUAUGUCGUUUUUUUUUGUGUUUAACCCCCAUUUCCCUCAUAACCUCAACAUUUGAGAGCUCUCUUUAUCUCUCUAGAUCUCUCUCUCUGUCACGCCCCGCUCCGAAACCACUACCAAUUUGGCACGAUUCGGCCGCGGCGACAGACCGCCGAACGGACAGCACUCCCCACUGUCCGCCCAAGGCUCAACCACAGGAAUGUGUACAAGAAUUCACCCAGGACUUUAAAUUCUAAACAUACACAUUCAGCAAGGGCACAAACAGUGCCAACAACAAGAAGAGCAAGUAAUCCACGAGAUAUACAAGUGAAAUAAAGAGAGUACUUUACUAACUAUUACAUUAGUUACAUUCAUUACAUCAUUUUUCAUCCAAAAUACAUAGCUCUCCAACCUCACCUACAAGAAUCUCUCUCAAUACAUAGGUGACUAAUGCAAAAAGGAAAGCUACUAUACUACCACGGUCUCACUGGUCGGGCGCGACGCCCUUGCCGCGGUCCUCUCUCUGCAGCCCUGAACCUACCACUGGAAAUAGAGUGGGGUGAGAACUAUCUUCCAUAGUUCCCAGUGGGCUCGGCCGCCGACUCUGCCGAUCUCCCCACUAGGUCCAAGUGGGCACAAGUAACAACAGAUAGAUAGAUAGAUAUGUAUCUGAAAGCUGUAAAUGCAGUAGUAGGAAAACUAUGCUACUAUGCCCAUAAUCAUGAAUAUGAAUGCAUGCAUCAUAUAAUAAAGGUUUGCUACCAUGCUAACAAAUUCGAUCCAUGUUCGAAUAGUAAUGUUCAAUGACAUUUAUAAACCUUUAACCUUUUUCAUUUACCCAAUCUGUGGCGAGGCCCUAGGGCUCGCCCAUGACUCACCUUCAAAUCCCAAAGUGGGGAGGGAGCUCCAAGUGCACCCAAGCCCGGGACCGUCUGCGGACCUCCAUGUGGUCCGGACCUCCAAGUGGUCCUAGUCGCACGACACUCCGGAGUACUCGACGACAAUCCCCUCCAUGUGGGGAUUGGAUGGCUAUACCAUCCUAAAUACAGACUGUGAGCUAGAUCUAUCCUCUCCAAGUGAGGACACUCUACAACUAGAGUCAAUAACCCAAUCGAAUCCUCUCCAAGUGAGGACGCCCUACACAAGGGUCAACAAUUAUCGUGGAAUCAUCGGUUUCCGACCUUCUUGCAAUGCUAUUUAGUUUUCUAAAUUCAUUGUUCACAAGGCAUUUUCUAAGGGAUCCACCUAUCCCUAGGUCCAUCGACCUCUAGUGUUAUUUACACUACAUUAAUGCCACUCGUUAUCAUUCGAUGUUUGGAUGCCACUCGUUUGUUCUUUGACAAUAACGCUACUUUCUAUGUCAUCAAUACCCCCAUCGGGUUCAUCUCUAUCUCUAGCAUCAUAGGAUCCACGUACCGACCCAAUCCUCACCUAUCUAGUUACCAAGCGUUCCAAGUACACUAGGUUAUCAUUUAGAAAGCAUAAGGAUGGAGCUACUAUGCAAUCCUACAAUGCAACAUAAAGAGAUGAGAUUAAAUGCAAUCUAAGACAUAGAAAGGAGUUCGAAAGCUUCGGAUGACACCCCCCACCUUUUUAUCAAUGUAGAGGCUUUGGAAAUUCCUUCCGGCGAGCUUCGCAAAAAGGCUUUAGCCUUCCUCGCCCAAAUCCAAGCUAUCCCGGCCCGAUUUUCCCGAGAACUUCACGUCGGUUCGCCGAGUGCCGAAAUCGACUUUGCCCCCGCGUUUUGGGACCUAUCAAUAGGGUUUCCAAGGCUUCAAAUGAGAUCAAUCUCAUACUUUUACAAAAGCUCCAUUUUGGAACCCUAGAUUUGCACCUAUAGCAAACCACCCCAUAAAUCUCUAGACUCUUGGGAUUGAUCUAUUUAGAAGCUUGCUUAGGGUCCCUUUGACCCAUUCCAAGGCAUAAAACCCAUAAACCCUAAGUUCUAGAAGCUAGGGUUUAGUAGCUUACCUCAAGAGCUACACCAAUGAGAAGAGGAGAGGGAGAUGGAGGUGCUCCAAGCCUUCCUCUUGAUCUCCUUCUUCUUCUCCUUCCUUAUCUUCCUCUUCUUUUUCUUCCUCUCCUUCUUCUUCUUCUCCUUCUUUUCUUCCUAGAGAGAGAAAGAGCAAGAGAGAAAUGGGAGUGAGAGAGGGGAAAUGAGAGAGUGUGAGGGAGAGAGAGGGCUCAGCCCACUCAAAUAAAUGCCAUUUUGCAUUUAGACCCCUCAACUUUUAACUCCUUGCACAGCCCUCACUGGGCUGAUUUCGCGCGGAGGGACCGGUCUCCCCGACUUGGGACCGGUCCCCGAGAGCUUCCCUCGGGCGCACGCGUUCGGGAACCGGUCUCUCCCCGGGAGACCGGUCCUUGGGAGACCGGUCCUCACCUGAGAGACCGGUCCCCGAGAGCUUGAUUUUCAGGACUUAGCCAAAUUUUUGGCAUUCUCGCUGGGACCACGUUCGGGAACCGGUCUCUCAUCACCAGGGACCGGUUGCAUCAUGCAACCCCGCAACACCCAGCCGAGGGAACCGGUCUCUCACCUCCAGAGACCGGUCCCCGAGAGCAACUUCUGAUCAAUGAUGCCAUUUGCCUCAUUUGCUCUCGCGGACUCAACUCCAAGGCACUUUUUGUACUUUGGACAUUCUCAACUCCCACAAAGGGUAUACUUCGGACAAUUAGUCGAUCCUGGAUGAAGUACAAUCCUCGUAUUUCGAGAAUUCACUUCCUUACAUCCUCCUCUCCUUAAAAGGAGUUUCGUCCUCGAAACGAACAAUUUUCCUAACUUUCAUUAAACUCAUACCUCACUCCUCAAAUAGAUGAGGAUGGUGCUUUCUCAUCAGCUCCUCGAGUUCCCAUGUGGCUUCGCGAUCAUCAUGAUUGCUCCACCGAACUUUCACAUAGGGGAUUUCUCGAUUCCUCAGCUUUCGCACCUCUCGGGCGAUAACCCCUACCGGAAACUCUUCAUAACUCAAGUCUUCUUGAAGUUCCGGAGGUUCAUAUAGCAUCGCGUGCUCGGGAUCGUGAAUGUACUUGCGGAGAUUGGAGACAUAAAAUACAUUAUGUACAUCCGCAAGCUUCGGCGGUANCGUGUAGCGUCUUGGAGACAUUAGCCCCUGCAACGCAAUUAUUUAUCAGUCAUCUUAUUCAACUGCCUCGUCGCUCUACGACGCAUGACGACUCAUUCACAAAAUCAGGCGGAAGCACACAAGCGUACUCGUCCUAGACUCUUGGCAUCAUGUCGUCGGCCGCCGACACAACCACCUCAAGUCAAGAACUCAUACAACUCGAAUCCGCCUCUAAUCUCAACUAGAGACCCAUACCAACUUCGACCCAAUUGACUUAACUUCCGCCAUCGCUAUAGGUUCACGUUCCGUUCACGCACCUAUAUCCUUAAGGCUUGCCAACCUAGGGUCUCCUAGGUCUUCCUAACUCCCUUUACUUGCUCUUAUUGCUCUGAUACCACAAAGACUGUCACGCCCCGCUCCGAAACCACUACCAAUUUGGCACGAUUCGGCCGCGGCGACAGACCGCCGAACGGAUAGCACUUCCCCUGUCCGCCCAAGGCUCAACCACAGGAAUGUGUACAAGAAUUCACCCAGGGCUUUAAAUUCUAAACACACACAUUCAACGAGGGCACAAACAGUGCCAACAACAAGAAGAGCAAGUAAUCCACAAGAUAAACGAGUGAACUGAAGAGAGUACUUUACUAACUAUUACAUCAGUUACAUUCAUUACAUCAUUUUUCAUCCAAAAUUACAUUUGAUUUCCAAAUACAUAGCUCUCCGACCUCACCUACAAGAAUCUCUCUCAAUACAUAGGUGUACUAAUGCAAAAGGGAAAGCUACUACACUACCACGUCUCACUGGUCGGGUGCGACGCCCUUGCCGCGGUCCUGACUCUGCAGCCCUGAACCUACCACUGGAAAUAGAGUGGGGUGAGAACUAUCUUCCAUAGUUCCCAGUGGGCUCGGCCGCCGACCCUGCCGAUGUCCCCACUAGGUCCAAGUGGGCACAAGUAACAACAGAUAGAUAGAUAGGUAUGCAUCUGAAAGCUGUAAAUGCAGUAGUAGGAAAACUGUGCCACUAUGCCCAUAAUCGUGAAUAUGAAUGCAUGCAUCAUAUAAUAAAGGUUUGCUAUCAUGCUAACAAAUUCGAUCCAUGUUCGAAUAGUAAUGUUCAAUGACAUUCAUAAACCUUUAACCUUUUCAUUUACCCAAUCUAUGGCGAGGCCCUAGGGCUCGCCCAUGACUCACCUUCAAAUCCCAAAGUGGGGAGGGAGCUCCAAGUGCACCCAAGCCCGGGACCGUCUGCGGACCUCCAUGUGGUCCGGACCUCCAAGUGGUCCUAGUCGCGCGACACUCCGGAGUACUCGACGACAAUCCCCUCCAUGUGGGGAUUGGAUGGCUAUGCCAUCCUAAACGCAGACUGUGAGCUAGAUCUAUCCUCUCCAAAUGAGGACACUCUACAACUAGAGUUAAUACCCAACCAAAUCCUCUCCAAGUGAGGACGCCCUACACAAGGGUCAACGACUAUCGCGGAAUCAUCGGUUCCCGACAUUCAUACAAUGUUAUUUAGUUUUCUAAAUUCAUUGUUCACAAGGCAUUCUCUAAGGGAUCCGCCUAUCCCUAGGUCCAUCGACCUCUAGUGUUCUUUACACUACAUUAAUGCCACUCGUUAUCAUUCCAUGUUUGGAUGUCACUCGUUUGUUCUUUAACAAUAACACUACUUUCUAUGUCAUCAAUACCCCCAUCGGGUUCAUCUCUUUUCUUUCGCACUAUAGGAUUCACGUCUCGACCCAAUCCUCACCUAUCUAAGUUACCAAGCGUUCCAAGUACACUAGGUUAUCAAUUAGAAAGCAUAAGGAAUUGAGCUACUAUGCAACCCUACAAUGCAACAUGAAGAGAUGAGAUUAAAUGCAAUCUAAGACAUAGAAAGGAGUUCGAAAGUUUCGGAUGACACCCCCCACCUUUUAUCAAUGUAGAGGCUUUGGAAAUUCUUGUCGGCGAGCUUCGCAAAAAGGCUUUAGCCUUCCUCGCCCGAAUCAAUGCUAGCCCGGCCCAAUUUUGCCGAGAACUCCACGUCGGUUCGCCGAAUGCCAAAAUCGACUUCGCCCCCGCGUUUUGGGACCUAACAAUAGGGUUUCCAAGGCUUCAAAUGAGAUCAAUCUCAUACAUUUACAAAAACCUCAUUUUGGAACCCUAGAUUUGCACCUAUAGCAAAUCACCCCAUAAAUCCCUAGAUUCUUGGGAUUGAUCUAUUUAGAAGCUUGCUUAGGGUCCAUUUGACCCAUUCCAAGGCAUAAAACCCAAAAACCCUAAGUUCUAGAAGCUAGGGUUUAGUAGCUUACCUCAAGAGCUACUCCAAUGGGAAGAGGAGAGGGAGAUGGAGGUGCUCAAAGCCUUCCUCUUGAUCUCCUUCUUCUUCUCCUUCCUUAUCUUCCUCUUCUUUUCCUUCCUCUCCUUCUUCUUCUUCUCCUUCUUUUCUUCCUAGAGAGAGAAAGAGCAAGAGAGAAAUGGGAGUGAGAGAGAGGAAAUGAGAGAGUGUGAGGGAGAGAGAGGGCUCAGCCCACUCAAAUAAAUGCCAUUUUGCACAAAAGCCCCUCAACUUUUACCCCUGUGCACUGCCCUUACUGGGCAGUUUUCGCGCGGAGGGACCGGUCUCCCCGACUUGGGACCGGUCCCCGAGAGCUUCCCUCGGGCGCACGCGUUCGGGAACCGGUCUCUCCCCGGGAGACCGGUCCUCGGGAGACCGGUCCUCACCUGAGAGACCGGUCCCCGAGAGCUUGAUUUUCAGGACUUAGCCAAAUUUUUGGCAUUCUCGCUGGGACCACGUUCGGGAACCGGUCUCUCACCACCAGGGACCGGUUGCAUCAUGCAACCACGCAACACCCAGCCGAGGGAACCGGUCUCUCACCUCCAGAGACCGGUCCCCGAGAGCAACUUCUGCCCAAUGAUGCCAUUUGCCUCAUUUGCUCUCGCGGACUCAACUCCAAGGCACUUUUUGUACUUUGGACAUUCUCAACUCCCACAAAGGGUAUACUUUGGACAAUUAGUCGAUCCUGGAUGAAGUACAAUCCUCGUAUUUCGAGAAUUCACUUCCUUACACUCUCUCUCUCCUAGGGUUGGCUCCAAUGGUGGAGUGGUGGUAGAGUAGAGCUUGCUUGGUGGUGAAGCAACUCUCUUGUGCAACCUUGGCUUGGAGAAAAGCUUGGUUUGAGAUAAGUAUUAUGGGAUUUAGUGGUUUUGAUGUUAGGGUUUGGUUAUUUCCUUCUAGUAGAUGCUUCUAGAGGAUAUGGAGGUGGAUUGGUUCAUGGAUCUCCAUGUUUUGGGGGUUAUUUGGUGAAGAUGAAAACCUUAGGGUUAGAAUUAGGGUUUUGGUAGAAUUGAGAUCUAACUUGAAUUUGAUCUCUUGUAGUCCUAAUUGGUGGAUAAACUGACGCGUUGGAACACUCGGUUUGAAGAUCCGACGAGUCUACGUCAAGAUAUGUGGGAAAAACCUCAUUUCGGUUUUGUUUGCCGUCGGUCGAGGAAAUAGGCGGCCAUAAAUCGCGGGACUUGAAUUGUAGUCUUACGGCAUCACUAUAGGUGGGGGGUGCUGUUCGAAAUCAUCGAAUUUCUUACUAUGUCUAUGUCGCCUUUUCUUGAGCAUAUAUGUGUAUUAUGGCAUUCAAGCAUUGUAGGAUAUUGGGCUAUGGUUGGGAAUCUUUAUAUGCUUUCAAUGUUAGUGACCAUAUGAAUAGAUAUUGAACCAUGCAUGUUAAACCCUGUAGAUGUAUGAAUUGGAUGAAUGUGGACUAUGACAUUAGUAAAUAAAGGUGACAUUAACAUUAACCGGUGUGAAUUGUGUGGUAUGCUAGAUAAGGUAAACCCUUAAGAGUAUUGUGGAAUGUUGGAUUAUGGCAAUAGUGACAUUGUGACAUUAGUGACAUUGUGACUAGAGGUAUGAAUAGCUCCAAAGAUAUGGUAUGCUAGACGAGAUAUAAAACCUAUGAGCAUUGUGGUAUAAAACCUAUGAGCAUUGUGGUCGAAAGCCUAUGAGCAUUGUGGCAAGUAUGGCAAGUGUGGCGAAGUAUGUGUUAUGCUAGACAAAGUAACAUCUUUUUGCGCAUUGUGGCAUGUGGCUUUGUGACAAAAAUAGCAAGUUUGGCCAUACAUCCUCAAAUUGAGGAUUGGAUCAUACUCACAUUGGGUCAUAGCUUGAGGGCAGUAGCUCCCCCUCAAGCGGUGUGCUCCGGAGUUGUCACCACUAUGUGUAGCGGAAUCCUCCCCAGAAGACGGUCCCUCGGGUUGUAGCGGUAUUCUCCCCGAUCGACAAGGAUUUUGGUUGUGAGUUUUGGGGUUAACCAUGUGUUAACCGGGAUGAUUGGGUAAAAGCCAAGGUAAAUGUGGAUUGUAUUAUGGAUCCCGUCGGGUUGUAGCGGUAUUCUCCCCAACAGGAAAGGGACUGGGUUUGGUAAGUGAAAGAUAUGCAUCAUCAUCAUGAUGAUAUCACUUGUUAAUUUAUUGCUUGUUCAGGCGUUGUAGUAGCAUUGCAUUAGUUGGUUUGCUAUCUAUCUAUCCUUUUCCUACAUAUGCCUGAGUAGACCUAGUGGGCGAGUUGGCGGGGUUGGCGGCCGAACCUACUGGGAACUUUAUUGUAGUUCUCAUCCCACUAAGCAUGCAGGUCCUUGCGCGAGUGGGGCGGUCGAGGAUCGCGGCAUGGAUAUCGUGCUCUAGAUAGCAAACUGUCGUUGUAUAUAGAGCCACCUUAUGUAUUUCAUCUAUUAUAGUUGAUGAAUGGAAAAUGUAAUAAUUUCAUUUGAGAGAUGAUUAUGUAUAUUGGAUGAAUGGAUGUAAAGAAAAUGUAUAAGCUUUGUAAUUGAUUCAAAAUGAUCAAGUUACAAUGUAUGGAUGUAAUAGCUAGAUAACUUUCACUUGCGAUAGUGUUGCUUGCCCUCAUGCAGGCCAUGUAUACUCCAAUUCUACCUUUGUUUGUAUUGCUAUACAUGUUGGGUGGAGCCUUGGGCGGAUAGCGGAUAGGAAAGGUUCUGUCCGUUCAACGUCUGUAGACGUACCCGAACCGACCAAAUUGGUGUUAAGUCUUGUGUGUUGGCAAGUUUCGUGAAGUGAGUCGGAGUCUUGAAGUAUCGAUAUGUAUCGUCGAAGAUCGAAGAAUCCAAGACUUCGAAGAGAUUGGAAAAUAACUCACGACGUGAAUCACGAUGCUCAGGUAAAGUUUUAAUUCAUGUUAUGGUGAUUCNCGUACCCGAACCGACCAAAUUGGUGUUAAGUCUUGUGUGUUGGCAAGUUUCGUGAAGUGAGUCGGAGUCUUGAAGUAUCGAUAUGUAUCGUCGAAGAUCGAAGAAUCCAAGACUUCGAAGAGAUUGGAAAAUAACUCACGACGUGAAUCACGAUGCUCAGGUAAAGUUUUAAUUCAUGUUAUGGUGAUUCAUACUUAGUUAUAGGCAUUAGAAUCAUAUAAUCAAAGUUUAGUGGAUUAGAAAGUGUAUUGGAACUUUGCGAAACCCGAAAUGUGAAAAAAAUCUGAAAACUACACUGUGUACGGGUACACAUUGAAAGUGUUACUGGUUACAAACUGUGUACGGGUACAACCAUCAACGUGUUACCGGUUACAAACUGUGUACGGGUACAACCAUAUACAUGUUACCGGUUAUAAGACUGUUUUGAUUUUCUGUUCCGUCAUCGUGUAACCGGUAACAACUUAAGUGUGUACCGGUACACAAUGUAAGCUUUUCUGCUCCGUCAUCAUGUACCGGUGACAGCCUCACGUGUACCGGUACACAAUGCAAAUUUCGGAAAAAACUUUCUAAUCCGACUGCGAUUGAUUUUAAAGCCUAUAAAUAAGCUAUUGGGGUUCUCUAACUCAUCAUGCAUCAUGAAAAUACAUAUUUGAGAAACCCUAGAGGCUCGAAAUUCAUCAAAAACCUAUUUUCUUUAUAAAGCCUCUUUUAGGUCAAAUCGAGAUAUUGGAAUUUCAUAUCUAUAUGUCGAUUUGAUCUUUGCAUCGCUUGGAGUUCUCUUCCCUGGCUUUUAUCGAUACUCUAAGCGAAGGAUCACCAUAGCAUGAUGCUCUUCAUGAACGGUGUCAUGGAUUCGGCAAUGUUGAAGGUGAUUCGUGGAUUCGGAUCGUUGGCUCGUGGAUUCGAGUGGCGUCGUGGAUUCGGCGUGAUAGAAGCUUCGUGUAUUCGAAGUGGAGGCGUUCGUGGAUUCGAACGUGAGGGCGUGGACAACCCAGAGGAUUGCGUGAGAUUUAUAGGAAGUUAAGAGAGGUUGAGUCCGUGGAGUCGGUAAUCACCUUGUAAUCUUUUCUUUUAGUGAAUUAUUUUUUCGCAUGUUUGUCCCGUGGGUUUUUCUCCAAGUUGGAGUUUUCCCACGUAAAUCUCGGUGUAAUUUUUAUUUUCCGCAUUUAUUUUUAUCGCAUUGAGAUUUGUGGUUUUUGGCUAUUACACCUAUUCACCCCCCUCUAGGUGUUAGAUACAAUCUAGAUAGAUCCUUGGGCACCCCAUAACUUUCAAUUGGUAUCAGAGCGGGAUCUAGAUAAAUUGUUAUCUAAUGGCCGAAGGCGGAAACAUUAAUUGACCAUCGCUCUUCAAUGGCACAAACUAUGCCUAUUGGAAAGUUCACAUGAGAGCUUUUCUAAUCGCAAUCGAUGAGCGCGUUUAGCAAUAAAUAGAAUUUGGAUGGAAACAUCAUAUUGAAAAGGUCGAGAAUGUUGAAACGCCAAAACCAUGAAACAAGUGGACAAAAGAUGAAAACAAGGCAUCUUCGUUUAACGGCAAGGGCAUAAACGCUUUAUUUAAUGCAUUGUCUCAAACGGAGUUUACUCGUGUUUCAGCGUGUGGAACCGCCAAAGAAAUUUGGGAUACUCUAUAAGUUACGCAUGAAGGAACGAGCUUACUAAAGGUCCAAAAAUUGCAAAUGUUAACAAGUAAAUUUGAUUCAAUUUUUAUGGACGAAAAUGAGACCUUUACCGAGUACUAUACGCGUCUACAAAACGUUGUGAAUACAUGCGCUAACUUGGGAGAGAAAAUUCCGGAUGCUAAAGUUGUUAGAAAAAUACUUAGAACUCUUCCAGAACGGUUUCGGGCUAAGGUAGCGUGAUCAAAACGGUUAAGCAUCCGGAUGAGAUGAAAGUAGAGGAGUUAGUAGGUGCUUUGCAAACUUAUGAAAUGACUUUUCCUACUAAUCAAUUUUCUUCCAAGUCUUCUCCUAAAAGUACAUGGUUGCACUCAAAUCGACAAAGAAAGAAGACGACGACUCUGAUUCCGACGGAGAUAUUUUGCUCGCCGAUUUCGAACAUCAAUUAGCGCUCCUAAUGAAGAAGUUCCGACGGAAUUUUUGAAAAAAUAGAUCGGACAAGGCUUCAUCCUCUAAGCAAAAAUUCUUUUCUAAGCAUUCUCCUAAUUCUAAAUCUAAGGAUAAAAAACUUGCAAAGUCUUCAAAAGAAAAAGAUGAAUUUGAAGGAAAAAUCCAAUGCUACAAAUGCAAAGGCUACGGACACAUUGCAACGGAUUGUCCUUCUAAGAAGACUUAUGAACAAAAGGCUUUGCAAGCAAAGACUUGGGAUGACUCUUCCUCUAGUGAAUCAUCUUCAAGUGACGAAGAAAAGAGUGAUCAUGUUGCUUUAUUUACUAACACUUCUUUAUCUUCGUCUAACGUUGUUUGUUUAUCCUCUAUUGCUACUAAUUCCAAUGUUUCUCUUUCUUCGCAUGACUCUUCGAGCGACAAUGGCGAAAGCGAGGAGGAAUCAAACGACGAGGACUUAGCGGAAGCGUAUAAUCAACUCCUUAUUGAAUAAAAAAAGAUGGCCAAGCAUAAUAAGAAGUUGAGGCGUUGUCUAUUGGACAUUGAGAAAGAAAACAAAAAUUUGAAGAUUACAAAUAAAGCUCUUGAGAAGGAAAGGGAAUCAAUUUUGAAAAAUAAUUCGGACCUUCAAAAGAAGCUUGAUGAAGCGGAAACAAUGAUCAAAUAUUCUAAUGAUAAGAUUGGUUUUCUAGAACAACAACAUAAAGAAAUUCGUUCAUCCAAUCAAGUGUUGACUAAACAAGUUUAUCAACUUAACUCCGACAUUCAAAAAUUUUCUUCCGAAUCGAAGAAAUUGGAUCAUAUGCUAGGAUUGGGUCAAACGAACAAGCUUGGUCUUGGUUAUGAAAGGACAUAUGUUGAGAAGGAUCAAACGGCGAUAUCUAAAGUCUCAACAACUUUGAAAGAGAAGGUGUGUCAUAAAUGUGGCAUCAAAGGACACAUCAAAAAGAGUUGUCCAAACAAGGAUUUGAAACGUCAAUCCGUAUUCUCUAAACCUCAAUCGGCAUCAUCUACAACUCGACAUCCCCCACGGAAUCAAAAGCAAAAUCAUUUAAGUCAAACGCCUCUAGGGAACCGGUUUUCUAAUGCACAAUGUUAUGUUCGACCGAACCCAAAAGCAAACCGGAUUUCUAAGCCUCAACGACAAGUUCAACCGAAGCCUGAAGCAACGAAACGACAAACGGUUGAUUCAAAAUCAAAACAAAUUGUGAUUAACGUCGACAAACCAAGACAACCAACAAUCCGACAAGUUUGGAUCCGAAAAGGUGAUAUCUUUCCUUGCUCUUUAUCUUAGUUUGUUCUAUUGUUUAUAUAAUGCUUUGUUUGGUGCUUAUUGCAUAUUUUUAUUCAUUGCAUUACAUGUUUAGACGAUUUUUGGUGCUUGAAAUUUAUUUGUUUCAAAAUUAUUUUGAGGAAAGGUGAUUUGGAAUUUAAAAAAAAACUCUUUCUUUGAGAUAGGAGAUGAUUGAAAAUCUUACUUUAGGGAGUAUUUUAAAUGUGACUUAACCAGAAUUCAAAUUGAAUUAAAUUCAUAUUAAUUAUCGGUUUUACUCUACUUUUUAUUAUUUUGACGAUAAUUUAUUAUAUGAAUUCUUAAUACACAUAUUCAUCAAAAUUUUGAAAUCAAAUUUGAUCUCUUGGUGAUUAAUUCAUCUUGGUUGUGUGUGUUGGAUAUGAUGGAUGGAUAUUCUCUNGGUGAUUAAUUCAUCUUGGUUGUGUGUGUUGGAUAUGAUGGAUGGAUAUUCUCUAAUUGACUAAAAUUCGUCAAAAUUAUUUUCAAUUGUGAGAUUGUCUAAUUUAUGGGGAGUUUUGAAUUAUUUAAAAAAUAUACAUAUAUAAAAAAAGGGAAACUCCUAUGUUUAAAAGAUGUGGAAAAAGCUACAUCCAAAAGGAGUGUGAAACUACCACCACAUGUAGAAAAGAGCUACCACCCCGGUCGUCCGGUACGUGUGUGAAGCUACCACAUGAAGAUUGAAUUAAAUAACCGAAAAGGUUGAAAAAAAAUAAAUAUUUUAGAAUUUUCGGAGUUGUAAGGUGUUAGAAUGAAAAGAUGCUCAAAAAGCCACCCCCGGUGCUAUAUUAGUUAAAUCUCUAUUUUGAACGAUUUGCGACAAAUUGAGGUCAAUUUGGUUGAAUUUCUAAAAAUCAUUUUUCAUGAACCGUUACAUCUUGAUGGUUUUGAAUCAUUAGAUUAUUUUUGAUAACAUAAUUUUGAUGAUUCGAUGCAUUUUGAAAUCCUAUAAUAUUUUAUCUUCAUCAUAAUAAUUUUUGGAGUAUAAUUUUUAAUUUUUAUGAAAUUAAUAUAUUUUGAGGAUUGUCGGAAGGCCGUGUUAUAUAGCCUCUUGGCAAGUUUUGGCACGUCAAUCUCGAGUGCUGCAACGAAUCAAAUGAUGUGUGCUUUGCUUUUCUUUCAUUCUCUUUUAGGCCUAUGACUAUGACAUGACUACUCUUAUACUUUCUAAUAAGUUUUCUCUUUAUAUGCUUUGUCUUUGGCAAUUUUUGAGAAAAAGGGGGAGAGCAUAGAUGAACAAGUGUUGAUCGAGAACAAAGGAGAAUAAGGAAUAAAAUCAAAGGAGAAGAGGAUGAAUUCAAGAACAAAGGGGGAGAUGUGAUCAUCGAGAACAAAUGUGGAGAAGGUAUAAGAAUAUAAUGUUGUUAAGGUGGAGAUGUGAUCUACAUUGUUUUUGGAUAAAUUGUUUUGCAGGAAAUCAAGACUUCAAGACUCCUAAUUGUGUCUAAGUCAUAGAGUCUGUUUUAGGAGUUUUGAUGUACUUUUGCAUUUCAUAUUGUAUUUGGAUCACAUGCGAGGGGUUCAAUGUUUUGGUGAUGACAAUUGAACUUCGUUUUUCUUUAAGAUGUAAUUUUUGAGUAGUUGUGAGUUUUGUUACGAAAUUGCCAAAGGGGGAGAUUGUUAAGUCUUGUGUGUUGGCAAGUUUCGUGAAGUGAGUCGGAGUCGUGAAGGAUCGAUAUGUAUCGUCGAAGAUUGAAGAAUCCAAGACUUCGAAGAGAUUGGAAAAUAACUCACGACGUGAAUCACGAUGCUCAGGUAAAGUUUUAAUUCAUGUUAUGGUGAUUCAUACUUAAUUAUAGGCAUUAGAAUCAUAUAAUCAAAGUUUAGUGGAUUAGAAAGUGUAUUGGAACUUUGCGAAACCUGAAACGUGAAAAGAAUCUAAAAACUACACUGUGUAUGGGUACACAUUGAAAGUGUUAUCGGUUACAAACUGUGUACGGGUACAACCAUCAACAUGUUACCGGUUACAAACUGUGUACGGGUACAACCAUCAACAUGUUACCGGUUACAAGGCUGUUUUGAUUUUCUGUUCCGUCAUCGUGUAAGCGAUAACAGCUUAAGUGUGUACCGGUACACAAUGUAAGAUUUUCUGUUCCGUCAUCAUGUACCGGUGACAGCCUCACGUGUAUCGGUACACAAUGCAAAUUUCGGGAAAAGCUUUCUAAUCUGACUCCGAUUGAUUCUAAAUCCUAUAAAUAAGCUAUUGGGGUUCUCUAACUCAUCAUGCAUCACAAAAAUACAUAUUUGAGAAACCCUAGAGACUUGGAAUUCAUCAAAAACCUAUUUUCUUCAUAAAGCCUCUUUUAGGUCAAAUCGAGAAAUUGGAAUUUCAUAUCUAUAUGUCGAUUUGAUCUUUGCUUCGCUUGGAGUUCUCUUCCCUGGGUUUUAUCGAUACUCUAAGCGAAGGAUCACCAUAGCAUGAUGCUCUUCAUGAACGGUGUCGUGGAUUCGGCAUAAUUGAAGGCGAUUCGUGGAUUCGGAUCGUUGGCUCGUGGAUUCGAGUGGCAUCGUGGAUUCGGCGUGAUAGAAGUUUCGUGGAUUCAAAGUGGAGGCGUUCAUGGAUUCGAAAUUGAGGGCGUGGACAACCCGGAGGAUUGUGCGAGAUUCAUAGGAGGUUAAGAGAGGUUGAGUCCGUGGAGUCGGUAAUCACCUUGUAAUCUUUUCUCUUAGUGAAUUAUUUUUUCGCGUGUUGGUCCCGUUGGUUUUUCUCCAAGUUAGAGUUUUCCCAUGUAAAUCUCGGUGUAAUUUUUAUUUUCCGCAUUUAUUUUUUUCGCAUUGAGAUUUAUGUUUUUUGGCUAUUACACCUAUUCACCCCCCUCUAGGUGUUAGAUACAAUCUAGAUAGAUCCUUGGGCACCCCAUAACUUUCAAUUGACGUUCGCGGGGCGUGGCAGAUACCCUACGGAGAAGAGUUGAAAAGGAGGAGAUAUUGUAAAUUACUACAACAGAAUUAGGUUAUAGGGACACAUGUUUGGGACACUUUUGAGUAAGUGUCCCAUUUAUGCUAAAACUUAAAAACACAUCUACUAAUGCCUAAAUAUAAAGCCCAAUCCAGCCAAAAAUAAAAGAUUACUCUACUCAACCCACCACACCCAGUCCAUUUGGCCCGAUUACAAACAGAAAAGAAAAAAAAAAGAAAAAUUAAUUACCAUCUUUUCUUCUCUUUUCGCUCAAUCCACUGAAAUUCUAGACGAAGAGCCUUUACUGUUGUCCUCCUCCGCCACCGCAGCCAACGAGAUAGAGUUUCGGCGGUUGCUAAAUGCUUAAAUAAGUGUUGAUAAAUUAGCAGCACUCUUUUACGUUAUAGCGACACUCUUUAACUGUCACUAUAUACCUAGCGACCCCACAUAUAGCAACACUUUUUAAAAGUGUCGGUAAUUUUAGCUAGCAGCACUUUUUUGAUAUAUACCUACAUUUAAAAGUGUCGCUAUAGACCGUUUUUGUUGUAGUGAAUGGCACCAUUCAUGGAGCCAUAGAACAAAUGAUUGUACCGCCUUUAACAGGUAGAUUUAGAAGAAAAUAAAUGAAGGUUGGCUAAUAUUUGUCGACCAAGAGAACAAAAAUAUGAAAGUUGACAAAAAUCCUUUUCCCUCGCAGGUCAAUAUGAUGGAUAUCAAAGGGAAGGCUCCUGCGGACAAGAAGACAGAUGAUGGUAUUGCCUACACUGAGAGGAUAUUACAGCUAUCCAUAAGAUGCAAGACCGAAAUGACAAAAAGAGAUUGGGAGGCGAUUAUUCAUGAGAAGAAACUAUACGGGGAAUGGAGAGAGUUCAUGUCAUUCUCCGAAGAAUAGAAAGAUAUACGCGAAGCAGAGAACAACUCAAAAGAAGGUUCGGAAGAAGCCUCCAAUGGUUCCGAACAGGACGUUGAUUAUGUGAAAGACAAGAGAGACCUAUUAGUGCAAAAGGUCUUAAAUGAUUAUUACAACAGUCGAAGGGAAGAGCGUAAUAGCCGAUGGAGUUAUCCUGAGAAAUCAUUCGGCUUUCAACAAAGAUUCUCAGGAUAUCGGCCAAACUGGCAACAUCAGAUCAAGCCGAGACCUGAACCUGAAUUUGAAGGGAUGACCGAGGGUGACAUCGAGUUCCUCGGUCGUAGGUUAGUCAAUGAACUUGGCAUUCAGCCUUGGCCGAGACUAUAAGGUACCGGACUUCCAAAAUUACGAAGUUACGGUGUAUAAUGGUUUGGAUAGCCAUUUGAAUGGUUCUGGUGAAAUUCGAGAGCAUUCGGGCGUUUUUAGUGCGCUCGGUACGCGUAGGCGUGAAAACGAAACCCGAAAGGCUAUGUUGGGCCGUGGAUUAAAUCCGGCGUUAGCGUAGAUGAAGAGAUGAGGUGAACAUGCUCGAAAACAUGUGUGGGGAGUCUCGGUGCGAUUUGAAAUGAAUCGGAGACCUGCGGAGCAAAAAUGAGCGAAAACGGAGAAGAAACGGUGAAAAUGCUGAAAAUUUGGCUAAAUCCUAAAGUGCUGGAAUUCUGGACCUAGGGGGAUGGGUCCCUCAGCCAAGGAGCGGUCCUUCAGGUACCGGUCUCUCUAGCCAAGGACCGGUCCCCGUACGCGAGAAUGCCUAAAAUGGGCUGUGUACAAGGAAGCAUUGUUGAGGGGUUUUUAUGCAAUUUUGCAUUAGUAGGAGCUAUAUGAGUGGUCUAGGGUUUAUUCUCCUCAUUCCUCUCAACCCUAACACCCAAAACACUUCUCUCUCUCUCUCUAGAAGCUCUCUCUCUCUUCAAGGAGGAAGGAAAGGAUGAGGGAUUGGUGGAGAAGAAGCAAAGGAGUGGGAUCAUCAUCUCCAUCUUCUUCUUCUCAAGCUUGGAGCAAGCUUUUGGAGGUAAGCUUGAUGUCCAUUUAUGGUGAUUUCUUAGGGUUUGAUUUAAAUACUCUACGAAUGAGUUUGGAUGAAUCCCUUGGUCCUAAUUAGAUGCUAUUUGCUUGAAUCAAGACCCGGUUUAGUGUAUUCUUGCAAAUGGUGGUUCUAGGGCUCCAAAAUGGGGGUUUUUGUAAAUAUGAGGGUUUGAUCUCAAUUGACCCUCCGUAAACCUAAUUGCUAGGUACAUGAACGCAUUGGUGAAGUCGGUUCGGCGAUUCGUCUAGCCGGUGCGAAGAUAUUGAAGAAACGGACUAUUUAGCUUCAUUUCCGCCUGGAGGGCUGUAGCACAUAACCGAAGACCUAUAAUUUUCAGAUCCGUGGUUCGACGCACGGUUGGUGCGCAACUGCAAGAUUGGGCCGUGCCGGAUACGUGUGCCGCGGGAGGCCGAUUGCAAGUGACUACAAGCAAUCGGAGAGCGAAUCGAGGUGGGUUGUGCUCACCGAAGCGACUAGGUCGCCUGUAUGUCUAAGAGAAAUGUGAAAUCAUAUUGUAAUACACUGAACUUUUGCAAAUUGCGGAGUUCGAGUGUGUCAAAUGAUAUGUGAAACUAUCCUACAUGUUCUAAAAGGCUUGGACAAGUUUUUGGACAAGUUAGAGAGUGAUUGGAUGGCUAAAAGUAAGAAAGUGCAUUGCUGUGGCAUUUCUCUCGAAUUUUUGCAUUGUGUACCGGUACAACAUUAAUGCUGUACCGGUACAGCAUGCAGCAGAGGCAGCAGGUGCGUGGCAGCAGGGAUUUUUUGGUCUUUUGGCAUCUAAUCUUAUCCCUAUAGCUAUCUGGUCGACCCCUGAAGUUGCUGGAAGGCCCUUAGAGAUCAGAACAAGCUUCUUCUCUCUCUCCCUCUUUCUCUCACUAGGGUUUCUCUCUCUCCAAGUAAAAUUCGCCGUUACGCGCCGAUUUUGCGUCGAGCUCGUUGCUCGCUGAUUGGAGGACUCGAGGGAAGUCUUUGGAACAUGGAAAGAGGAGUUUUGCUGAGUUUUCUGUGAGGUUACCACCAGGGAAAGCUGAAUCCCAGCUUUAGAGAGAUAAUUAGCUCACUAUCUCUCUAGUUUGUGGUUUAAUAUUGGAUUUUGACGCGUUUUGGUUCCGUUGCUACCAGCUGUGUUAGAUUGAGGUUUCAGCAGCUAGAGAUGACCUAAUUAGCUGUGAAUUAUCCACUUUAAGCCUGAGAUAAGCUGCUUUGAAACCUGAAUUAAGUAAUUAGUUGUUAUGAAGCUAAUUCGGAUCUAAACGAAAUUUAAUCGGGUAAUUGAUGCAGUUUGGAAAUUGUAUCUUCGCAGCAGGUUUUCAAACCAAAUUGAGCUAAAUUUGUGAUCUAAGGAACUUGUUUGCAGGGUGUUCCAACCAAAGGUAAGCUGAAAUUUCAGUUAGGAACCUGAAUAUGCAAGGUUUCAGCUAUAGGAACUAGUAUACAAGCGUUUUGACGCCGUUUUGAGGUUGUUCGCAGCAAGAGCGCGAUCGAGCCUUAGAUCAUCUUCUGUUGGCAUUGAAGAGCAAUUGAAGAGCAAUUGGAGGCUUAAUUUGAGGUACUAAUGUGACCCGAAACAGGGAUUUAAGCUAGUACUUUGUAUUAAGUGUGAAUUGUACCGAAAUUGGAUAUUUCGAUUGUAGUAUUGAUACAACUUUCGUACCUUGAUACCGCAGGAUUGAGGCUUCGUUGAGCUUGAUUUCGGGACUCUUGUGGACUAAAUUGGAGUCUUGUAUUAGGUGGGUUUAACCUAACCAGAGCAAGUGAAGCUCCCCUAUGUUCUAUAUGAUACUAUAGAAAUAGCAUAUGAAUGCAUUUGGCGUAACUUGGGAAUCGACAUAGAUUCAGAACAUUACCACCAUCAUAGUUGAUAUAUGUAUGUGUAGUGAAUUGAAAUCUCUCUUAAGUAGAGAAAUGCAUGCAUAGAAGUAAAUAUGUUUAUGUUUGACUCAGUUGAAUGAUUCAUGAACAAUCUAGUAUGUUCUUAAAGUAGAGAACAAUAACAAUCUUAUGACUUUAUUGAUUAUAAAGUAGAGAACAAUGACAUACUUUGUGACUAUAACCAUAGUGCUAUGAUAGUGGAAAGUUUCGAAUGCUAUAAGCAAAUUAGCAUUACUAUAAGGGAAGUGAAUUCUCGAAAUCCGGGGAUUAGACUUCGUUGGGAAUCGACUGAUUGUCGAGUGUGUAAGCUCCGGAAAGUCCGAAGGUGGUUAUAAUGCAUAAAGUGCAUUGAGGAAAUGUCCGCGAGAGCACCAGUGCAAAAACAGCACUGGAGCAGAAAUGCUCUCGGGGACCGGUCCCUGGCAGGGAGGGACCGGUCCCAUCGGGCUGGGCUGCGGGGGUCUCUGAUGAGACCGGUCCCUGGCGGGCAGGGACCGGUUCCCGAACGUUAACCCUACGAGACAAGCCGAAAUUUGGCUAAGUUCCGAGAAUCCAGCUCUCGGGAACCGGUCUCUCGGACAAGGACCGGUCUCCCGAGGACCGGUCUCUCGAGCAGAGAUCGGUUCCCGAACGCGAAAACCCUUCUGCCCGAAUGGGAGGCCUUCGGGGACCGGUCUCCCUGAGCUGGGACCGGUCCCUCACUGCGAAAAUGGCCCAAGGAGGGCUAUUUCAGAAAAUGAAAAGUUGAGGGGGCUAUCUGGAAAAUGGCCUAUAUGAAGGCUUGGGGACCCCUCUCUCCAUCUCAUUUGCUCUCUCUCCCUUUUACACUCUCUCUCUCUCUUUCUAGAAAAGAAAAGAAAGAGAAGAAGAAGGAAAGGAAGAGAAAGGAGAAGAAGGAAAGGAGAAGGAGUAGGAGAAGAAGAAGACAAAGGUGGAGACCACCUUCCUCAUCUACUUCUUCUUCUUGGACUAAGCUUUUGAAGGUAGGCUUUAAACCCUUUAAUGGUGUGUCUAGGGUUUGGGGGUUUUAUAGCUUAGAAAUGGUUCGAAUGGGACCUAUUGAAGCUAGGGAGAUGGUUCGAGCUCGAAAUCGAAGCUCGCACCGCGGAUUUCUCCAUUGUUGAAACCUAGGGCUUCGAUUUGGGAUUUUGGCAAAUUUAGGGUUUUGAUCUAAUUUAAUAGGUCGCAAACCUAAUUGCUAGGUCUCUGAACGCGUCGACGAAGAUGGUUUGUCGAUCCGUCGAGUGGGUGCGGAGUUAUCGCCAAAGAAGACCUUCGGAGCUUCGUUCUCGCUUAGAAGGCCAACGAGGCGUCGAAGCGUCGGCGAAUCACAUUUGAAGACUCACGGCAUCGCCACGAGGUGGGGGAGUGCCAUCCCGAAGCAGUCGGGCUGCUCUUUAUGUCUGAGUAACAUUGUCGAUCAUUUACAUAUUGUGAUAUAGCAUUAUAGGGUAUUAAAUGUGAUUGUACAUAUCUUCGCAUGCUAGUGAUAGUUCGAGUUGUGGAUAUAAUGAAUGAAAACCUAGUAUACAUGAGUAGAAUAUUAUGAGAUAGUUCGCCCUAUAUGUGAUGAAUAUGUCUAUGUGAAUAAGAACCUAGUGUAUUGGAAACUAGUGUAUCAAGAACUUGUCAAGAGAACGAGUGGCAUCUAGUAAACAGUGAACCCAGAACGAGUGGCACCUAGUUGGUAUUGAACUUGAGAACUUUAGUGUGGUUGAGACACUAUGAGAUUAAGCAGAUGAACACCGGAUGUUAUAGUGACGCCAAUCCCAGUUGGUUAGGGUGUUCCCAGUUAUGAGAUUGGAUCGAGCUCACUUAGCCUGUCUGCACCUGUGGAGGUAGCUCCUCACAGGUAGUGCACUCCGGAGUUUGGCACGCGAGGGGGCCAGUGUAGUGCCCUUGGACCAGUGUAGUGUCCGCAGGCGGUCUCGGGGAAGGUGAAUAACUAGCCACCUCUCCUAUGAGACUUAGAGACGUGAGACUGUGAGCGAACCUUGCGUUCGCCGUGAGAUUGGGUAAUUGGAUGAAUGAUUUCAUUAUUGAGCAUGGUAGUCUGAUAGCCAGCCUUCUUACUAUGAGUCGCAUGCAUGCAUCAUACUAGAUUGAGGCAUUGAUAGAUCAUAGCUCCUAGUUGCUCAUUACUGUUAAUGCUUUCAGUUUUAUAUAUCUAUCUAUUCGCAUAUCUAUCUGUGCCUGCUUAGACCUAGUGAGGAGAUCGGCGGAGUCGGUGGUCGAACCCACUGGGAACUAUUCGUAGUUCUCACUCCACCAUAUUGCAGGUCCGAGUUCGAGCACCCCCGGUGAGGAUCAUGGCAAGGGCGUAGCGCCCUAGCGGUAUAUGUAUAUAGUUAGCUUACCUCCUUUUGCAUUAGCCCUACCCUAUACUUAUGUUCGAGAGUAGAUUGAUGUAUAGGGUGAGGUUUUGAGAAGAUUGUAUGUAUUGUACCUACGUUUUGGAAGAAUGUAAAGGAUGAAAUAAUUGUAUAAAGCUAAAUGAAUUAAUAGUUAAGUACAUCUCUUUUAUCACUUGUAUGCUUUACAUGUGUUGCUUGCUCUUUGUUGAUAAGCACUGUUUGUGCUCUCGUGGUUGUUGUAUGAUUGUGUAUGUAUUCAAGUUGUUUCCUGGGAAGUUGUUGUACACAAUCUAACUGUUUGAGCCUUGGGUGGACAGAGGAGGUGCUGUCCGUUCGGCGGUCCAUUCGCCGCGCCCGAACCAGACCAAAUUGGUAUCGGCCUCGAGGCGGGGGCGUGACAAUUACUCUUACAUGAUUACUACUCUAGUGGAUACUAGCUAUGUUCAAUAUCUGUUAUAUUGAAAUUCCGAUCAGAGGAUCGAGAGUGAGAACAUUGCAAGAUAAAACGUGAUGAUUGAGAUGUAUUGGAUUAUGGACUUUGCUUACUUGCCAUCGUGCUCAUUCGCACGCGCUUGUGAGGGUAGCUCCCUACAAUCCGGCACUCCGGAGUUGGCCUACGCGACAGUUACUUGCCCGUGCGGGAUUGGGUGCCGAAGUGGAUUGCCGUAGGGAGUGUAUACUACCACGGGGCCAUUAGGCACGGCGCGAGCUGGACUACCUUGGGUAGGUCCUUAUGAAUAAAAUGAAAGUACUAAAUGACAAAGAAUAGUAAUGAAUGCUCAUCAGUUAUAGUGUACAGUAUUUACUUACAUAUCCAUGUUUAUGUUCAUGUCUAUAGUAGUUGCUAUGCUUCUAUUAUUCAGUUGAUUCAUUACUGCAGAAAUCAUGAUUACAUGUUGAUUACAUGCCUAUUGCCUGCUAGCAUUGCAUAUAGAUAUCAUGCAAUUAUCGCUUUUACUUUCAUUUAGUACAUCAUGAGCCUAGUGGUGUAAUUCCCCGAGGCUGGCGGCUUACCCAUUGGGAACUAUUGUUAAUAGUUCUCACGCCCUUUGGUGGUUGUUUUUACAGAGCCAUCUACAGGAGAGGCUAGGGAUCGUGGCAAGGGAGUCGCGUCUAGCUAGACAUUGCUAGGAGCAUGCUAGUCGAUCACCUUGCUACUCGGGCUACGACCGAGGGUGAUGUCCCUAUAUAUAAAGAGAGACCACUAUUGUACCUACUUUUUGUAUAUGUACUGUUGAACCAGAUAUUAUAGUUCUGUUACUUUUUUUUUUAGUUGAGAUUUUGGAUUGGUUACUCCUUGUUCCUCUAUUGAUAGUAUUUGGAACUUAUACUUUGCUCUGAUAUCAGGAUAGGAUUUUUCUAUAUUUUUCUCCUAUCGCCUUACUUUCUUGUAGACGCCUUAUAUACUGCAGGUGUAUGGCGGGUCUGUGCACGUACCGGAUAUGCUUCCGCUGGUACCUGGGCGUGACAGAUUAUAGUGGUAUCAGAGCCUAGGGUUGAGUCUUAGUAGACCUAGCAAACCUUAGGCUGGUUGGACUAUAAAAAUAGGCUCGUGAGAGACGAGGUCUAGUUGAGGAUUGUUGCUAGCGAAAGUACUUUGAUUCGGUAAUUUAUAAACUCCGAAUGGUAGGAGUUUGAUCGCAAUGUGCAAUUACUAGCUUUGCAGGGGGCCACGUUGGCGGUUGACAACGUGACAUCGGAUGUUAGUACGCGUUACAUUUCAUUACUUUCGCUUGAUUAGUUGGUUUAUACCUGAAGUAAAGUUCAAUAGUAUAGGUUUUAUUAAUCUAUGUUUGUUUUUGUGCUGCAGCUUAAGAUGCCGUUGACUCGUUCGAAAACAACCGAGGCGGCUGAGGCGGCGGAUGCAGAGGAAGUGGGGACCUCCGUUACUUCUGGAUCUAGUGGGAUCCAUGAGUUGCAGGAUCAGCUCGCGAAGCUGACGGAUUUGGUUGCUCAGUAGGCGGCGGCUGCGCGACAGCAGAUGGAUGCUGCGCGUCGACAGGAGGACGGGAUGAAGAGGUUAGAGGAUUUACUAUUGCGGCAGACGACCGACAGAGAGAUUCCUGAUCCUAUACCUACAGUACCAGACAGGGAUACGACAGUGAGAGCACAGUCACCAGUACCAGAUACACCCCCAGUAGCUCCGAGGGUAGAGCCCCGACAGGAGACAGUUGUACCACCACCCGUGCAUGUGGCUGUGGCAGGGACAGUGUUACCUGAGAUGGUGGGGGUUGAGGAGCGAGAACGGAUGAUGGAAAGGUUAAAUGAGUUUCGUCAUUGCAACCCUCGUGUUUUUGACGGGGAGAAAGCUGAUCAUUGGGUGGUCGAGAAAUGGUUGAUGCACAUGGAGAAACUGUUUUAUGAUACUUUUGUUGAGGAGCGAUAUAGAGUUUGGUUUGCGACGCACCAUCUAGACGGCGAGGCUUACAGGUGGUGGGUGGAUAUCCGUGAGGACCCCCGUGUGGAUUUAUCAACGAUUACCUGGACGAGAUUUAAGGAAUUACUGUUGACAACUUAUUUUCCACAAAGUGUGAAGAGGCAGAUGGAAAGGGAUUUGAGAAACCUGAGGUAGGGGGACAGUACAGUAGCUGAGUAUGAGCGAGAGUUCUCCCGUUUACUUCACUGUGUUCCUUUUGUGGUUUGAGAUGAUGAGGAUAAGGCCCGUAUUUUUUAUGUGGGUUUGCGACCUGCGAUUUUCAGAUUGAUCCAGGCGUCAAACCUUUCUACUUACAGGGAAGUAGUGAAUCGGGCAUUGAUCGUGGAGAAGGGGGCGAAAAUUAUGAAGGAAAGAGAUGUGGUGGAUCGAAGUAAAGGAAAAAGGCCAGCAGCUGAGAGCAGUGGUCAGCAAUCCUUCAGGAGACCGCCGAACUAUCCGAGGGACCAGUCGGGCCAGUCGAGAGGUCGAGGUUUUUCAGCAUCCCGUGGAGCACCCGAGCGUCGUCGACAGCCACGUUGUGUCAUUUGUGGUGGGCCUCACUUUCCACCACAGUGUCUACAACGUGGGGGCAAGUGUUUUAUCUGCGGCCAGGAGGGCCACUAUCGUUCAGAGUGCCCGAGAGGUUCUUCACCUACAUCAUCAUCAGCAUCUGCACCUGCAUCUUCAGCUCCGAGCCAGUGGACCCCGACAGCACCCUCGCAGUACAGACGAUCACCGGGACAGCGGCAGUCUGAGAGUCCUCGGCAGGGUUCGAGUGGGCGUAUGUAUGCCGCCCAGAUUGAGGAGGCCGCAGCAGCGGAGGAGGUCGUAGCAGGUAUCAUUAUGCUUUAUGAUAUUCGUGUUCGUGCAUUGUUUGAUACAUGUGCUUCGCAUUCUUUUAUUGAUCGGCAGUUUGCCGAGUUGCAUAGCAUUCGUUUAGCACCUACUUUGCAUCUGGGACGAGUGAUCGUGCCCGACCAUACCCUAGAAGUUCAUGAGUUUUGCCCUCGCUGCCCAGUUAGGGUAGGCGACUGGAUUAUGCCGGUGGAUUUAUUGACACUACACAAACUUGGUGAGUUUGAUGUAGUAUUGGGUAUAGAUUGGUUGACACAAUAUUAUGCGACUAUAGAUUGCAUGAACAGAACGGUGACCUUUAGGGAACUGGGUCAGCAAGAGUUUGUUUAUAAUGGGUGUCAGAGUUCGUUAUUUGCAAUGACUAUUAGCUCUUCGCAAGCACGACAGUUGAUUCGGAGAGGGUGUGUUGCCUAUUUGGCUAGCAUUUCGGUGAGUGACGGAGGAGCCGUCAAGAUUGAAGAUAUCCCGGUUGUGCGAGAAUUCGGGGAUGUGUUUCCAGCUGAGUUGCCUGGUAUGCCAUCUGAUAGGGAAGUUGAGUUUGUGAUAGAUCUUGUCCCUGGGACUACCCCAAUCUCAAAAGCAUUCUAUAGGAUGGCACCCUCUGAGUUGAAAGAACUGAAGGCACAAUUGCAAGAUUUAUUGGAUAAGGGUUUUAUUCGACCGAGUGUAUCUCCCUGGGGAGCCACGGUAUUGUUUGUUAAGAAGAAGGAUGGAUCUCUUCGAUUGUGUGUGGAUUACCGAGAAAUCAACAAAGUCACAAUCAAGAAUAAAUAUCCAUUACCCAGAAUCGAUGAUUUAUUCGAUCAGCUGCAAGGAUCGAAAGUAUAUUCUAAGAUUGAUUUGCAGUCAGGUUAUCAUCAGCUUAAGAUCAAGCCUGAAGAGGUUUCCAAAACCGCUUUUAGGACACGGUAUGGGCAUUAUGAAUUCACAGUUAUGCCAUUUGGAUUGACAAAUGCCCCAGCAGCCUUUAUGGAUUUAAUGAACCGUGUCUUUAAGCCCUAUCUGGACAGGUUUGUGGUCGUGUUCAUCAACGAUAUCUUGAUCUAUUCUCGAAACGAUGAGGAGAAUGAAAGCCAUCCAAGAGUGGUGUUACAAGUACUUCGAGAAAAGAAACUAUUUGCAAAGUUAAAGAAAUACGAAUUUUGGCUCCGAGAAGUAGCAUUUCUGGGUCAUGUCAUUUCAGAGGCUGGGAUAGCUGUGGAUUCAAAGAAGAUUGAAGUGAUUAAAGAUUGGCCUAGGCCGACUAAUGUCACAGAGAUUCGGAGUUUCCUUGGUUUUGCAAGAUACUACCAAAGAUUUGUAGAAGGAUUUGCAAAGAUGUCUGUAACACACUGGACCUUUGCAAAUUGCGAGGUUCGAGUGUUUGGUUGUAUUUCGAGCUUUUCCACACUUGGUGGAGGGUUGUAAAAUGUUCCCCGACCCGAAAAGUUCGAAAACUGGAACUUUGGACAAGUCCUGAGAGUUUUUACUCUCGGGGACCGGUCCCUGGAAGGAGAGACCGGUCCCCCCAGUGAGCAGUGUUGAGGCAGCCUGAGGCAACCGGUCCCUGGCAGGCGAGACCGGUUCCCGAAAGCGUCUUCGCAGUGAGAGACCGGUCCCGCGCAGGGAGAGACCGGUUCCCGAACGCUGGUUUUUCGGGUUCGCAGCGAGAGACCGGUCCCUGCUGGGGAGAGACCGGUCCCUCUGGGCGAAAACUGCCCAGUCCGGGCUGAUGUAAUUUUGGGUUUUUGAGGGGCCUAACUGGAUUUUGUUACCUUAGAGGCUAUAGGCAGCCUCUCCUCUCCUCUCACUCUCAUUUUCUCUCAACCCUUUGCAUUCUAGAGAGAGAAGGAGAGAGGGAGAAGGAGAAGAAGGAGAAGAAGAGGAGAAGAGCUUGCUUGGAGCACCAUCUCCUUCCUUAUUUCCCACCUUUGGAGGCUUGGAGCUUGCUUUUGGAGCCUUGUGGUGGAUCAAUCUUCAACCCUAGAAGAUUUUGAGCUUGGAUUGGAGCAUCCUAGAGGUAUGUGGCAAGGUUCCUCCCUCUAGAUCUUAGUUUUGGAGCUUUUUGCUAGUUUUAACCCUAGAAAUGAGAUUUAGGGUUGGUUUUGGGGCUUUUUGACCUAGGGCUUUUGAAGCUUAAUUGAUUGGUUUAGAACCUUCCUAGGGCUUGGAUUGGAAGGGUUCUAGCUCUCUUUUGGAGCUUUGGGAGAGAUUUCUACUCUUGAGGUGAGUUUUGCCCCUUUUUGCUCCUAGGUUAAUGUUUGAUCUCUCGGAUGGUCGUAAUGCCCUCGUAUCUCUUCGCUGAUUACUUUUAGGGUAUUUUGGGACUCGGGGACAACUUUGUUCGGCUCAUCGAGACCCUACGCGACGGUUCGGUGGGUUUGACCUAGCCUAUGAUAUGAAAAAUGCUCAUAUAUGGCAAAUAUGUUUCGUAAAAUAGAAAUUCAUGCAUUUUCAUGUUAAAUGUAUUUAAUAUGAAUUUUAGAAUGCUUAACAUGCAUAGGUUAUGUGUAGUAAAUUUUGGGACCUCUAUAUAGUAGAGAGCAUGCAUAUGUGGCCUAGCAUUCUAGUUGAGACUUGAAAUUAUAAUCCCUAUUAUGAAAACGAAUCUUGCUUUCAUGCAUUCAAACUAUAUACCAGUUGUGACAUUAGGGAUUAUUGGAAGCCUAGAGAGGCUUAGAGAUUUAGAGGAUAUGUGAGAUUGGGCCAAUGUCAUGAAGAGGCAUUGGGGCCCGGGACAUAGCGAGCGUUAAUGUUAAUGUCUUAAUUGAAACAUGACCAGUUGUGAAGCUUAAGUGUCAUAAAGAGGCACUAAGCAAGUGCGUGUUGGGACUUCCCAUUAUGACUUUGAACUAGAUCUUCGGGAUGCUAGUGACUUUACCAUGUUAGAGACAUGAGGAUUGGAUACUUGAGACAGUGACUUUGCUUGUUUGCCAUUUGUGCUCAUUCGCACAUGCUUGUGAGGGUUGCUCCCCACAAGCCGGCACUCCGGAGUUGGCCUAUGCGACCUAUGUUCGCUCGUGCGGUAUUGAGAAGCCUACGGGGUCGAGUGGGACAGACACAUUCCAAGAGUAGGAAUGUCGGGCUACCACAGGCACUUAGGCGGCACAAGCUGGACUACCUUGGGUAGGUCCCUAAUUGGAAAUGGAAAUCGACAUGGCUUGAGAAUGAACAAUCACUACUAAAUAGGCAUAGUAGUUGGAUUACAUUUACAUGCAUAUAUCAUAGGGUUGAGACAUGUAGUAUACUUGACAGUUACCUACUUCAUCACAGUGUACUGGGUUGCCAUGAUAGGGCUUAUACAUUAUGUAUGAAUAAAGGGUCGUAACAAUAAACUAUUGCCAUUGGUUGUUUCUCCUUAUGAUAAAAUAGCUGUACAACAUCUUGACAUCUUGCUUAUGAGGGAUAUAGUAGUAUAGCAUUUUACUUAUGCUCUCUCUUUCAGCAGUUUAUUACAUGCUUCUUUCUAUUGCUUGUUGCUAUUACGCUUCUUACCCUUGUUUUUGGGGCCUAGUGGAGCAGGAGCUGAGGUCAGUAAUUGCCCACUGGGAACUAUAAAUUAUAGUUCUCACGCCCUCUUUUUCUUGAUGUUUUUCAGAGCCUUCCACGCAGGGUGAGGCCAGGGAUCGCGGGAAGGGAGUUGCUUCGAGCUAGCUUCCUUCGAGGACGAGUCGCUAGGUGGUCCACCUCUCGAUUUAUGUUUUAUUUUGCGAGAGGUUGAGCGUUUUACCAGUGUACUAGAGACCACCAUUUUUGUACAUUUGAGACAGAUAUUGUACUUCUUAUGACUCCUUUUACUGUCUAGCUUUACUUCUUUACCUUGGUGUAGAUGAUAGAACUAUAUUUGCUCUGAUAUCAUUAGUUGCUAGUUAUUUCACUUCUUCUACUUGUUUUAUUACUUGCUUUUACUUCCGCUUUUAUUGUAGACGUCUUAUAUGUGUUGACAUAUGGCGGGUCUGGGCACGCUACCGGGAGGGCCUCCGCCGGUCCCGGGGCGUGACAAUGUCUACGCCUCUCACUCGACUUACACAUAAAGGAGCUAAAUUCCUGUGGAAUGAAACCUGCGAAAGAAGCUUUCAAGAGCUGAAGGAACGAUUGACCACCGCCCCGAUUCUAGCACUGCCUGUCACUGGAGUAGAUUAUGUGAUUUACAGUGAUGCGUCGCUAAAUGGAUUAGGGUGUGUUCUAAUGCAGAAUGACAGAGUAAUUUCUUAUGCAUCUCGCCAAUUGAAAGAUUAUGAAAAGAACUACCCUACACAUGAUCUUGAGUUAGUAGCUGUGGUAUUUGCUUUAAAACUUUGGCGCCACUACCUCUAUGGCGAGCGUUGCGAGGUUUACACCGAUUAUAAAAGCUUAAAGUAUUUGUUUACUCAGAAGGAAUUAAACUUGAGACAACGUAGAUGGUUGGAGUUGCUCAAGGAUUAUGAUUUGACCAUCCUCUAUUAUCCAAGAAAAGCUAAUGUUGUAGCAGAUGCUUUAAGUCGAAAACCGACGAAAAAUUUGGCGAUGUCGAUAACUAUGCAACCGCUGUUGGUAAAGGAAAUGGAGCAGUUGAAUUUGAAAGUUGUAGCUCCUGACACGCCUUGGAGACUUAUGUCCUUGGUGGUGCGACCUACCCUGAUCGAUCGAAUUAAAGAAAAGCAAGCUCAGGAUGAAUUCCUGCAAAAGAUUCGAGCAAAAAUCACUACUGAUCAUGUUAGUGAUUUUCGAGUGGAUGAUCAGGGACUGUUGAAAUUCGGUGAUAGACUUUGUGUACCGGGAGAUUCUGGUAUUAAAGAAAAGAUUCUAGAAGAAGCACAUCGUGCGCCGUAUUCUGUACAUCCUGGGAGUACGAAAAUGUAUAAAGAUUUGAAGUUAACUUACUGAUGGCCUGGAAUGAAAAAGAAAAUUGCAGAUUUUGUGGCCAGAUGCUUAACCUGUCAGCAGAUUAAGGCUGAACAUGAACUUCCUGCAGGAAAACUACAAAGCUUACCCAUACCAAUGUGGAAGUGGGAGAGGAUCACUAUGGAUUUUAUUAUUGAAUUAUCUCGCUCACAGGCAGGUCACAAUGCCAUUGGGUAAUUGUGGAUAGAUUGACCAAAUCUGCCCACUUUAUUCCGAUUCAUACAGUUUGGUCAAGAGGGAAGUUACCUAGAUGAAAUUGUUUCUGAUUGAGAUAGAUUGACCAAUUCCGAUUCCGAUUCCGAUUCCGAUUCCGAUUCCGAUUCCGAAAUUGUUUCCGAUUCCGAUUCAUACAGUUUGGUCAAUCUAUCUUUGUGGAUAGAUUGACCAAAUCUCGCACAAGUGUACCUAGAUGAAAUUGCGCGAUUACAUGGAGUACCAGCCUCUAUUGUUUCUGAUUGAGACACCCGAUUUGUUUCACAUUUCUGGAGGAGUUUACAGGAGGCCUUGGGUACCCGAUUGGAUUUUAGUACUGCUUUCCACCCCCAGAGUGAUGGGCAGUCCGAGCGUACCAUCCAGACCCUUGAGGAUAUGUUGAGGGCCUGUGUGAUUGAUUACCAGGGCAGUUAGCCACAGUUCCUACCGAUGGCUGAAUUUGCUUAUAACAAUAGUAAUCAAGCAAGCAUUCAGAUGGCACCGUUUGAAGCCCUUUAUGGUAAAAAGUGCAGAUCACCACUUCAUUGGAGUGAAGUGGGGGAGAGAUUAGUUUUGGGUCCAGAUGUGUUACAAGAGGCUGAAGCUAAAGUUCAACUUGCACGAGAACGUCUACUGACAGCUCAAAGUCGACAAAGAAGCUAUGCGGAUAAACGUCGGCGAGAAUUGGAAUUUCAAAUUGGCGAUCAUGUAUUCUUGAAAGUCUCACCAUCAAAGGGGGUUAAGAGAUUUGGUAUUCGAGGGAAGUUAAGUCCUCGAUUUAUUGAACCCUACGAGGUGUUGGAGCGGAUAGGCCCCGUAGCGUAUCGGCUUGCUUUACCGCCGAACCUAUCGGGAGUGCAUAAUGUGUUUCAUGUUUCUACACUUCGAAAGUAUGUUUUUCAUCCAAACCACGUACUUGAGAGUAUCCUAGUGGAUUUACGAGAAGAUUUGAGCUUUGAGGAGCAUCCAGUGAAAAUCCUAACUCGAGAAGUAAAACGGCUUCGAAACCGCGAGAUACCCUACGUAAAGAUACUUUGAAGCAAUCACGAUGAACGGGAAGCCACUUGGGAACUUGAGAGUGCAAUGCAAGAGCACUAUCCCUACCUUUUCUCGACGGAAUCUUGAGGUAAGUAUUUACAAGUUUCGCGGAUGAAACUUCUUUUUAGGAGGGCUGAAAUGUAAUACACUGAACUUUUGCAAAUUGUGGAGUUCGAGUGUGUCAAAUGAUAUGUGGAACAUCCUACAUGUUCUAAAAGGUUUGGACAAGUUUUUGGACAAGUUAGAGAGUGAUUGGAUGUCUAAAAGCAAGAAAGUGCAUUGUUGUGGCCUUUCUCUCGAAUUUUUGCAUUGUGUACCGGUACAACAUUAAUGCUGUACCGGUACAGCAAGCAGUAGAGGCAGCAGGUGUGUGGCAGCAGGGAUUUUUUGGUCUUUUGGCAUCUAAUCGUAUCCCUACAGCUAUCUGGUCGACCCCUGAAGUUGCUGGAAGGCCCUUAGAGCUCAGAACAAGCUUCUUCUCUCUCUUUCUUUUUUUCUCUCUCUAGGGUUUCUCUCUCUCUAAGUAAAAUUCGCCGUUACGCGCCGAUUUUGCGCCGAGCUCGUUGCUCGCUGAUUGGAGGACUCGAGGAAAGUCUUUGGAACGUGGAGAAGAGAAGUUUUGCUGAGUUUCCUGUAAGGUUACCACCAGGAAAAGCUGAAUCCCAGCUUUAGAAAGGUAAUUAGCUCACUAUCUCUCUAGUUUGUGGUUUAAUAUUGGAUUUUGACGCAUUUUGGUUCCGUUGCGCCGUAUUCUGUACAUCCUGGGAGUACGAAAAAGUAUAAAGAUUUGAAGUUAACUUACUGAUGGCCUUGAAUGAAAAAGAAAAUUGCAGAUUUUGUGGCCAGAUGCUUAACCUGUCAGCAGGUUAAGGCUGAACAUCAACUUCCUACAGGAAAACUACAAAGCUUACCCAUACCAAUGUGGAAGUGGGAGAGGAUCACUAUAGAUUUUAUUAUUCAAUUAUCUCGCUCACAGGCAGGUCACAAUGCCAUUUGGGUAAUUGUGGAUAGAUUGACCAAAUCUUCCCACUUUAUUCCGAUUCAUACAGUUUGGUCAGGAGAGAGGCUCGCACAAGUGUACCUAGAUGAAAUUGUGCGAUUACAUGGAGUACCAGCCUCUAUUGUUUCUUAUUGAGACACUCGAUUUGUUUCACAUUUCUGGAGGAGUUUACAGGAGGCCUUAGGUACACGAUUGGAUUUUAGUACUGCUUUCCACCCCUAGAGUGAUGGGCAGUCCGAGCGUACCAUCCAGACCCUUGAGGAUAUGUUGAGGGCCUGUGUGAUUGAUUACCAGGGCAGUUAGCCACAGUUCCUACCGAUGGCUGAAUUUGCUUAUAACAAUAGUUAUGAAGCAAGCAUUCAGAUGGCACCGUUUGAAGCCCUUUAUGGUAGAAAGUGCAGAUCACCACUUCAUUUGUCACGCCCCGAUGCCGCUACCAAUUUGGUCCGGUUCGGGCGCGUCGAACAGACGCCGAACGGACAGCACCUCUCCUGUCCGCCCAAGGCUAAACAACCAGAUCAUGUACAAACAAGCGCCCAGAAAUGCUUAUAUAACAUACAUGAUCGAACAUAGCGCACACAAGUGCAAUCCAUCUAAGAGCAAGAACCACAAGUAAUAUACUAGUGUAUAAAGAGAGAUAGUGUAACUAUUACAUUCAUUCAAUAGUCACAUCAUUUGAUUGCAUUACAUUUUUCAUCUACCAAAAUGUAAAUACAUAUUUUCCUCAAAAUACAAGUAGCUCUCCCAUAUCUAUCGAAACAUCAUCUAGUACACGAGGGUACUCUAAUGCAUAAAGGAAAAGCUACCAACUAAACUCACUUAGGGUGCUAUGCCCUUACCGCGGUCCUCGCUUGACUCGCCUCUGUGUGUACCUGUACUCCAAAACCACACGGGGUGAGAACUAUAUAAAUAUAGUUCCCAGUGGGUUCGGCCGCCGACGCCGCCGGUUUUCCCACUAGGUCUAAGCUGGCACAGAUAGAGAGAUAGAUAGAUAUAUAAAGGUAAACUGCAACUACUCUAUCAUGCCACCAAUGAUAAUAAUGCAUGCAACAACUACUAUCAUGCUAGUAUCAUGUCAUGAGUGUAUAAAGGAGCAUAGUAAUGUAACUACAACAUACACUAUGUCUACUCAAGGUAAUAAUGCAAGUCUACUAUGCAUUUCAUGUUUCUUACCCAAUUCACUUGGUUAACCCGAAGGUUAAACCCUCGACUCACUCUCAAUCUCAUAGGUGAGGAGAAACUGCACUCGCACACCGAGACCGUCUGCGGGACAACUACGUCUGCCCCUAGUGAAGUACUCCGGAGACUCAUGCUUCGAUGGAGCGACCACCGACAAGCAAAACAGACUAGUGAGUAUGAUCCAAUCCUCUCAAGAGGAUACCCUGUCUACUAGGGUCAAUGUGCCUCUGCUGCACAGUCAUGAUAUAUAAUCAAUGUUGGGACCUCUACCAUCCCUAGGUUCAUGUCAAGUUUACUACCUUAGACUCAAUGCCACUCGUUCGAUCAUUGUAGUAAGUUUUCUACUAAUUGACAUGCCACUCGUUCAAGUUUAGUGUCUCUACUACACUAGUCCAAUGCCACUCUACUAGGCUAUGUCCAAGUUCGGCUCUUUAUGCCGCUAUAGGAUUCUAUGCCAUAAGACCCAAUCCUCAUGCUACCCUAGUCUAGGUGUUCAACUCAUAGGUACACUACUAAGGAGCAUGUAAGGAAAAAGGAAAUAUAUAUUUAUUAAUCCUAUAAUGCAAUAUGAUCAACACUUAUGUAACUUAGACAUAAAAAGAAACCCGGAUGUUCCGGAAUGACACCCCCCACCUUUAGUGUUUACGGAGGCUCUAAAAGUGUGCCUCGGCGUCCUUUACGACGAAGCCUCGGUCUUCUUGUCCAAAGCGAUGCUACAAGGCCUCAAAUGAGAUCAAUCCCAUACUUUACCGAAAAACCCUAUUUUGGUGCCCUAGGGUUAGCAUCAAGCUAAACCCACCUCAAAACCCUAGAUUCUAGCUCUAAUCCUUCCAUUCAUGGUGCUAGGGAUCCAUUUGAUCCCAUCCAAAGAGCUAAAACCCAAAAACCCCAAAUCUCACAAGCUAGGGUUAGAAGCUUACCUCUAAGGUGCGUGAGUGACGUGAACCUAUGCGUUGUGGCGGGAGUUGAUUCGAUUGGGUCGAAGUUGUUGAUAAUAUGUUUCUAGUAGUUACUAGAGACAGGUUCAAGUGGUAUUAAUUCUCGACUUGAAGUGGUUGUGUUGGGCGGCCGACAACAUGACACUAAGAGUUUAGAACAAGUACACUUGUCUGCUUCCGCCUAAUUUGCGAUGUUGAGUCGUUUUAUCUCGUAAUUGCGUGAGUUUAACGGGUUAAGAUGAUUGACCAAUGUUUGUGUUUCAGGAGCUGAUGUCCCCGAGACGCUACGUGCGUAGAUCCGUUGCGGCACCACCUCCCGUGGUGCCAGAGCAGGCUGGACCUCCGGUGGCGCCAGAGCCUGCUGGGCCUAGCGAGGUGCAGGAGUUACGAGCGCAAGUUACCGCGCUAACCAGUCAGGUCGAGCGGCUCCAGGAACUUUUGGAGCGGCAAGUGGCGGCGGCGGCCGCGACGGCAGUUGAAGGCCGUGGUCCGCCCGUGCACUCGGCUCGCGCGCCUAAUGCGGCUGAGGGUGUGGGCAUUGCGGCAGCUCCGGCGGCGGCGCAUCCCCCUCCAGCAAGUGUUCCUCCGGCGGCUUCGGGUUCGGCGAUACCCGAUGCGGCGGCCGAGGAGAUGGAGCGAGAGCGUUCGUUGACGGCUAUUAUUAGAUUCAAGAAGUUCAACCCGCCAAUCUUUGAAGGGGAGAAAGUGGAGCCGUCGAUGGUGGAAUCAUGGAUUGACUCAAUGGAGACACUUUUUGAGGAUCUCUAUACCUCGGAGAAAGACAAGGUGUAUCUCGCCACCCAUUGCCUCGAGAAAGCGGCGAAGGUGUGGUGAAAGCGGGUGAAGCGAGAUCGGCCUUCUGACCUUCCACCUAUGUUAUGGGAGGAGUUCAAGAGGGAAAUGUUUGGAAAUUACUUCCCCGACACCGAGAAGCGGAAGUUAAAGGAGAUGUUCCACAAACUGAGACAGGGGGAUCGUUCCGUGGCGGACUACGAGCAGGAGUUCUCCCAUAUCAUAGACUGUGUCCCAGACGUGGUCAAGGAUGACGGGGACAGGGCCGAAUGGUUCUUGCGGGGACUUCGGCCAUGGAUAUAUCGGGCAGUGCAAUUGUUCCAGCUCACGACUUUCGCCGAGGUUUUCAAUAAGGCGCUGUGGGCAGAGCAUGGUGAUGCCCACGUGCGAGAGGAGCGCGAGGCGUCCGAGAAGGACAGGGGAAGAAACGACCUGACGGUAGCUCUGGGGGACAGUCAAGUUCCAAAACGCCCCCGAAGUACCUGAGAAGGCAGUCCGAGAGCCAGGGACCCUUGCGAUGUGUAAUCUGCGGUGGGGAGCAUCGCGCAGGGAAUUGUGAGCAUAAGGCGGGACGGUGCUUCAGGUGUGGUCGGGCGGGGCAUAUUAGCCGUCAGUGCCCAAAGGGAUUGUCACCUGCCCCGACUGCAGCAUCCGCCCCGGCGGCUCCGAGGCAGUUUGGUGGAGUUCCGCCUGCUGCCAUAUCCACGGGACGUGCAAUGGCGCCGCAUCAGCUUGAGGUGACCCGGUCGGCUACGAGUAGUCGAGUGUUUGCCGCUAAAGUGGAGCGACCUGCUGGGGUCGAGGAGCGUUACAUCGUGCCAGGUAUGAGUUAAUUAAAGCAAUCAUAUGCUUCUGCAUGAUGUAGACUUAAGAAAUUGCAUGCAUUUACGUUGUGGCCGUUUGCUACUAUUUGUGCAUUGGUAUAGUAGGGACCAAGUGAACGGGUUGGUGUAGAUACCCGAGCAUGCUUAUGUGGUGAGAGUGUAGCGCCUGCUGGAGCAGGUAGAUAGCUAGAUAGCACUAGCAAAAUGCUGGUGAUGAUUGUUGGACGAAAAGUAAGACUCGUGGUAGAGCGAUCGAUUAGUGGCCAAGUAUUGGCACGUGGGCCUAGUAGUGCCUCGAAUUGAGGUGGGCGAAUCAUGCCAGUGUGGCCGGUGUGCAUAGGCAGGGUUGCGUAAUCCUGGACUUAGAGUACGGCGUAUAGAGCGCUCGAGUGUAGAUACUAGUAGAGUGUGGAUUGGAUUCAGCCGAGAGAGUGUGAUGGGAGUAGCACUUCAGCAUUGCUAAGUGUGAAGCGAGCCAUGAAACUCAUAAGGCUGGCGGCUCGCACUAGGUGUUUAGGAGCCCAUAGUGGUACUUAUAGCUCGAUAGAGUAUGUCGUGUAGGACGACGACGGUGGGUAUCGCUUGGGGACGAUCCGUGCCUAGACCAUUUGUGGACUGUGGAGCCUGGGCCCUUUGGGCAGGCGCAGUUAGCUGUGAGUGACAGCGGGUCGGUGCCUACGGGUAGGGCAGGGUUUUGGUCAGAACGGUAGUCCGAGCUUAGACCCGGGAGCGUGGAAUGCCACGUAUUGGAUCGUGAGAUCGAUGAGAUACCGAGAGUUUGAUUAUGACCCAACUCGAGGACUUGACGUGGUUUGGAGUCAUGGUUGCUCCUGUUCGGAGUGCGUGCGAAUUUUCUAAUGAGAAUUUCGCCCAAUGAUGAUUGGGUCUACGAUCCGAGCGAGAGACGCUAUGCGUAGUUGCGAUAGGUUUAGCCGCUAGGCCUACGUAGUAUUUGUGACCGUUGGUCCCCUGUGGGAGCUGACGUAAUUGGUUCAGCCGAUGACUCUGUGGAUGAGUUGGAGUAAGGAAGUGAAUUCUCGAAAUACGAGAAUUGGACUUCGCUCAAGAUCGACUAAUUGUCGAUUGAGAGUGCUUCGUAAAAGCCGAAGAAGUCAAAUGCACCAAAAGUGCAUUGCAAUGGAGUCCGCGAGAGCAUGGUGCAAGAAUCUAUACUUGGCAGAUUUGCUCUCGGGGACCGGUCCCUGGCGGGAGGGACCGGUUCCCGAACGUUGUCUGCGCAAGCUUGCUCUCGGGGACCGGUCCCAAGAAGGAGGACCGGUUGCCCCGAGGUUGAGGGUUGCGCAGCGCGGGGCAACCGGUCCCCUGGCAGGAAAGACCGGUCCCCGAGCGUGAAACUUGCCCAGGCAGGCUGGGUUAUGUUGGAGGAGUUGGAGAACUUGAAGAUAGCGCUCUUUCGUGGAUUGAGGUUCGAGAGAUGUGCCGCGGUAGGCCAUCUCAUAGUAGAGCAAUCUGAGGUUAGAAGUGGCAAUUGAGAGGUAAGGGAAAGUGGUCUCUUGGAGACACUUGAAUACCGGAUAGCCACAUGGAAUUGUGGACAAUGCUCUCUUGAGGAUUGGAAGUCGAGAUAUGCCGGGGUAGGCCAUCUCGUGGUAGAGCAAGGUCCGAAUGUGGUUAGAACACUCGCGAUUGGGUGAUGCACCAAUGAUAUUGCUUUUGAGCAAUGUUGGUGAUCGAAUCGGAAUGCCCCGAGGAGGAAAGUGAAUGCAAAGAAGAGUUCUUGCAUGCCGAAUGGUGAAUGGUGUUGGAGCACGUAGAGUCGUUGAGCUUCGACUUGCGCUACCACCAAGAAUGGCGGAGACUCGUAAUGCACUUUCGGAGCUACGCUUAGCAAGAGUGAGUGAAUCUAGUCUCACAUCCCCCGUGGUAGACCUUUGGAUGAUUCCAAUGAGUGAAAGGCCACCCCGGAGUAUAAAAGUGCAUUAGAACCCUAUGUCGCUCGAUACGUCGAGUUGAGGUGUGAAUUGGGUUUGAAGUGAGUUAGUUUCGAGGACGAAACUCCUUUUAAGGAGGGGAGGAUGUAAGGUACCGGACUUCUAAAAUUAUGAAGCUACGGUGUAAAUUUGAUUGGAGAGCCAUUUGAAGGGUUCCGGUGAAGUUCGGUGAAGUUUGGAAGCAUCCGGGCGAUUCGGUGCGCGUAGGCGCGAAAACGGGACCCGAAAGACUAUGUCGGACCAUGAACUAAAUUCGGCAUUAGCGGGGAUGAAAAGAUGAUGAAAAUACGCUCGAAAACAUGUUUGGAGAGUCUUGGUUCGAUUUGAAAAGAAUCGGAGGUCAAACGAGCAAAAACGAGCGAAAACGGACCCCAAAAACGAAAAAGGCUGAAAUUUGGCUAAGUCCUAAAAAUGCUGAAAUUCUGGUCCUUCGGGGACCAGUCUCUCACUGCCUGGGACCGGUCCCAAAGUGCGAAAACCACCCAGUUUGGGUUGUUGCAAGGUUGGAGAAGUAAAGGGGCUUAUUUGGAAAUGUUACAAUAUGAGAGGGGGUUAAGAGAGCAUUUUCUCUCUCUCUUUCUCUCAUUUCCCUCACUCCCUCACAUUUCUCUCUCCCUCUCUCUCUCUCUAAAUGAAAAGGAAGAAGAGAAGAAGAAGAGGAAGGGGAAGGAGACAAAGAAGAAUAAGAAGGAGAAGAAGAUCAAGGAGAUCAACUUCUCCAUCUUCUUCAUGAGCUUGGAGUAAGCUUUGGAGAGGUAAGCUUAAGCUCUUUAAUGGUGAUUUCUUAGGGUUGGGUUUUCAUACUCUAAGAAUGGUUUAGAUGGAAUCCUAGCAAGUGUAGUUGAUGUUUAAUACUUGAAUCCAAAGCUUUGAUGGUGGAUUUUCCCUAGUUGCAAUAUAAGGCUCCAAAUGAGGACUUUAAUGGUAGAUCUCUAAAGAGAGGUCUAAAUGCCUUGGAAAUGGUUUGAUUGGAACCCCAGCAUGCUUAGAAGAUGCUUAAUGCUAGGAUUUAGAGAUUUGUUGGAGUUAAUUGCAUGAAUGCAAACCUAGGGUUAAAAUGGGAUUUUUGUAAAUAUAGGGGUUUGAUCUCAUUUGACCCUCUGUAAACCUAAUUGCUAGGUAUACCGACGCGUUGGCGAAGUCGGUUCGUCGAUUCAUCGAGCGGGUGCAAAAAUAUCGAAGAAAAGGCUUGUUGAGGUACAGAUUGCCACAGCUCACGGCGAAAGCUUCCUAAAAUCGCGAAAUCAGAAUCGUGGGCUCGUGGCAUCACCUAAAGGUGGGGGGUGUCUAUCCGAAGAAAUCGGGCUUCCUUCUAUGUCCGAGUUAGAUCUUUGGUCAUAUUGCACAUAUGUUUCUUAUGCAUUAUAGGAUGUAUGUAUUAUUAUAUUUCUACUUUCCUUGAAUGCAUGUCUAGUAUUGUAGUAUUAUGGACUUGACACCUAAAUCUAGAAUGCAUGAGGACUAAGGUUUAGACAUGAGAUCCUAUAAUGAAAAGAAAAUAAAGAACUUGGACUUGAUAAUGAAACUAGUGACAUGUGAACUAGUGUAAUGGAGAUUGUAUGCAUGUAGCAUUAUGAAUGGAUUGCAUGCUAGUUGAUAAUGGCAUAUUAGCAUUAUGAAGAUGUAUACUAGAUGUAUGAUGCAUGUUGGCUUUAUAGAACAUAUAUGCUAGAUGAAAAUGAAUGCUAACCUAUUGUUAAUUAUGGAGAUUAUGAGGCAUGUGGCAUCUAAACCUAGUCUCGUGAACCUAGGAUAGAUUGAGUGGCAUUAACAUAAUGUUGUUAAACAUAGGUUGACAUUAAACCUAGUGUUGUGGAACCUAGAGUUGAUUAGACCUAGGUAAGUGGCAUCGAGAUUUAGUGUGGUUGAGACACUUGACAUGGACCUAGGGAUAGGUUGAUUAUCAAGUGAUGGUUAACCUAGUUGACAGGGUAUCUUCAAUUGGCGAGGAUUGGAUCAUACUCACAUAGUCUGUUUUGGGCUUGUGGCGGUCGCUCCCCACAAGCAGUGCACUCCGGAGUUGUCACACGAGCAGGGUAGCUCACGAGCGGGGUAGCUCAUCGGGUGGGAUACGAGUGGGGUAGCUCCUGUAACGCCCCGGGACCGGCGGAGGCCCUCCCGGUAGCGUGCCCAGACCCGCCGUAUGUCUACACAUAUAAGGCGUCUACCAUAAAGUGGAAGUAAAUGCAAGUAAUAGAACAAAUAGAAGAAGUGAAUAACUAGCAACUAAUGAUAUCAGAGCGAGUACAGUUCUAACAUCUACACCAAAGUAAAGAAGUAAAGUUAGACAAUAAAAGGAGUCAUAAGUAGUACAAGAUCUGUCUCAAAAGUACAAAAGUGGUAGUCUCUAGUACACUGGUAAAACUCUCAACCUCUCGCAAAAAGAAAUAUAAAUCGAGAGGUAGACCACCUAGCAACUCGUCCUCGAAGGAAGCUAGCUCGAAGCAACUCCCUUCCCGCGAUCCCUGGCCUCACCCUGCGUGGAAGGCUCUGAAAAACAUCGAGAAAAAGAGGGCGUGAGAACUGUAAUUUAUAGUUCCCAGUGGGCAAUUACUGACCUCAGCUCAAUGCACCACUAGGCCCCCAAAAAAAAAAGGGUAAGUACAAUAAUAAUAGCAAUAAUAACUGCGAUAUGAAAGCAUAAUUAAAAGGCUAAAUUAUUAAACUCGAGUAUACACGAUGUCAUGGUGAUAUACAUCUACGAUAUCAAAAUAAUAUGACAUUAAUCUUGAAGAAUACAUUAUGCAUAAGUUCUGUCAUGGCAACCAAGUAUGCUUUAAUGCAAAAGGAGACUAUCAAGUAUACUACAUGUCUCAACACUAUGCUAAAAGCAUAUAAAUGUCAUUCAACUACUAAACCUAUCUAGUAGUGAUUAACCAUUCUCAACACCGUGUCGAUUUCCAUUUCCAAUUAAGGACCUACCAAAGGUAGUCCAUUUGUGCCGCCUAAGUGCCUGUCGUAGCCCAACAUCCCUACUCUUGGAAUGUGUCUGUCCCACUCGACCCCGUAGGCUUCUCAAUACCGCACGAGCGAACAUAAGUCGCGUAGGCUAACUCCGGAGUGCCGGCUUGUAGGGAGCGACCCUCACAAGCAUGUGCGAAUGAGCACAAAUGGCAAGCAAGCAUAGUCCAAGUCUCAAAUAUCCAAUCCUCAUGUCUCUAACAUGGUAUGGUCACUAGCAUCCCGAAGAUCUGGUUUAAGUCACAAUGUGAAGUUUCAACAUUUGCUACGCCUAGUGCCCCUUGAUGACACUUAGGCAAUUUGAUGUUCAACAUGUAUUCCAAAUCCCUCAAUGGCCCUAUCCGCUAGGUUCUCACAUGUCCCGAGGUCAAUGCCGCUUGAUGACAUUAGCUCUCUAGUUCACAUACUUUCUAAAUGGCAAUUUUAUCAACUUUCACGUCACAAGUAAACUUAAGUUUAAAUACAUGAAUCCGAACUCAUUUACACUAUAGAAGCAUGAAACCAAGUCUCAUAAAGAAUGCUAAAUGCAACCAUAGAUCUCCCAAGCAACUCUCUACUACAUAGAGGUCCAAAAUUUCAUCAUAUGUAACAUAUGCAUUUUAAGCAUUCUAAAAUUCACAAUAAAUACGUAUAACAAGAAUAUGCAUGCUUUUUCAUUUAACGAUACUUAAUUAAGCACAAAUGAGAAUUCCUCAUUGUGUGGCUAGGUCAAACCCACCGAACUGUCGCGUAGCGCCUCGUUUCGCCGAACAAAGUUGUCUCCGGGUCUCAAAAUACCCUAAAAGUAUUGAGCGACAAGAUACACGGGCAUUACGAUCAACUAUAAGCUCAAACAUUAACCUAGAAGCAAAAAGGGCCAAAACUCGCCUCAAGAGUAGAAAAUCUCUCUCAAGCUCCAAAAGAGAGCUAAAUCCCUUCCAAUCCAAGUCCAAGGAAGGUUCUAAACCAACUAAUUUAGGUCCAAAAGCCCUAGAUCAAAAAUGCCCAAAUAUGAGCCCUAAAACCUCAUCUAGGGUUUCAUCUCAAAGAAACCUCCAAAAUUCAAAUCUAGAGGAAAAGAUCUAGUCACUUACCUCUAGGAAGCUUCAAACCAAGCUCAAAGUGCUCAAACUUCAAGGAUCAACCCUCAACCAAGCAUAAACCCAAGCUCCAAUGGUGGGAAAAGCCUCCAAUCAAGCAAAAAAAAGCAAAAAAGAGGUUUAAUCUCUUAAAAUCCUACCAAAAUCCAAAUAGAUCAAAAGAAAAUCAAAGAGGGCUCCCUUACCUCUCCUCUUGCUGGUCCCAAGCUCAGGAGAAGACCUCUAGGGCGUGGGGGGUACUAAUAAGAAGUUCACAAUCGCAAAAAGCCCCCUGCAGUUCAAAACGCACGAAAUCAGCCCCCUUGUACCGGUACACGGGCUCUUGUACCGGUACAAGGUCCACGAAAUCCAAACCCGAGUCUCGGGUUGCUAGGCUCUGCGGCUCUGUACCGGUACAAGCUCCGAUGGCUGUACCGGUACAACCAUCAACCUUGUACCGGUACAAGCACAGCCUUGUACCGGUACAAGCCUGCCAGAACUCAAUCCGAGAGUCAGCCAAAUCCCCUUUUUUCGGGUUUUGGUGCAAGGCUUUGUACCGCAAAUCUCGGGACACGUGCCAUAGGUCGGAACACAGUCAACGACCCACCAGAAAAUCUGGAAAAGCUCAGAACACGGCCAAUCACUCGAACCUCGCAAUUUGCAAAGGUCCAGUGUGCUACAGCUCCCCACCCAUUGGACUGGGAAGUGAGUCGGGAGAAGGGCGGGGUAGCUCUUCUCCUGUGAGAUUUGAGCGGGGUAGCACUUUACCUCUGAGCGGGGUAGCUCUUUACCUACGAGCGGGGUAGCUCUUGACCUAUGAGUUUGAGUUAGAGUCGGGGCGAAGAGCGGGGUAGCUCUUGCCCUUAGGCAUUUGAGUCAUGAGUUGGGCGAGGAGCGGGGUAGCUCUUCACCUAUAAGACUUGAGAUCUGAGUCGGGUAAGAGCGGGGUAGCUCUUUACCUAUAGUGUUAGAGUUGUGGGACGGGUGAAACAAGGGCGGGGUAGUCCUUCACCUAUGUGAUUUGAGACAAGGGCGGGGUAGCCUAGUAGAUUGGGUAAAGACAUGAAUUGCAUAAGUGGAUCCGCAUUCAUACCAUGAUUAGACAUAGUACACUGCAUAACUAUGUUGUAGUUGUAUAUAUUUCAUUGUUAAAGCAUACUAGCAGGAUAAAUGAUGUUGCAUGCAUUCCUUGCAUUUGGUGGCAUAGUAGAUAUAGUAGCAGUUUAUUUCUUAUAUCUCUCUAUCUAUCUAUCUGUCACGCCCGGGACGAUGCCAAUUUGGCCGACCGAGCACGUCAAACAGACGCCGAACAGACAGAGUUUCCUAUCCGCCAAGGCUCAUCACAUGUUACAUUUUCAUCAAUAGAGAAAAGCACUAGCGGAACAUACACAAAACGGCUUACACGAGGGUAAGCAAUAGCCAUUAGUGAAAGAAAAAGGAACGAAACAUUCACAGUAAUAUGAUUCAUUUUAGAUCAUAUACAUUGUAUCUAUCCAACUUGAACAUCCAAAAUCUUUCAUUCUUUCAUCAUUUCUUUACUACAUUUACCUCAAAAUGAACAUUACAUUCUUUUCUUUACUUUGCUUAUACAUCAACAUCUUAAAUCAUCAAAUACAAAAGAUGAUAAAAGGGAAACUACUAACAAAAUGUAACCCAACUCCGGUGGCCUCUGAUACGGUGCAUACCUUUACCGCGGUCGCUCGCGGCUCGCUCGGUCCCGGCUCUGUGGAAAUAGUGGGUGAGAACUACAACAAAGUUCCCAGUGGGUUCGGCCUCAACAUCACCGACUUUCCCACUAGGACUAACUCAGGCAUAAUAGAAGAAAAUAGGCUGUAAAUAGUAACCAAACUAUACUUAAUGCUAAUAUGCCUGAACAAUUAGCAGGAAUAUUGCUCAACAUUAACAAAUGCAGGUUAUGCAUGUUCUUUAGUUCUUUGCACUUUACACUUUGUUCUUUCUCUUUGUUCUUUAUUCUUUACUCUUAAUCAUUAAGGCUAACCCGGCGUUCGCCACAUUAACUUGCUUCACAUUAAGUCCAUCAUCGCAGGAACUCACCAGCUAGGACCGUCCUUACGGGUUUACUCCAACCCGGAUGCAUAACUCCGGAGCGCAUCGCCCGAGGGGGAGCGACCACCCUCGAGCACGGAACUCAUAGCAAGUAUGAUCAUAUCCUUAACUCAAAGGAUUAUAAGUUCAAUCUUGACUUUACACUAGCUCUAGUGUUCUUUACAUCACUUUAUGUUGCAAGCUCAUGCAAUCACAUUCUUUACAUUUUCAUUACUCUUGCUAACUCUAGCAUUCUUGUUCUUAUUGCCCACUUUACUUUAACUUUACACUUGGUCACUUUCUUCAUUCUUUACAUCACUUUAGUUCUUUACAUUACACUAACUCUAGUGUCAUUUCACAUUAGCUUCAUCGAAUGCCACUCGAUCUAUGUCAUUGUGUCACUCUGUUCUUUUGCUCACUUUGGGUGCUCACAUUUUUUCUCAUGCAUACAUCUAGGGUUUUGACAUUAUUAGGUUCUCAACCAUCUCAUUAUGCAAGUUGUGUUCACAAUCAUGCAAUCAUCACAUUUCAUCAUUACUUUACCCUAAUAUGCAUGCAACAAUAUAAAUUCAUAUGCUCAAGGAAUGACACAUUAGGCAUAGAGAGAAUUUCAAUGAGUUUGAGAAGCACCACCCACCUUGUAGGUCACUUUAGGUGCUUCGACGAUUUUCUUGGGAUUUUUAAUCGCCCGGUUCACUACCUGCGGCAAAACGAACCCCUAUUAGGCCAUUUUGCCCAUAACUUUUCAUCGGCUUUUCGUAACGUUAAUCCGAGCGCACCAACGCGUCAGAAAUACCCCCAAUUAGGUUUUUAGAGGGUCAUUUGCACUUAGAAACCCUCAUGAGCAAAAGCCCCAAUUUGGUGCCCUAGCUCCAAUGCAUAUACAAAACCUAGGGUUUGAUCUCAUUGGGAAGCAAAAGUAGCUUCAUUAUACUCUAAAUAGUCCAUUAGAACCAUUCUUAGCCUUUCCAAAACCCUAGUUUGGAUUUCACCAUUAGAGGUGGUCCAAGCUCACCUCUAAAGCAAACCUAGGUUUUGAUCUCUAAAGAAGCAAAGAGAAAGCUUCAAAAACUCUAAACAAUCCAUUAAAACCAUUUCUAGGUUCAUUCAAGCCCAUUUCUAGGAUUUUAGCAUGAUUAGGGUUGAAGCUUACCUCAAAGCUUUCCCUAACUUGCACUAGAGAGGAAGAAGAUGAAGCCUCUUUGCUCCAAAAGCUUCUUCUUCACCUUCUUCUCCUUCUUUUCCUUCCUUUCUUUCCUUCUUCUUCUUCUCCUUUGCCUUCUAGAGAGAGAGAGGGAGAGAAGAGAGUGUUUGAGAGGGUGGGAAUGAGAGAAAAUCUCAUUAACCCUCAAUACAUAGCUAUUGGGUUGCAAAAUUGCAGCUAAACCCCUCAACUUUCACUUUAAUACACUGCCCGAACUGGGCAUUCCGCGCAGGCAGAGACCGGUCUCCCCGAGCAGGGACCGGUUCCCGAACGUUGUCCCAGCGCAGCCAGAGCUGCUGCGCGCAGUGCAACCGGUCUCUCCUUAUGGGACCGGUCUCUGGGGGACCGAUCUCUCAGGCAGAGACCGGUUCCCGAGAGCUGAUCUUCCAGGACUUAGCCGAUUUUUCGGCUGUCUCAUUUCAUACGCGUUCGGGGACCGGUCUCUCCCCUCAGGGACCGGUCCCCGAGAGCUGAAAAUCUGCAGCUUUGCAGAAUUCAAUUCUUUAGCUCUCGAAAACCUUCCACAACUCACUUUUAAUCAUUUUAACACCUUCGGACUUUCCGAGGUGUUCCAUCCUCGCACUUUGGUCAAUGUGACUAAAGUUCGACAUUUUAUUUUCCGAAUUUUCGGUAUAUUACACUAUCUGUGCCGCUUAGACCUAGUGGGAAGAUCGGCGGAGUCGGCGGCCGAACCCACUGGGAACUAUAUUUUUAUAGUUCUCACCCUGUGUGGUUUUGGGGUACAGGUACACACGUGAGCGGAUCGGUAGGUGAUCGCGGUAAGGGCGUAGCGCCCUAGCUAGCUAAUAGAGCUUUCCUAUUGUACUAGAGCACCCUCGUGUGCAUGGUUAUAGAUGACAUGAUGUAUUUUAGAUAGCUAGCAUUAUAUAUAUGUGAGAUGAUUAUGUAUUCAUUUUGGAAGCUUAAAUGUAAUCAAGUUGUAUUAAAGGUUGAAUGGAUGUAAAUGUUGAAUGUCAAAUGUGAUGUAAUAGAUAGUUAUAUCUCUCUUUUAUUCACUUGUUUAUACUUGUGAUGCUUGCUCUUGUAAUGUUCGGCAUUGGUUGUGCCCUCGCUAUUGUUUUGAUCAUGUAUGUAUUCAAGUUGAUUUCCUGGGAACUUGUUGUACAUGAUCCUGUUGUUUAGCCUUGGGCGCACAGGGGAGGUGCUGUCCGUCCGGCGUUUGUUCGACAUGCCCGAACCGGACCAAAUUGGUAUCGGUCUCGGAGUGUGACAGGUACAGCCACCGGGCUUGUACCGGUACAGGGCCGCAGAACCCCACAACCCGAGCCUCGGGUUUGGCUUUUCGUCAGUCUUGUACCGGUACAAGGACCCGUGUACCGGUAUAAGGCGGCAGAUUUCGUGCAGUCCGAACAGCAGGGGGUUUUUCGCGUUUGUGCCUAAUCUAUUUAGCACCCACGCCCCUUAGGGCUUCUUUUGUGCUGGAACCUGAGGAGGAGAAGGUGAGAGGAGCUCUACCUUGCUCCAUUUGGUUUUGAUCUCCGUUUUAGAUGGAUUUUGGUGGAUUAAUCAUUUUCUUUUCUCUUUUUAUGCUUUUCCCACCAUUGAUGAAGCUAGAAGCUUGGAUUUGAGGCUUGGUAGAGGUGAGAUCUUUGGACUUAGAAGGUUUAGAGCUUGGAUUGGAGCAUUUUAGAGGUAAAUGACUUGUUCUUUCCUCUAAAUUCCUAGCUUUGAUGAUUUUUUUUGGAAUUAAACUCUAGAAUGAGGUUUUAGGGCUUAUUUUGGGCAUUUUGAAUCUAGGGCUUUUGGAGCUAGAUUGAGUGGAUUAGAGGCUUCCAUUAGGUUGGAUUGGAAGGGCCCUAGCUCUCUUUUGGAGCUUUAGACGAGAUUUUUGCACUGGAGGUGAGUUUUCCUCACCUAUGAUUGUAUAGCUUAAUGAUUGAGCUUAGCGUUGUUCGUAUGGUUCUUGUGACACUUAUUCUUAUACCUUUAGGGUGCUAGGAGUGUGGAGGACACCCUCGUUGGAGCAAACGAAGAGUUUCGUUGUCAUCGGUGGGUUUGACUUCAUGAAAAUAGGGCAAAAUGGCCCCUAUACUUUCUAAACUUUUCGUAAAGUAUUUUUGAAUGCAAAUUCAUGCUAAACAUGAUUUAUGUGAAUUUUAGAACGCUUAAAAUGCAUGCCUCAUGUAUCAUAAAAUUUGCACUCUAUAUAGCAGAGCUAUAUGUGUAGAUUGCAUGCAUUGUGAAUGGUGUUUGGUUUUGCAAGUUGAGAACAUGUCUCUAUGUUAGAAUUGAGUGGAAUUAUGCAUCAUGAACAUAUUGAUACCAUGUUUGGACUCGUUGAAUAAAAGUGUCAUAAAGGGGCACUAGAAUUAGUAAACUAUGAAAUUGCAACAUAGAGACAUAUUGAUAGGCCAAUACAUAUCUGCUCUAUUCCAUGUUAGAGACAUGACGACAUAGAGAUAGGCCAUGGGGACAUUCGAUGUAUUCCAGGUUUUAGACAUAAUGACUUGAGAGAGACGGAUCAUUGCUUGCUUGCCAUUUGUGCUCAUUCGCACAUGCUUGUGAGGGUCGCUCCCUACAAGCCGGCACUUCGGAGAUAGACAUCGCGACAUAUGCUUGCCCGUGCCGGAUUCGGCGCCGAAGUGGAUUGCCAUGGGGGAGGCUCAUCCCUAGAGUGGGGAUGUUGACUACCACGGGGCCAUUAGGCACGGCGCAAGCCAGACAGCCUUCGGGUGGGUCUUAUAUGAUUGGGACUUAGUGACAGAACAUACUAUGUGAACUUGAAAACUAUUAAAGUGGACUUGGACUAGAAUAGUAAACAAUGACAUCUUUACUAUUUUUGCGUUGAGGACAUCGGAUUAGUUGCAUUCUAUGCUUAUGCAUGUCAUACACAUCCAUGUACAUUCAUGAUAUCGUUGCUUAUUACUUAUGCAAACCUGCUAAGUAGAGACCUUAUGUUAUAGUAAAUUACAUUGUAUUUACCUUUCGCUUUACUACAUUGUUAGUCACUGACCACUUUCCUUGUAGCUUUGGGCCUUGUGGUGCAUUCACUGAAGUCAGUAAUUGCCCACUGGGAACUAUUUUUAAUAGUUCUCACGCCCCUGUUUUCUGGUUUCCUUUCAGAGCCUUCUGCACCGGCGGAGGCACGGGAUCGCGUAGCUAGCUAGCGAGGAGCGGUUCUUUGCCUAGGUGGUUUACUCUUUCUUUUUGUAGAUGAGAGAGAGUGAGAGAUUUUGUAUUCAUGUAUAGAGACCACCUAUGUAUCUACUUUUAGCACUUGUAUUUGGGAUUUUCUUUGUACUACUUUAUGCGUUUAUUAGUGGAUUUCAGCUGUACUCUUCUUACCUUGAUGUAGAAUUUAGACUUUAAUCAUGCUCUGAUACUCUUAGAUGUCUAUUAUUAUUGCUUUUAUUAUCGCUGUUUUUAGACGCCUUAUAUGUUUUAGACGUAUGGCGGAUUUGGGCACGUGCCGGGCAGGCUUCCGCUGAGUCCCGGGGUGUGACACUCCGGAGCUCAUCGCUCGAGGGGGUGCGACCACCCUCAAGCCAAGAUUUUUAGGUGAGUAUGAUUCAAUCCUUAACUUUAAGGAUGUCAAGUUCAAUCCAUUCCUUAACUAUAAGGAUGCUGUGUCACAUAUGCCAUUUUCUAGCAUUCUAUAACUUUCAUUAGUACCACACACUAAAUGUUCUUUAUUCUCAUUCUCAUGCAUUCUUGACUGGUCAAUGCCACACACACUAUGUGUUUAUCUCUUGAAUUCAAUACUCUUUGAUGCCACACUUGUACACUAGCAUUCAAAAUUCAUUGAUGCCACUCUACUAUCGAUGUCAUAAUGUCAUUUGUUUUCUAUGUCAUCUAAAUCUUUGUCUCCAUUCAUGCAUAUAUAGGGUUUUAUAUGUUCUCAAGAAUUCACAAUAUUUUAUAUGCAUCUUAUACUCAAAGCAUGCAAUCAUAUAUACCCACUCACCCUACAAUGCAUGAUGCUCAAUAUACACAUAUGGUCAAGAAAUGACAUUUUAGAUAUAAAAGAAAAUUCGAGGAUUUCGAAAAGCACCACCUACCUCGUAUGGUUGUAAAGGUGCUACGGUUCAAGUUUCGUGAUUUUUGGGCGCCUAUUCUCUCGCCUGCGGCAAAACGAAGCCAAAUUAGGCUUUUUCUCAAUAACUUUCCGUAGAUUCGUCGGAUCGGCGAACCGAGUCUACCAACGAGUUAGAAAUACCCCCAAUUUAGUUUCUACAAGGUCAAUUUACUUUCAAACCAACCUAGGGCAAAAUCCCCAAUUUUGGUGCCCUAACAAUGCUAUAUAGCAUCAUACACCACUUUGAUCUCUAAGAUAAGCAAAAAUAAGCUUAACAUCCCCUAGAAACUCAUCUAGAUCCAUUUAAAACUAUUUCUAGGGCAUUUGAACCAAACCCUAGGCAUCUACCAUGAGAGCUCAUGAGCAUACAUGGAUUUUCAUGAGUUUCUAUGGUCUUUACUAGGUUUCCCAUUAUGUAAGAAAAGCACUCUAAGCCCAAAAGCACUCUAAGCUCUACCUUGUAGGAGAGCCCUAGACCCUUCAAAACACCAAAUCUCCUUCAAAUCCACCUUCAAAUCUCCUCUUGAUCCAUCUCUAAGAGAGUUCCUAGAGAGUGAGAGGGAGAAAAAUGAGAGAGGAAGGUGUGUUAACUGCUGUGAAUGAGAAGGGAGGAGGAGGGAUACUUUUAUAAGCUGCUACAAUAGCAAAUAGACCCUCCAACUCUUUCUUAUUUGCAGCAGACCAACCUGCUGUUUCGCAGCACUGCAUACCGGUACUUGGGGGGCGUCACCGGUACGCCCCUGUUCAACUGCCCAAACCCGAGAGCUGCUAUUUCUCGAGUUGGCGCAGGGUACCGGUACUACCUAAUUUAGUCACCGGUUAAUAGCUUAACAGAGGCCAAACCCAAGAGCUGCUGCUCUCGGUUUGCAGCCCGUUACCGGUACUGUCCUGGUGCUUCACUAGUUAACAAUGCUCCAAACUUGAGUUUGGCAGAGCUUCGGCUUCAUUUCGCGCCGAGCAAUGCUAAAAAACCAUUCAAACUAACUUGAAACUCAACUCCAACCCUUCCAGCAUUGUUGGAAUGUCAACUGGACUUUGUCCAACUAUAUCUCUCGCACACUUUGGUCAAUUUGAUUAAAGUUCGAUAUAGUCUACCGGAGUUUCGGUAUAUUACAUUCUCCACCCCUUAAAAUUAGUUUCGUCCGCGAAACUAAAUACUAUCUUAGCUCGUCGACUCAAAUAAGUGAGGAUACAUCUUUCGCAUAGUCUCCUCGAGCUCCUAAGUGGCUUCACGCACCGCAUGGUUGCUCCACUGGACCUCUUUACAUAUGGAAUUGUGCGACUGCGUAACUUCCUUUCCUCUCGAUCGAGAAUACAAACCGUAUAUUCCUCAUAAGUCAUAUCCUUACUCAAUUCUACCAGGUUCGUACUCCAACACAUGCGUCGAAUUUCGGAUAUACUUGCGGAGAUUUUGACACAUGAAACACAUUGUGAACUCCCGCAAGCCUCGGUGGUAAUGCAAGCUUGUAUCCGACCGCGCCAACGUGCUCUAAUAUCUCGAACAGUCCAACAUACCGGGGACUUAGCUUCCCACGGUGUAAGGUACCGGACUUCUAAAACUAUGAAGUUACGGUGUACAUUUAAAUGGCUCCGGUGAGGUUGCGACGGAAUGUAACAUACCGAAUUUUAAAUAUAAAAGUGAAAAUAAAUAAAAAUAGUAUGAGAUACUAUUUUUAUUGGAUUUAGAGAAGUGAAAUAUAAGUUGGGAAUGACCUGUGCUGAAAUCGGAGCGACAACAGAAGAUUUAGAAUUUUCUGUAAGAAACGGGGCAGAUAAAUUAGCAGAAAAUGCACAGUGUCAGAAAAUUAUGAAAAUUAGCGGAGAUAUCAGAAAUAUUUUUAUGAUACUGGAUUUAAAGUUCCAUGCCAUUCUGACACCCGGAAGGUGAAAAAUAGAAUCCGAAAGCUAUCUGAUAAAGAUUGCAGUUCGGUACAGUUUUCAGUGACCAAACGGGGUCGAAACUCAAAUAUUAAAAUUUCUUUGGACUCGUUAAGUGAGACCGAACAUGACUGUCAAAUUUGAGCUCAAACGGAUGUUCAGGGAGUUCCGGCGAAAGAUAUCAGAUUUCGAACUGCCUGGAGUGAAUAGUAUUUUGGGGGAGUUUACUUGGAGGUGAAGUUUCCUCCUAUAUAUAUAUAUAAGGGUGUUAUGUCAUUUCCCUCAUUCCUCUCUAUUUGAGCCAACAUAAGAGAAAUCUCUCUCUCUCUCUCUCUCUCUCUCUAGGAUUGGCUCCAAAGUGUGGAGUUGGUAGAGAAAAGCUUACUUAAAGGUGAAGCUUUCCUUUUCUUCACCAUUGGCUUGAAGAGAGCUUGAGUUUGAGAGGUAUGCUUUGUUAGCAAUAAUGGUAGAUUGCUAAGUAAUGAUUUGUAUGUCUUAGAAAUGGGUUUAGUGAAACUCCUAGAUGCUAAAUAGAUGGUUGAUGCUCGAAUUUUGAGAUUAAAUGAUGAAUUCUUGCAUAGUUGCAUCUUAGGGCAUCAAAAGAGCGGUUUUUGCUUGUGAGGGGUUUUGAUCUAAAUUGAUCAUGUAUAAACCUAAUUGCUAGGUAAACGAACGCGUUGGGGAAGUCGGUUCUGCGAUUCGUCGAGCCUACGCGAAGUUAUUAAAGAAACGGACGUUUAGGUUUCGUUUCUGCAUAGAGGGCCGAGGCGACGUCGUAAAAUCAUGGAAAUGGAUUUGAAGCAUCGUGGCACAUAACCGAAGACCUAUAAUUUUCAGGGCUGCGAAGCGGAGCACGGUUGAGGCGCAGUUGCAGUAUCGGGCCGUGCCGGAUACGGGUGCCACGGGAGGCCGAUUGCAAGUGUCGACAAUCAAUCGGAACGCGAAUUAAGGUGGGUUGUGCUUACCGAAGCGAUUAGGUCGCCCUUUAUGUCUAAGAAACUAAGAAUCCAUGUUGAUGCAUAUAAAUGUAAAUGAAGCAUGUAAAUGAUGCAUGUAGCUAAAUAAUGCAUGUUGAUAGUAUGAUGUAAAUGCUAAAUAGAAUGCAUUAUGAGCAAGUUACAUAAUGCUAAAUAAUGUAAUGUAGAAAUGCUAGAAUGCAUUAUGAGCAAGUUACAUAAUGCUAAAUAAUGUAAUGUAGAAAUGCUAGAAUGCAUAAUGAGCAAGUUAUAUGAUGCAUGUUUAUAGUAUGAUGUAAAUGCUAAGUAGAUGCAUAUAAAUGAUAUAUGAGAUUAUAAACGCAUGAUUAGCAUUAUGAGAUCAUAGAUGCAUGCUUAGCAUUGUGAGAUUAUAUAUGCAUAUGAACUUGGUUGAUAACUCUAGCUUGAUUAGAGAGAUAACAUUGGAAAAUGAGAAUUGAUAACUCUAGAAUGAGUAGAAUGCUUAAUUGGACAAUUAGUAUGUGAAUUAGAUCGAGUGGCAUCUAACUUAGUGUUAAGGAACAUAGGUCGUGAGUAGACCUAGAAUCAAAUAGAUCGAGUGGCAUCUAACCUAGUGUUAAUAAACAUAGGUCGUGAAAUGAAAAGUACUUAACCUAGAGUCAAGUGAACCUAGGUUGGAAAGAAUAAUGAUCCUAGUGUAAUAAACCUAGGUUAAGAAUGUGAAAGCAAUAAACCUAAUGGGUGAACUUAGGUUGAGUAAAGGCUUAGACCUAGAGAGGUCAGUUCCAUAGGGUUAAGACCAACCCCUAUGUGAUGUGAAAUGGAUUCCGGAAUCCCAAGGCUAAAAGGAUACACCCAAAGUGGUGUCGGGUGUGUGCGACGAUUUCGCCGCCCAAGGGCUAAAGAACCAUUGUCGUGGCGUGUGCGACGAUUUCGCCGCCGGAUGGUUAGCCAGUUUGUGGAUCCUACCGCCUGUUGAUUGAACCACUGUCGUGGCGUUUGUGCGACGAUUUCGCCGCCGGGUGGCUUAGUCAUGGACCUAGGCCGUUGUUGGGUGAGGUGCGAUUCGUUCGCCGCCAGACGGCUAGGAUAGGAGUACGGUGAGCUGUUGCCAGCUGAGGUGCAUGUGAGAGUUCCUUCACCUCGAGCUAGAUAGUGCGCGGACUAUCCGCGAUUGAUUGACUCGAAGCCGAGUCGGGUGGUUAGCUAUGAUAGGGUAGAGGAACCCUUAUGAGCUAGAGAUAGAGGCUUGAGCUAAGGUAAUAGAAACCUUAGAAGCCAGUGGUUAGUGUUGUGAUCCUAAGGUAAUAGAAACCUUAGAGUAAAGUUAUGAGCUAAAGUAGCCAAGUAUAAGUAGAAUUCAAAUGAUCUACUAGUUGCAUGAUUUUCAUAUCUCAUAUCGUGAGGCAUGGCAUGUAUAUUUCAAUUGAAAAUAUAUGUCUGUUGUAUAUUGUUGAACUAACAUAUUGCAGUGCCUCCUCGGACCUAUCGGUCGAUCUUUUCCCUUAGGUGGCCGUACCCACUGGGAACCAUGGAGUUGGUUCUCACCCCACGUGGUUUUGGGGUGUUUUCAGGUUGUUCGUGCGCGGCGUGGUGGCGCGAGGCAAGGGCGUAGCUCAGUAGAUAGCGCCCCACCACAGAGACCGAGGUAGCAGUACCGUGAGACAGUCUAGCUUAGGGGUCUAGAAGACAAGAAAAGAAAAUGUAUCAAACUUGAUAACUCUGAUGUAAUAGCGAGAUUGUAAUUUGGAAGUAAAAAUGUAAACAGAAACUGUGAUGUAAAAAGUGGUUGUAAAAUGAAUGCAUGUAAUAGCAAGUAGAUUAUGUAUUUGAUACUUCCUUAUGCAAUCUGGAUUGAUAUCCGUUCCUAGUUGGAACAUUCGUUGAUUGUUUGGAUUGCGACGCCUUGGACGUACUGGGGAGACUCUGUCCGCGUACAAAGGAAUCCCCGGUCCGUUCGGUGGUCUGUCGUCGGCGCCGCGACCCUGUCCAAAUAGGCGGUUGGUCGCAGGGAGUGACAGAUAAGAUGGUAUCAGAGCAUAAAGUAGAGAAUGGGCUAUGGUUUAGCUGGACCUAGGAGACCUAGGAUAGUAAACCAUAGGAGAAUAAGGCUCGUGAGAGACGAGGACUUGUGAAUUACGGCGAAAGAUUGAUCGAUUGGGUCAGGUUAGUAACCCUCUGAAACGGAUGUUAGAGGUGGAUUCAAGGUUCAGUUUAUUCUCAGCCGAGGAUGUUCAUGUUGGGCAUGCACAACAUGAAACCGGGUGAUGAGAAUAGACGUCCUUGCGUGACUUUCGCCCGAUUUGAGUCAGUGUUAGUUGUCUCGUGUUCGACCCAGAGGGUCGAGGGUUGAACGAGUUGUCGUGCUUUAGGAAGCGAUGGCAUCGUGUAGGCGAUCAAUAUAAAGAUCGGCGCGGGAUGAGACAAGUGGUGUCCCUAAGCAAUCUGAAGCGAGCGGAGAAUUGAAACUUCGCUAUCAAUUGGCCACACUCGUGGGAGUGGUGAGGCCACGAGUCGGUGGUGCAGCGUCAGUAGGAGACUACCAUACACCAAAGGGAUCGUGUAAGAGGGACUCCAAGAGUUGGUGGACCAGUGGUGAUCGCACUAGUUUCGGCUCGUCGAGUAUGGCCGGGAGUCGCGGUGGAGGUGUUUCCGUCGGGGUUGGGUGAUCCGACUUCUAGCAGUUCGUUGGUGGAGGCAGUGAGGAGGGCGAGCUUUGGUGGCCCUCAUGACCUUCAAGCUAUUGGAUCCACCCACCUUUGGUGGAGAGGAUGCGGAUCCAUGAACCAUGGAGUUGUGGAUCGACUCCAUAGAGACUCUCUUUAAGGGUCUAUGUGCUGUGGAGCGGGAUAAGGUACGCCUAGCCGUGCGUUGUCUGAAACAAUCGGCGAUGGUGUGGUGGAAAGGCGUCAAGCGGAUUUGAUCGCCUAGUUUCCUUCCUGUCGCUUGGGAUGAGCUUCGGGAUUUGUCGUGUUCUACUUCCCCGUACCCCGUACCCGAAGUUUGCCCAGUCUGGGCAGUGCACAUUCUUGAGUGCAAUUGCAAUCCCUAACCUCGGAGGUGUCUUGUGUUAACUUCUUCAAGAUACGGGAUUACCGAAGUUCUCACCAGGCGCGGUGGGGUGCGCUGCGUGAUGAGAUCUGCAUUCGUAUGGGCGAUGGCCAAGCCAUAAGCGAGGGGAGUGCCGCUGAGGGAUGAUCAGACCUUAGCGUUAGCGACGGCCUCCUCCUCCCCGAGACAGCCUGUGCGUGUGUCACCUGCAGCAUGGUUUGGAGGGUGAGUGAUAAAGAAGUGACAACCUGAGGGUUCGCGGCGAGCGCCAGGUGGCCAUGGAUAGCGACCCGGUUUGGGGAGCCUGCUGCUGCCGAGGAUAUCGCGGCAGAUGUGAUUUAGUUAAAGCAAGCAGGUACUUUUGCAUGAUCUCAAGUUGACGCAUUGUGUCUUUGCCCUGUGGUCAUUUACUGCUAUCGAUGCGUCAGAGUGGCAGGGACCAAGUGGACGGGUAAGUGUAAAUGCCCGGGCAUGCUUAUGCGGUGAAAGUGUAGCACCUGCCGGUGCAAGCAAGGAGCUAUAUGGCACUAACAAGUUACUAGUGAUAACCAGGUGAUAAGACUCAUGGUAAAGGUGGAGAUGGGGAAAUGACUCUCGAGGCAACGAUUAGUGGAUUGCGAGGGUUGAACCAUAAUACCUGUAGACACGCGAGUAAUCCGAGAAUUUCGGAUAUUGUUCCGAUAGAUCGAACGGUGAAAGGAAAGUCAUUGUUGAGAGAGUAACUGGUUAGUUACCAAGUUGUGGCACGUGGGCCUAGUAGUAGCACCUCAACUUGAGGUUAGAAGUUGUGCUUAUUUGGUCGGCGCGCAUAGGCAGGGUUGCCUGAUGCUAGAUUUAGUUUGGAACGCUAUAGAGGCGUGUAGAGCGCUUGAGUAUAGGUACUCGUGGUGUGCGGUAUUCACUCAGCCGAGAAAGUGAGAUGGCAGUAGCACUGUAGCAUUGCUAGGUGUGAAGCGUGCCUGGUAUCACUCGUAGGGGCUGAUGGCUCGCACUAGGUGCUUAGGAGCGGAUAUUGGUAUGUGUGACUCGGUAGAGCAUGUCGUGUAGGACGACGACGGCGGGUAGUGCUUGGGGACGACCCGUGCCUGGACCAUUUGUGGACUGUAGAGCCUGAGCCCUUUGGGCAGGCGCAGUCAGCUGUGAGAGACAGCGGCCCGAUACCUACAGGUAGGGCAGAGAUUUGGUCAGGAUGGUAGUCCGAGCUUAGACCCGGGAGCGUGGAAUGCCACGUGUUAGAUCAUGAGAUCGAGGAUACACCGAGUGUGUAGUGACCCAACCCGAGGAUUUGAGGUGGUUUGGGGUCACGGUUGCUCCUGGUUGGAGCGUGUGCGAAUUCUCCAAUGCGAAUUUCGCCCGAUUAUGAUUUGGCCUACGCUGGUGAGCAAGGGACGCUAUACGUAGUUGUAAGAGGUUUAGGCGGUAGACCUACGUAGGACGGGUGACUGUUGGUCCACCUGUGGAAACCGACGUAAUCGGUUUAGCCGAUAACUCUAUUAGUGAGUUGGCUUGGAUUCACGAACAUAGGGUUCGUGUGGAUUUGUCGCAAGAGCAAGGUAAAGUUGGUCGUGGCUUAUGAUAUCAAGGGCGAAAUGCUCUUGUGCGAUAUUGAGAUGUGGAUAGCCACGUGGGAAUUGGAGCUUGAGGACAAUGCUCUUUUGUGGAUUGAGAUUGGAGAUGUGCCGGAAUGGGCCAUCUCCUGAUAGAACAAGGAUCCGGUUGUGAUGAACCACUCGCGAUUGGUCGAGUCACCAACGAUAUUGCUUCUAAGCAAUGCAGGUGAUCGAAUCGGAGUGAAAUUUUUCGUUUGGGUGUAUAAUGCAAGAGUAGUUCUUUGCAUGGUGGUAAUACACUUUUGGAGCUGCACGUGGCAAAUGUGAGUGAAUCUAGUCUCACAUCUUCCGUAGUGAGCCUAUGGAUAGUUCCGAUGAGCGAAAAGCCACUCCGAGAUGCAAAAGUGCACUGUACCCCUUGUCACUCAAGAAAGAGAAUUAGAGUGUGAAUUGGGUUGAAGUGAGUGAGUUUCGGGGACGAAACUCUUUUUAAGGAGGGGAGAAUGUAAGGUACCGGACUUCUAAAACUAUGAAGUUACGGUGUACAUUUAAAUGGCUCCGGUGAGGUUGCGGCGGAAUGUAACAUACCGGAUUUUAAAUAUAAAAGUGAAAAUAAAUAAAAAUAGUAUGAGAUACUAUUUUUAUUGGAUUUAGAGAAGUGAAAUAUAGGUUGGGAAUGACCUGUGCUGAAAUCGGAGCGAAAACAGAAGAUUUAGAAUUUUCUGUUGGAAAUGGGACAGAUAAUUAGCAGAAAAUGCACAGUCUCAGAAAAUUAUGAAAAUUGGCGGGGAUGUCAGAAAUAUUUUAAUGAGGCUAGAUUUGAAGUUUCAUAUUUUUCUGACGCCCGUAGAGAGAGAAAUAGCAUCCGAAAGCCAUCUGAUAAAGAUUGCAGUUCGGCACAGUUUUCGGUGACCAAACGGGGUCGAAACUGAAAUAUUAAAAUUUCUUUGGACUUAUUAAGUAAAACCGAGCGUGCCUGUCAAAUUUGAGCUCAAACGGAUAUUCAGGGAGCUCCGGCGAAAGAUAUCAGAUUUGGAGCUGCCUGAUGUGAAUAGUGUAUGCUACUAUUGAGGUGUUGACUAUAAGUAGAAGCUACUAGGCUUCUUCCUCCUCAAGUUGCAGCCAGCACCAAGCAUCACACGCACAUGGUGUAGUGAGAGAAACCCUCUCUUUCUCUCUCUAAAUAUCUCUCUCAUCUCUCUAUAUUUCUCGCCCAAAUUCGCGGCGUUGGUGGAGAUCGAGCUUGCGAACGCGUUGGAGGCGACGGAUUGAGCUUUCGUGCGCCCGUUGGAGCGGCGUGUUUUCGUUGCGGCGUUCACAUUGGGGUAAGCUUUUGGGAUUUGGCUUAAUCCUUAGCUUUAAGUGUUCUAUUAGCCUCUAAUGAUCAUUAGUAAGCAUAUUGAUCCAUUUAAUUUGGAUUAUUUGGAGGUUAAUUGUACGUUAGGGCUCCGAAUGGGAUUUUGUAAAAUGUAAGGGUUUGAUCUCAUUUGACCCUUCGUAAACCUAAUUGCUAGGUAACGAAACGCGUUGGCGAAGACGGUUCGGUAAUUCGACGAGCCGUUACAAAGUUAUUAAAGAAAUAGACGUUUAGGCUUCGGGUCCGCCGGGAGGGCCGAUGCGACGUCGUAAAAUCAUGGAAAUGGAUUUGAGGCAUCGUGGCACAUAACCGAAGACCUAUAAUUUCCGGAUUUGUAAAGCGGAACACGGUUGAGGCGCAAGAUCUUGUCGGGCCCAAAGGGUGCCGAGUGCCGCGGGAGGCCGAUUGCAAGUGACGACAAGCAAUCGGAACGCGAGUUAAGGUGGGUUGUGCUUACCGAAGCGACUAGGUCGCCCUUUAUGUCUUAGCAAUGUAAUCUCAUGUUGAUGCAUGUGCAUGUAGACAAGAGCAAGGAUGCAUGUUAAUAAAGAUGCAUAAAGUAGAUGCUAAGUAGAAAGCAUGAUAAAUGGUAAUGCUUAGAGCAAAUGCAUAUUAAUAACAAUGCAUAGUGGAGCAUAAUGAUUAUGGCAUUAGAUAAUGCUAGCUAAUGUAAAGUAAUGCAUGAUAAUGAUAAUGCAUAGAUGAAAAUGCUUAGUAGAAAUGCAUGGUGAGCAAGUUACACAAUGCUAAUAAUGCAUGAUAAUAAUGUAAUGCUAAGUAAUGCAUGAUAUGAAGUAAAUGCAUAUUAAUAAUAAUGCAUGAUGAGGAUGCUAAGUAAGGGAUGCAUGUUAGUAAUGAUGCAAAGAGUAAUUGCUAAGUAGAAAGCAUGAUGCAUGGUAUAUGUAUAUAAACCAGAUGAUAACUCUAGGAUGAGUAGAGAUGACUGGACAACUAAGUUGUCAGGUAGAUCGAGUGGCAUCUAACCUAGUGUUAAAGAACAUAGGUUGGUUAGUAAACCUAGAGUUGAACAAUCUAGGUGUGUGGCAUCUAACCUAGUGUUAGUAAACCUAGGUUGAACUAGUAAACCUAGAAGUGGAUAUCUAGGCAAAGAUGAUAAGAACCUAGCAAGUGUAUCUAGGUUAAGUGAUGUGGACAUAGAACCUAGAGUGUUGGAACCUAGGUUGAUGAGUAUAGUGGUAUAGCCACUAGAUUGAGCUAGGUCGACAGUAUAGGGUUGGCUAUGAACCCUCGACCUGUGGUAAGUGGAUUCCGGAAUCCCAGGACUUAUGAUGUCCCUGGUACAGGCUAGGGCGUUCGUGCGACGAUUUCGCCGCCGAGCUUGGUACCGUGGGUAGAUUGGGGGCGAUCACAUGGAGAUCACCGCCCGGGGCUUGAACCAUUGUGCUGGCGUUUGUGCGACGAUUUCGCCGCCAGAGUGGUUAAGCCAUUUGAGGAUCAGACCGCCAGAGUAGACUGAAUCCAUGCUGGGUAAGUACGAUGCGGGUGCCUCCAGGUGACUGAGUCUGACAUGAUCGUUGUUGGGUGUGGUGCGACCCGUUCGCCGCCAGACGGUAUGUCAUGUCUCGAGCUCACGCUGGGUAUGUGCAACGCGAUCGCCACCGAUGGUCAAGUCUUGUGACUCGAGCCGUCUUCAGCGUGUGCGACGAUUUCGCCGCUAGGAGGCUGAGUCAGAGAGAGUGCGGUAGGCUGUUGAGCAGCCAGUGCGCGGACUAUCCGCAGAUGAUUGACUCGAAGCCGAGUCGGGUGGUUAGCUAUGAUAGGGUAGAGGAACCCUUAUGAGCCAGAGAUAGAGGCUUGAGCUAAGGUAAUAGAAACCUUAGAAGCCAGUGGUUGGUGUUGUGAUCCUAAGGUAAUAGAAACCUUAGAGUAAAGUUAUGAGCUAAAGUAGCCAAGUAAAAGUAGAAUUCAUAUGAUCUACUAGUUGUUGCAUGGUUUUCAUAUCGCAUAUCGUGAGGCAUGGCAUGUAUUUCAAUUGAAUAUAUAUAUCUGUUGUAUAUUGUUGAACUAACAUGUUGCAGUGCCUCCUCGGACCUAUCGGUCGAGCUUUUCCCUUGGGUGGCCGUACCCACUGGGAACCAUGGAGUUGGUUCUCACCCCACGUGAUUUUG
Molecule: long non-coding RNA, 117044 nt
Filed under: Ananas comosus (pineapple)
Lineage: Eukaryota; Viridiplantae; Streptophyta; Magnoliopsida; Poales; Bromeliaceae
Description: long non-coding RNA (ACOM_LNC033165)
Source: RNAcentral